UUUUAUACAAAUAAUAAGGUGAAAUGGCGUCACAACUAUCCCAAAAAAGAAAAACAAAAAAAGAAGAAGAAAGCUUCAUUAAUUGUCAGAUAUGAGAUUUAAUUAUUUUACUUAUGAUCAGAAAGCUUCAUUAAUUGUCAGAUAUGAGAUUUAUAUCCUCAACCGGAUCCUCCCUUACAUUAACCGGGCAAAUUUUUUUAGUGUAUCUCCAAUUGCAUAACGACAAAACAAUUCCUGCAAAUACACAAACCAUGAUUAUACACUCUUUAAUAAACUUAUUAUGAUUUUAGUCUCAUUUAUUUUAAUAAAAAUAGUAUAAAAUAACAUAAUAUCUCAUUACAAUUUUAUUAUCAGACAAUCAUUAUAAAAUUAAUCAUUUAACAAAUUUAAGAAUAAACAUGGAUAUUAAUUGUUGGUUGUGAUUCAAAAUUUUUAAUUUGGUAAAGUCCCACAUUGUCUAUUUUGAAAACUAUUCAUGUGUAUAUUAGUGUAUUAUAAGUGUAUUAUAGUCUUAGGUUUAGUAACAUGGUUGAGAAAAAAUUGAUGGACACACGCACAUGAGGAUGCAUGGCUAAGAAAUUGGGAUGCGAUAAGUUUGGAUCUUAGAAUUUUGGCCAAAAAACCUUAAUACAAUGUUCAUAUUUUUUACGGUUCUGUUCAUCCUUUUUUCCUAUAAAUACCAGUCUGAUCUUAGGAGUUAAUACACUUACAAAAUUAUUCUUCUUUUUAAUAUAUACAUUGUUACUAUUUUCUGGGCAAUUCACAAAGAUAAGUCCAAAAUCUUCUUCUAUAAGUACACACAAUUGGAGGCUUCGUCAUUGAAUCCUGAAGAGUGGACGCUAGAGCUAAUCUAUACCAAAUGUUAUAACUAGUGAGACCAAAAUUAUUUUUUAGAACAAUAGUUUUGCUACGCCUCGAUUUCAGUUUUAAUUUUACUGUUUGUUCGUCUUGUUAAUUAAUACUGCAAAUUUUUAAUAUAUAUGUAUCCUUAAGCUCUGUCAAUUUUGCUUGGUAGCUUUUUUUUAAUGGCCUUUACUUUGGAGGGAUGUUAGCACAAGCACAAAAAUAAUUAUAUAAUCGAUAUUAAGAAUCUCUCAAUGACAAUAUUGAUAAAACUCAUUCUAUGGAUGAAAAUUUAAACCUCACAAUAUGGACGAAAUUAACUCCACAAUAAGAAAAAAAUAAAGUCUCACAAAAGAUGAAAGACAGUGCCUGGAUAUGUUAUAUUUAGAUUGAAUGAAUGAAAUAAAAAAUAGUAUAUAAUAUAUUGUUUAUAUGGGAAGUGAUUCAUAACUUGCGUUAGUUAUGAGCACUAUUCAAGUUAACUCAUUUUUUACAGUCCAAUAGAAGAUCUAAAUAUUUGGUUGGGACCGGUCUCUACUCUCUUAUGGUCAGCCAAUUUUUUUUAUGUUGAUCGUUACAUGAAAAGUCGUAGAAAUUAAUUAUGGAACUUAAAGUAAUUAUAAUUUAAAUUACAAAAAUAUAGCUAAUUAAUACUUCACUCGCUAAUUGGUUCACAAAUAUAAAGAAUUAUAAAAUUAGUAGUAGACUAAUAUAAAGAAUAGUACUUGACUAGGUAAUUUAGGAAUAGUAGUUGAUUACGUAAUUUAUUUAUGGGUAGAAAUAUAAUAUAAACUCAAUCACAAAUGUUGGGAGAAAAAAAAAAUACAAACUCACAAAUGUUGAGAACUGAACUUGAAACCAUCAGUCUUAAAUCAUGCUAAGAUCUCAUUGACAGAUCAUUCAUUUUGUUGAAUAGAGGGAGUAAUGUAUUUUGAAGACACACACACACACACACACACACACACACACACACACACACACACACAUAUAUAUAUAUAUAUAUAUAUAUAUAUAUAUAUAUAUAUAUAUAUAUAUAUAUAUAUAUAUAUACAAGUUUACAACAUAAUUAUGAUCAAUUAUGCAUGUAAAUAUGUAUAGAAAUAGUGCACUAAGAACACUUACCAAAAACUUGAACAACAACUAGGAAUCCAAUGUUGGUUGAAGCCAUAUUCCUUCUUUUAAAUUAGGAUGAGUUUUGGCCAUUGCGUCCAUUACUUGUAGGGAAAUUUUUUUUAUGAAAAAACGCGUGACUGAAUUUUUCAAAGUCUUCGUAAUUAAGAAAAAACGUGUGGAUGAGUUUUGGCCAUUGCGUCCACUUAAUUAUUGGCCGGAUGAUACUCAAAGUCAAAGUCUAUUUAGUCGUUUAAUUUAAUUAUAUAGUUGGAGACUUGGAGUGCCGGUCAUUGGUGGUAUUAGUCAAAGAAUACUCUCAGGUCACUUUAGUUAAUGCCUUUGUGCCCAAAUAGAGAAAAAUAUAACUUGUGUAGACACCCAAAAUUUAUGUUUUGCAAUUAAAAAUAACAAAGUACCAAAAGAAAAAUAAAAAAUAAGAAGCUGAAAAUUAGAAAAAACAUAAUUUUACGGUUUGAAUUGAAAAAACAGGAAGACCUGAGGGGAAGGAGAGAUAUGACCUAAGAGAGUAUGUGUGGGCCUUGGGGAGUGGGGGCUUGUAACACCACACAAUCCUAUAUCGAUAGAUAUAAAAAGAAAAUUAUUUGUAUAUAAAGAAUUAAAUAUUUAUUAAUAGUACCUUCAGUUAUGACCUUUCGGGUGAGCAUAUAGUGGGUUAAGAUAGUCCAAUAAGAUAUAAUUAGACCACCUGAAACACUAUUAGACCAAUAAUUUAAGAUUUUAUUUGAACUUAAGAUUUGAUCCAAAUUAUUUCAGAGCUCUUAAAGCCAUCAUCCUGAUGGCGGCUCGACCCUUGAAUUCCCAAGAAAUUAAACCUUUAUUUCUUCCUCUAUAUAUGUUUUGAGAGAGCAUAUAACUUUAAUUAAACAAGUCACAAGUCGAGUUAAUUUGAGUUGGAUAUAACACUCUCCUUUAGUUGAAUGAUCAUGAUUCUUUUUGUAACGAUCUCAAAAUUAGGACAAUUUCCAUUUCCGAUUUUGGUCGUUAAAAAUACAUUUUCAUUCUAGGUUUACAACGCUAAUCAAUAUUAUCAUUGAUAAAAUGCGUAUAAAUUUAAAAUUUCAAUGAUUUUCUUUCUUAUUACCUAAAUCGUAACCUUUACAAUUCAUCUUAUUUCAAAAUCAAAUAUAUGUUAUGAUUUAUCUUCCCUACAUUAAAUAUAAGUAUUUAAAAAAAAUCGACCUUCAAUACGUACACCAUUCUUUUAUACCUUUAUAACAAAAAUUUAACAAUCAUAUAUUUCAUAUAUAUUAUCUCUUUUACACCGCUGUCAUCAAACCAGUUACCAAGUAACUGUACAACUAUAUCUCAUAUUCCAAGACAAAUAUUCGUUAUUUUACAACUCAAAGUUUAUACAAUUUUGCUCAUGUACAUUACAAUUACAAGAAUCAUUUUAUCUUAAUAUAAAUCUAACUAAGGAAAAUAAUAAAAAAAAUUCAAUUCGUAUCAUGCUUGAAGUCCUUAUCGCCAUGUUAACUAGAGCAAUUCAUCUUUAAGCUGCAAAUAUAAUUAUUUAAGUAUGAGCGGGAUGGCUCAACAAGUCCAACAGUUUAUACAAUUCAUGUUUCACGUAACAAUUAUGCUCUAUAAUCUAUUCAAUGACAUUCAUUUCAUUUUAUGCAUUUCAUAAAUGUAAGACCCUAACUUUUAAUGAAUAAAGAUUUAAUUUUCUCUAAAUAUUAUUCUAAAUAGUAAGGUGAUAAUUUAAUAAAUGCUAUAGUUAUGGGUGAUAUGUGCAAAUUUUACAAAGUAAGCAAGCUGUUAUAAAAUAUUCGUUUUGUCGGGAAAUAUUUGUUUGAUGGAGGAAUAUUCUUUUUGUCGGAGAAUAUUCGUACGACGGCGCAAUCAUUGGUGGACUCCACAACAGAAUAACUAUUGGAUAUAGAAAGCGACAAAAAUAACAUUUUUAUAAAAAUAACGGCAAAACUUUUACUGUUAAAAUGUUGAAAUACCCGGUGAUAAAAAAUAUAGUAAUACGCGUUGUUGCACUGCACACGGUAUUGCACAAUAUCUCUGGUUAUUGAUGCUUACGUAAGAAGUCACUCAGUUUCAUUCAAUAAUUGUCACAGUAGUUGCUGCAUAGUAUCUCAUAUUAUUGAUUCAAUUAUUAUCACAGUAUCAUAUGUACAAUAUUUUAUAUUAUUAAAUCAAUAAUUGACACGACACAAUUAUUCAUAUAAAUAUUUGUACUAUUGACAAUGUCUAGAAAGUUCUGUCGAGGAAAGGGGUAAGGUUAUUUAAUUGUGCGCCAAUAAGAAGAAAUCCUUAUCAGAAAGCCCCCUCUUUCCUGGAAACGAUCUGGUUUUGCCAAUAUUGUGAGUUAUAAUAUUAAUGAUGAAUAAUUGUUGAAAGAUUAAAAAUGUGUUGAUUGAAGAUAAGUGAAUUAUGGUAAAUAUUUAUUCAAUUUUUGAUAUAAAUAGAGGGGUUGUCAUGAGACUUUUGUUAUAAAUUUGGCUUAUUCUAUGGGACCCAUAGGUCAUCAUCUAAGAGUCACUUUCACCAAUAGUACUUACCUUUCACAUUACAAGCGUCAAACCACUUCCUUUUUCACAUUACAGGCGUCAAACCACUUGCCUUUUCACAUUACAUGCGUUAAACGACUUGCCUUUUCACAUUACAGGCGUCUUUGCCUCUUCGCAUUGCAAGGUCCAAGCUAGAAUUCUUCUAUAAAUAGAAGCUCAUUUCUUCCUUCAUUCUUACCAAUUCACGAAAGCUAUAGAGAGAGAAACUAUAGAAAGAGAAUAAGAGAGAAAGAAGAAGAUCGAGUAUUCGAGAAGCAAACACACACCACCAACACAAAGUUCUGUUACCACACUAGUGCAAUAUCUAGUCUUUUAUUAUGGUAAGGGGUGUUAUUUUCUUUCAAUACUCGUAAAGGAUGUUAUUUUCUUCAUACUCAUAAGGGUUGUCAUUCCAUUCUUUAUUAAUCUGUGGGAAUAACAUGUCUACGCGGAUUACUGCAUGCCUGGUGAAUAACCAUUCGUAUUCAUUUUUUUAUUAAUUUGUGGGUAUAUUUUGUCUAUGCGGAACCACAUGCCUGGUGAAUAACCCUUUGUAAUCAUUCUUUAUUAAGUUGUGGAAAUGAUCUGUCUACGCGGAUUAUCGCAUGACGGGUAAAAAUCCAUUUGCAGUUUCGUAUAUUCUUUCAUACUAGCUUGUAUUGGAUAUUAUUUCUUUUGUACUCGUCAAGGGAUAUCGUUUUCUUUCACAUUUCUCCAUUUAUGGUACAAAAUUAUUGUUUAUUUCCAUAACUUUAUUAUUAAAUGGUGAAAAUCCCUGAAAUUAGUAGAAUAUCCUUAAUAGUAUGUGUUUCAUCUAAUAUCAUUUCACUGAAAUAUUGGUCUGAAUAUUUUUAUUAAAUUUUAAUCUAUUCAUACGGGGUACUAUUCAUUCGCGGUACUAUUCACGAAGAAAAUUAGUUUCUUUUUUUGUCCAAUUAUCUUUGAAAUUUGAAUCUUAAAUAUCAUUUAUUAAAUUUUACUCCACAAUUGGUGAUCAUGUUGACAAUUUGGAUAUUUUUGAACUCGGGAUAAAUUAAAUUAUAAAUCUCUAAUAUUUGUCAUUGAUCUCACUUAAUUCAUUCUUUAUAUCAUUGUCAUCAUCCUCAUGCUUAUGUUAUGGUGAAAGUCAUCUUUUACCCGUAGUACAAAGAUGGACUGUUGAUUGGUAUGAUUAUGACCAGAUAUUAUGUAUUGGUAUAAUCAUGACCUUUAAUGUUACAAAUAAAGGUUUGUGGUGAAAGUCCUCUUUAUCCCGUAGUGCAUAGAUGGACAUGUGUUUGACAUGAUCAUGACCACUGGUGAUAUAAACGAUUAUCGUUGGCCCGUAAUGCAUAGAUAAUUCUUUGAUUGGAAAUUAUUAUUGAUUGGUGUUACAGGGAUAAAAUAUUAAUGAUGAACUUUUAAAUCAUAAAAUAUAGUAGACAUCAUGAUCUACUUGACUCUUCUAAUGGAUUGUUAUUUUCAUUGCAAUUGUUGAUCCAAAACUUGUUGUCUAUUGUAUUCUAUCAGAUUUUUCCCUGUUGAAGACUAAUGAUAAUUUGUUCUACGUAUAUUAUCUUAGUCAUAAUAUUCUUUACUAGGCUAGUUGAACUCACCCUUUUUCUUUUUGUCCUGUUGUUCUUCUCAGGAAAUGAAAGUGUAGCUGGAACUAGUCGGGGAGUGGAGUAAUGGUCCGAGAUAGUUACUACAGAAGUCUUCACUAUGUUGUGAAAUAGUGUGAUAAUAACUAUAAUGAAGACUUAAUUUGAGUUUGGAUAUUGUCGUAUUAUGUACCGUGCAAUAUUUGUAUUCAAAUUCCCAGCUUAUGUGUUGUCGUAUUUUGCACGAAAGUUUAAUAAUUUUAAAUAUGGAAGUUUGUACCAUGUAUUUUGGUGACUCAAAAUAGGUUGUGUGAACCUAUUUUGGGGGCGUCACAAUAAAUGCAACAUAAAGCUCAUGUAAUGCAUUUAAAUAAAUAUGCAAUUUAUAUUUCAUGUUGUGCAUCAAAUACACAUUUCUCAGUUUACAUACAUUGCAUCUAAUUUUAAACAUUUAAUACAUGAAUUCCAUAUAAACAUAUAACCAAAUUCGCACAUAGCAUCGAAUUCCAUUAUCUAGCACAUAUCGAUAAUUUAAAUAUCACAUUAUCGUAUAAUCAACCAGUUCGCAUACUACUAUAAGAACUUUCCUCGAUAUUCGUUCAUUGUUAUACAUUCAUCUAGGACUCAUUGCGUAAUUGUGACAACCCAGAUUUUUGCAAGAAAAUAUUAAAAUAAGAAUUUAAUAAAUAAAAUUCUUAUUAUGAGAUGUGCCGAGUUUGAAUGUUUAAAUAUAUGUGUUAUACAUAUAUGUAUGUGAUUUAUAUGGAGAAUUUAAUACGUAUAUAUAAGAGUGAAAUAUAUAUAUAUAUAUAUAUAUAUAUAUAUAUAUAUAUAUACAUAAAUUUGGAAAUUAAGCUUUAAUAGUUGAUUAAACUAUUAAGUUAGUUAGUUUGAGCUAAGUACGAAGUAAAAGAUGUAAGCAAGGAAAAAACAAUUAAUAUUAAUUAAUUGAGAUUUAAGAUAAAGAAUAUAUUAUGAGUAAUAUAAUUUUAGAAUUAAGUCUUGAACGACAAUGGUGUUAUUGUGAAUUAAAUUUCAUAAGUGAAAUGAUUAAUUCAUUUAAUUAAAAUAAUGAAUUAAUGUAUGUAUUUUGUAUAAAGAAAAUAAUUAUAUUAAUUAAAUAUAGUAUUCUUAAUAUAUAACAUAUCAAUGUAAUAUAUGAAAUGGUUUAGUAUCUUUAAUGAUGCCAAUUGAAUAUAAAUUAAACAUGAGAUGUGAUAAUUAGUUCAUUAUUUUAAAAUGAGUGAAUUUAAAUAUUCAUUUUGAUGAAUAAAAAUAAAGAAUAUAUGUUAUUUUCUUUAAAUUAUAAGAACUAUGUUAUAUAUAUAUAUAAUGAUAUAAUAAUUAUAUUAUAAUAAUGGAAUGAGAAGAAAAAAUAUGGAUGGGGGACCAAUAUAUAUAAAUGAAUAUUUGUGUUGAAUUAAAUUAACAUUUAACUUAUAGUUAAAUGUAUUACAUUGAUAUAUGUAAUAUAUAUAGGCUAUGACAUGCGAAUUGGACUGAGUAUAGAAUUAGUACUCAGCUUUCUUAUAGUGUAUGGGGGGAAAGUAACGUAUUUGAGCUCUCAAUUUCUCAGACCCUUCCUCUCCCAAAAUGCUCAGGAAUUUAUAUUGAUAUAUCUCAUUUGGCUAUUCUUCAUACAUCUCAAUUGAAAGUCUAUAAGAGAUAUAGAGAGAGAAAUGAGUUUGCAAUGGAAGUUGAAAGAAAACUUUGAAAGUUCUGAUAAUUCACAAAAGAACUGAUGAUUUAAGAAGGAUUGGAUCAAGGAUUAAGCAGGAAUUAGAGCUCAAAAGGUAAUGUUUCAUCUCUGACAUAUGAAUUGGAGAGGCUCAUAAGCAAUUAAAGUAAUUAUGUAUUUAUAAUUGGUAGAAAAGUAGAGAUGGAUAUUGGUUGUGUUAAUUAUAUAUGAUUUCCAUAGGAAAUCUAGGAUAGUUAUAAUUGAAAUUUUAUGAAACUAAGUUUUUGAGUCGAUGCCCAUAUGUUGUUUGUCUUAAUGCCUAAGUGAAAAAUUUACUAAAGAUAUAGAAAUGUGACACCCCUAAAUUCGGGUACUUCAAUUUCAUUGAUUUGGUGCUCAUUAUCCAUCAAAAUCACAUCUAAACUACCAACAAUAAAGGAUAAUAAACUUCGUAAACAAUAAUUCCAUUAAAGGGUUACAUAAUCAAACGAAAUCUCAGGUUAUCUAACCUUAAUUAUUACAUCAACAGUGGAAUAAAAAAACAUAAACAUAAUCAAGUCUUAUUACAUAAGCUUCACAUUUGAAAUAUAAUUUAAACUUCAUCAACUUAUGCAUCUUGCCCUUUCCCUUGCUCGUGGACGGCUCCUAGGGUUUUUCGAUCUUAGCUGAAAUGUUUAAUGUAAGAGUGAGCAAAAAAACUUGCUCACAAGUAGAACAAUGUAUGAAUGAACAAUGAAUCAACUUUAAUUGAAUAAGGUAUUCUUACUUGAAACAAUAAGCUUUAAAUCAAGAACUAUGAGUUCAAUAGAAUAAUUGACUUUCAAAUGAAUUUUAGGUAUCAAAAUCAAGGUAUAUGCUGAGGUUCACAAGAUCACAAACUAUGUCCUAGGUUAACAAGUAUUUAUAGCGUAACCUUUAAUAGUCAUAAAGACUAUAUAUGGACUAUCUAUCUCGUACUCCAGGUGAUCAGCUAUUUGUACAAUAUAUUGUGCACAAAUAUUUUAACGCUAUUGCGUAGCUCAGAAUUAUAGUUUUCGAUAACAUAAUCCCUUAUUUUAGGGUUGUUCAUCUCAUCUUUAACAUUAGGAUUCAUACCAAAGGAAGUUUGGUUUGGAAUAGCACAAAGAAAAUUUAUAUCUUUAGAACGUUCAUCAAUUAAGGACUAGUUUACCAUAAAGGAUUCGAUAAUCAUUCAAAAGUUUGAUAGCAACAUAUUCUUUUAUAAGGUACAUAAGAAAGUCAUGAUUCAAUAAGUGAUAGUCACAAAAAUUCACAAUUGAAUAAACAUCAUUUAUCGAAGCAAUGCUUUCAGAAAGAACUAGGAAGCUUAUUUAAGAUUCAUAAACAUUGAAUAAUUUAUGAAACAUUGUUGAAUUAUAAAAUAACAAAGGUUAGGAAACUUGCACAAUGAAAAAGAAGAGUUAAGAGACUUGUCUUGCGAGUUCGCUACACAAUUACAGUACACUUCCUUUAAAAAUCAUACACAUUUCAGUCACAAUAGCACAUUGAUUAGUUAUGAAAUAGUAUUCAUUAACCACUUACAUUAAUCCAUCCUAUGCCUUUUUGAUUAUCACAUUUACUCAUCUCAUUGUGAUUAUAAUAUGUUAUGUUAUCUUGUUACAUGUUUUAAGCUUUACUACAUUCAUUAUAAUAGGUUAAACGAACAUCCCUCGAAUUGUGCAAUUACCAGCUCAUUACUGGGUCUGUUCUGCACAAGGCGCGGUUGCGCCACAUUUGAACUUGAUCACUGCGCGGCAGCACCCUAGCCUGUGGAAGCACCCCAACUGUUCUUUAUUCCGACGCGGUAGCGCUGGAACUCAGAAGCAGUUUCUGUAGUUCGACUCCAGACUCUGCUACAACCCAAAAACUCUUAAUUUCAUCACCCAUACUCCAAAUAAAAUAAUUUCAGAUGUUAUAAACUUUAUAAACUUGAAACUAAACAUCUAUAAAAUAAUUCUAACAUCUCAAACAACUUUAACAAUCAAAUUAAGAACUCAAAUUCCAUGUUCAUGUUCUAUUUUCAUAUUUUGACAUACUUAGCGAAAUCAAUGAUCACCACGAAUUCGAUUCUCAACCAUUUUGAUUCAUACAAGUUGUGUUGUUUUCGUAUCUCAGAGUACUACCAUAAAUAAUCAUCAAUUUGAGAUUUUGAACAUGGAUUCAUAACUAGUUUAAAACAGUCUAUAAUAUACAUAUUACAACCAAAAGUCUAAUUUUUUUUAUUUAACACAUUUACACAAAUUUGAUUACUUCAAAAUCAUUUAUAGAAGAUAUAUAACAAAUCAUAUUUACCAAAAAAAACAUAUAUAACCUAACUCUCAUCAAAUCAUUCAACCAAAUAAAUUUACAGUGAAGAAUUUUGGGAAAAUAUAACUAAGAGAUUUAAAGUUAGUUUAUUACCUUUGAUUACUUCUUAUACUAGAUAGAUGAUGAAUAUUUGCUAAUUUAGCCUUCCUUCUCCUCCUUGAUUCUCAGACCUUCUUCUCCAAUUCUCAGAGAAUUCUCUCACUUUCUCAAUUUCUUUUUCAAGCUUAAGGAAAAUUGAGCGUAUGAAUAAACUGAACAUAACUUAACGCUCAAUUGAGUUGGCCGGUUACAAAAAUAAAACUCUCAACUGUUAAAAAUAUGGACAGUCUAAACCAUGUUUGGCUAAACUCAAUUAACCCAUCUUUAUUUAUUUUAAAUAAUUCUCUUAUUAUAUGAUACACAUGUGUCACACAUAGUUUAAUUAAAUUAUUUAGCCAAUACAACUAUAAUUUCAUUUAACCAAUUAUUAGCCCUCUAAUUUAAUUAUUUAAUUAAAUUAGAAUGUUACCAUGAUAUUAGCAUAAUAAAAUACACGCCAAAAUAUUAAUCAACUCACAUAAUUUAAUCAACAUAACCACAUUUAAAUAAAUUAUUCUAUAACAAUUUACAUUUAAUAUUUAUUUUAUUUAAUUAAUAUUCAAACUAAAAUAUUUACUUUAUUCAAUAACUAUUUUUAAUUACUUUAUAAAAUUACAAUAUAUCGUUACAGGGAAUAAAAUGGGAUAUGAAUGGUGUAAAAUGGAACUAAAACAUGUCCUGAGUAAUUUAAAAUCACGAUAUAGCAGUUAUGGAUUAUAAUAGAAAGUUUGAUUUAUGGAAAUUCAAGCUCUGCAGAUAACAGACCAUGUCUGCGUCUGAAGCUGAAGUGGCGUGACCGCGUCACUUCCCGAGUCUAUACCAGCGCGACCGCGCUGGUCACCAAAAAAGCCAAGAUUUGUUUUUCAUGAUUUGAGCUUUUGGACAGGUGUAGCCAAGUCUUUUAUGUUCAAAAAUGUAUUACAAUUAGUGUCCAUCAUAAUUAAGUAAGGAAUAAGUGAUUUUAGUAUGAUCCAAUAUAACUUUUCAAAUGAAAACUAAAAUAAUUUGAAAACUAAACUUAGAAGACCUAUAUUGAUUCCAAGUACUUAAAAUCAUGUGUAUUGAUGAUAUAAGGAGCCUAGCAUGUCCGCAUUGAAUUGUUUAAAGAAAAACUCAAUUUUGAGUUUAGCAGGGAGUAGCACGGCCGCGCCACUCCCAGGUUUAAAUGCAGCGCGCCCACGCCGUGCUAUAGAAUAUUCAAGGAAAUUUUGUUUUAGGUCUGAAGUUUGAGGCAUGAUGAUAGUAUGGAUCUUUAAAGCCUUAAAAAGCAUGUAAUUCAGAGUUUUUAUACUAACUAUUCAUAAGUCGGUUAUGACAAUUAAAACUUAGUAUGAGAUUAUCGAAACUAAAACAACUAUUAUGAAAGAGCAAGACUAAGAGUCAAUGUAAUCUAAUUGAUUUCAUUGAUUAUGUGCAACUGAUGCAUGUGUAUAUGAACUUAUAAAGUAAUGUAGGAUAAACGCAAAGCAGUUAAGCUGUAGUUGGUAAUCAACAAACCAUUCAAGUCUUUUAGUUCAUAUGUUCUAUUUGAACUUGAUAUUGUUUAAUUAUAAAAUUACUGCAAGGAGUAUAUAUGUUAAAUUAUGUAUGAUGCUCGAUAUAUUUGUGAAAGUCAAUUUAUGACUAAGUUGAUUAAGUUAUGACACUCAGUCUUUACAUGAUAUGUGAAAUGCAACAUGUAUGAAAUGUAUAGUAAAAUGUUUAUGAUAUAUGAACUGAGCAUAGAAUUAUGUGCUACGUGAUGCAUAAAAAUUGUUUGACUUGUUGAGCUGUCGAGCUCAAUCUUGCAAAAAUAACCUUUUUGCAGGAUAAGGAUACAAUAUUAUAUUAUCUGCUAUCUGAAUGGUAAGGAUCAGAAGACAUGCAAGAAAAUAAACUUUCUUAUUUUGAACCAUACUAAGGGUUUUCAAUGUUUGUAGUUGACAGUUUAUAAUGUGUAUUUAAUGUCAGGUUGUGAAUAUUGAAUUAUUCGAUAUAUUAAUUAGACCAGUCUAACAGAGCCACCAAAAAGCUUUAUUGAGACAGUUUUUAGACCCAGCAUUAACAAGUUAUUCACUCCAAAAUAAUUUUCAAAUCCAAUUUAACUUGACCAAUUUAUUUAAACUACUUCAAUAUACAUAUAUAUAGCCUUCCUUGAUAAUAGCUUUGCUCAAUUCUUUCUUUUUAAGCUAAACAACUCUAAGAGGAAUAUUAUCAAACAUGAUAUGGACAUUAAUUUUAUGGACAAAUUUCACCAACUUAUAUGCAUCCUUUAAAUCAUAUUUUCCUCCCUUAUCAAUUACUCCGCACAACAACAACUAAUCUCCUUACUAUUCACAAUCCAAUCAACAGUUUAUUCACAACAUAAUUUAUCCUAGAGAACAUUUAAUUUCCAAUUUCAAAUGAAAUACUAAAAACAUAACACUAACAUUGUAAAAACUUAGUUUUGUUGAAACAUUAGCUUAAUUAAUCAACUUAUAAACCUCCUUCACUACUGUUGUUCCAACUAUUUUCCUAAUUCAGCCCAUUAAUUUUUCUUAUUUUUCGAAAUCAAAAAAGUUUUAGCAAGCCUUUAUGUGUUAUGGUGCUUAACAAUUAAAGAGGCAGAGAGGAAGAAAAUAAGUUUGGGACGAAUGAAAUUUACUUAAGCUCGACAAAUUUAGAGAGGACAGGAGAUGAAAUGGAACGGAGUAGAGUCUAUCCUUAUAAAGCCAUGCUUAGUGAACUGAUAAUACCCAACUUUACUAACAGCUCAUGCUAAUUUUAGCCGAGUUAUUCUAAUAUUUACUUAAGGCAAGCCACCUCUUGCUUUCAUUCCUAAUUCGGCUAAAAUAAUUGAUUUCAUUCAUUUUUUUAUCCCAAUUAAGAUUUAACAUGUAUUCUUAGCAUAUAGUUACUAAUAUAUGUUAGAAUUUGAGCUUAAAUUGAAAUGGUUAUCAUUAAUUAUUUGAAAUGAUUACACAAAUUAAUGUGUUCUACUCCAUGAGUAGAUUAAAUUAAGUAUUUAGAAGCUCAAAUCCAUAGAAUAAUGAAUGAGAAAUUAACUCUCAAAAAUCACCCUUGGAAAUUGGAAAUGAUAAUAAAUAUUUGUGGAAAUCUAAGUCCCAUAUCGGUUAAGAACUAAAUAUUAAAUGAGUUUAUAUACAUUAAAGUUGCUCUCAAGUUUGGUCCCUAAGGGGAACCCCACUUUUAUGGAAAGGAGAGAACCUAGCCAAGGUUUGGUUCAAACCCAAACGCGCAUUACUGGCCUGACACGUGGCUCUAGGGUCUGGGUCCUUGUAUAUAAUUUUUUUGAAAAAAUUUAUUUAAAAAUUAUUUAAUUUAGUUCUAUUAUCAAAAGUAUGUCGUUUUGAUAAACAGUAUUUAUUAUUAUACUACGUCGUUUUGGGAAGAGUUACCUGUCGAACAGACGCGUCUAAACUGCGUCGUUUUGGGAAAGACUAUCUGCCUGAACAGACGCUCCAAAACUAUGUUGUUUUUGCCUGAAUGGACGCGCCUGUUUUGUUAAGCCUUAAACUACGUCGCUUUUGUUCUGCUAAGCCUAAAACUAUGUCAUUUUUUGUCCGAACGGACGUGCUUUUUUUGUUAAGCCUUAAAAUUACGUCGUUUCGGCUAAAACAGUGCCUUUUCAAGGGGUUAACUCCCUCUGAUCAGUCACUAACCCCUCCUAUAAAUAGAUAGGGGGUGCAGCCACUUCGAUCAUUUAAUUCAAGCAUUCAAGCAUUAUCAGUCUAGUUUCUAGUAUUCAUUUCAUAGACGUUCAUUUUAGAGAGAAAGUUCUAGGCAUUAUAAUUUUGGUUCGUUGAAUAUACUAUUUGGAGUGCUACUAUAGUAUAUAUUGUCAUUGUAUCCUAGGAGACAAGUGAUAUCAACUCUGAGCAUCAUACGGAGUGCAUAAUUGUCUUAAGAACAAAGUAUCAAGUACUAGCCUUGAUACAUAGUAUCACAUAAUUGUCUUAAGAAUAUAUUUUAUAUAUAUAUAUAUAUAUAUAUAUAUAUAUAUAGUUCCCAUUCAGUUUUACUAAUAAUAUAUACUCUACAAAUACAAAACAUAAUAUACAUUACCUAUAUUAUCUAAAUAAUCAAUUAAAUAACCUAUUCAAAAUUUAUAAUUCAAUUUCCUUGUUUCUUUCCAUAAUUUGUAAUUUAACACUUUAAUUACUAAAUACCAUAUAUACAUAUCAAGUAAUUCACUUGGGAUAAUUAUAAUACAAAAAAAACAUUCACAUCAAUCUAAUCUCCUUUCUUAUAUAGUUAAACAAUUGUUUAUUUAAUUAUUUAACUAUUAAGUUACUUAAUAAACUUAAUAUUUCAUUUAUAUUUUCUGUAAAAUGAUUAACUAUUAUAAGUUAACCUCUUUCUUAUAUUUUCUUUUUUUAAUUUCAUCACUUAAUGAUUUCACAUAACACAUAUAUAACGAUAUUUAACUAUCAUAAAACAUAUUUUUGUGUUAGAAUAUGUGAUUAGGAGUAAUCUUCUCCUAUAAUAAUGGAGUGAUUAUCCCCCCUAAUAUCAGGAUAGAAUCGUGCAAUUAUGAUCAUUCAAAUAUAGCAAUAGAAUAUCUUGUUGUAACAGUAGCAUAAGUUUAGCAAUAUACUCUUGUAUAUAUAUCUGCUACAUUGAUGAAUAACAAUAUAAAAAAAUUCUGUUCUCUUUGUGUUUUAUCAUGGUAUCAAAGCCAACUCCGUUUUUCCUUUAUCUAUCCUAGGAACCGGAGGUUGUUCUUUGUGUUUUUUUCUGAUCAUAAUUCUUUACUACCCACCCAUCAUGACUACUCCUACCAUUGAUGAUGGUGUUGUUAUCGGGAAUGCAAAAACUAAUUCCCUAGCUUUACCAGCACUAUAUAUGCAAGACGUCUCUUCUUCGCUUACUCCAGAGAAACUUGAUGGCACCAAUUAUGUGGAAUGGGCUUUGAAUGCACAAAAUAAAAUUUGCGGUCGAAAGAGUUGGGGAUUUAUUUCAGGUUCAAAGGCUGCACCUGAGAAUACCAAUUCUGAAGAAUAUGAAGCAUGGGAAGAUGAAAAAUGCAUGAUCAAAUCAUGGUUACUCGAUGCAAUGAACAAAGACAUCGGAUUCAUUUUCUUGCAACUGUCCACAGCAAAGGAAAUUUGGGAUAUGGCUAAGCAAACAUACUCAGUCAGUCAAGAUGCCUCAAAAUCAUAUCAGUUAUACUAUGAGGUAAUCUCUGUUCGUCAAAAUGGUGGUUCUAUUAUUUCUUAUAGGGAAAAAUUACAAAAACUUUGGCAGGAGAUUGAUGCUAUAGAUGAUUGUGCAAUGAAGUGCAAACCUGACAUUGAGAUAUAUACCACUAAGGUUAAUUCUCAACGUGUUUAUAUUUUCUUGGCUGGUUUGGACUCAUCACUGGAUGGGGUUCGUGGACGGGUACUUGCCACUUUACCUCUUCCAAAUCUUCAAGUUGCUUAUGUUAUAGUUUGUGCUGAGGAAAAUUGUCAAAAUGCUAUGAUGGGUGGAAUAUCUACUGAUGGUACUGCUAUGGCUACUAAAAGGAUUAAUCCAUGGCAAGACCAUAAGAAAGGGACACGCAAAUGUACUUACUGUAAUGGUGAUAACCAUGUUGUUGAUACAUGCUUCAAACUUCAUGGUUAUCCCGAGUGGCAUCCUAAAGGAAAGAAAACUUCUGCCAACACUUCUCUACAACAACAGCCAGUGUCAUCUUCUACAGGAUUAGUUGCAUAAACUGGUAUGACUAGUACUGCCCUUAACUCUCUUUCAUGUACUAAAAAUAGUGACUGGAUAAUUGACACGGGUGCAAAUGAUCAUAUGACUUGAGGUUCUUCAAAAUUUAGCUUUUUAUCCCCUUCACAUUCUAGCUUAGCUAUUACUAAUGCCAAUGGUGUGUCAUCCCCUGUUACUAGUGUUGGUAAUGUUCCUUUAUCCUCCACUUUAUCUCUCUCUAAUGUACUAUAUGUUCCAUCCCUUACAUGUAAUCUGCUUUCCAUUAGUCAGAUAACCAUGCAAGGCCCUUAACUGUGUGGCUCUGUUUUAUCCUACUCAUUAUAUUUUUCAGCACAUAUAUACCAAGGAGAGGAUUGGCAGUGGUAGACAACGAGGAGGAUUGUACUAUCUAGAGGGAGGAACAUCAUCACAAGUUUACCAUAGUCUAACACAUAUGAAGAGUACAAAUCAAUCGGCCAAUAUCGCAGAAAUUUUGUUGUGGCAUAAACAGCUUGGUCAUCCAUCAUUUGGAUAUCUUAGACGAUUAUUUCCAUCUUUAUUUGCUAAUUGUAACCUUUCAUACUUCAUUUGUGAGACAUGUGUUAUGGAUAUAAGUCAUCGUGUUGUAUUUCCUAUGUCUUCUAAUAAAGUUGCUACACCAUUUUCAUUAGUACAUUCGGAUGUAUAUGGGGUCCCUCCCCAGUUUCCACAAAUAAUGAAAUGAAAUGGUUUGUUACCUUUGUGGAUGAUUGUACUCGAAUGACUUUGGUAUACUUGCUAAAACAUAAGAGUGAUGUUUGUUCAGUUUUUCGUCUCUUUUAUCAAAUGGUACUCACCCAAUUUGACAAAUCUAUUAAAGUGGUACGUUCAGAUAAUGGAUGUGAAUAUUUCAAGAGAGAAUUAACAGAUUUUUUACAUUCAAAAGGUAUCAUUCAUCAAACAUCAUGCCGAGAGACUCCUCAACAAAAUGGAGUAGCUGAGAGAAAAAAUCGAUAAUUACUUGAGGUCAUCCGGUCACUAAUAAUUGAAAGUAGUGUGCCUACUUACUUGUGGGGAGAGGCUCUCAAUUCAGCUAUUUAUGUGAUUAAUCAUACACCCUCUAGUACCAUAUCCUUUCAACGACCGCUUGAUGUCCUUGCUAAUCAUUGCAUGCUUCCAUCAUUGGUUAAAUUGAUGCCUCGUAUCUUUGGAUGUGUAGCUUAUGUACACCUUUCACCUCAACAUCGAACGAAAUUUGAGUCAAGAGCUUUACAAUGUGUCUUUAUUGGUUAUGGGUCUACUCAAAAAGGUUAUAAAUGCUAUCAUUCGGAGACUCGUCGAUUCUAUACCUCUAUGGAUGUUAUCUUUGAUGAGUCAAAAUUUUAUUACUCUCUUCCAGAUUUAAAGCCUACUUGUCCUGAAGAUGUUCGAUAAUUUGCAAGUCAUGAUGAUGUCUUUUGUUUUGAGCUAAAAUUAGCAACUCUACCCACUAGUGGACCCUUGGACGAGGACACCUCUACUAUAGACACAUCCAUGGUAAUACCUACAGUUCCUGAUUCUUGUCCACAAGACUCUAAUGAUCAUUGUGAAAAUUCUCAACAACCUCUUGAUAGUACAUUACCUCCUAAUUCACCGGCCAACUCCUCUCCAGAGUCAUCACAACCUACAGGUACAACUCGAAAAUUCUUCUGAAAUUAGUUUGCCAUCUAACCUUGUUCAUCAUGCACUUCCACCACGAUCUACCCAUGGGAUUCCAGCUGCUAAAUAUGAACCCGAUCCAAAAGCCAAAGUGAAAUACCCAAUAAGUAAUCAUAUCUUAUCUCACAAGUUGUCUGCUUCAUAUGCAUCUUAUGUGUGUAAAUUAUCAUCUAUCUCUAUUCCUAGUACAUUACAGGAAGCUUUGGCAGAUCCUCAUUGGACUGCAACUAUGGCAGAGGAAAUGGAGGCUCUAAAAAGAAAUGGAACAUGGGAUCUUGUUAUCCUUCCAACAGGAAAAAAACUGUGGGAUGUCGAUGGGUCUUUGCUGUCAAAAACAAUGCAGAUGGAACUAUUGAAAGAUACAAGGCGAGACUUGUCGCCAAAGGGUACACGCAAUCUUAUGGGAUUGAUUAUCAAGAAACUUUUGCUCCAGUUGCUAAACUCAAUACUGUGAUAGUUCUUUUGUCUUUAGCAGCUAAUAAAGAUUGGCCUUUACUCUAAUUCGAUGUCAAAAAUACAUUCCUGCAUGGAGACCUUACAGAAGAUGUGUAUAUGGAUCCACCUCCUGGUAUUUCAGAAUAUGAAGGUAUCACUCGAGUUUGCAAACUCAGGAAGGCUUUGUAUGGCUUGAAACAAUCUCCUAGAGCUUGGUUUGGUAUAGAUUUACUCAAGUCAUCAAAAAGUUUGGUUAUACUCAAAGCAAUUUGGAUCAUACCUUGUUUAUAAAGCAUAACAUGGGUAAACUCACUGCCUUAAUUAUAUAUGUUGAUGAUAUGGUAGUAACAGGUGAUGAUGCUGAGGAAAUUCAGUGCUUACAACAACAUUUGGCAUCCAAAUUUGAAAUAAAAAAUCUUGGAGAUCUUAAAUAUUUCCUCAAGAUUGAGAUAGCUCGAUCCAAGCAUGGUAUAUUUAUGUCACAACGUAAAUAUACUCUCAAUUUAUUGAUUGAAACAGGGAUGCUUGGAUGUAAAUCAGUUGAUAAUUCAAUGGAGCAAAAUCAUAAGUUUUUUCAAUGUUCUCAUGCUAGUUCUACAGAUAAAGGGAGAUAUCAGAGACUUGUGGGAAAAUUAAUUUAUUUAUCCCACACUCGACCUGACAUUGCUUAUGCUGUGAGUGUGGUAAGUCAAUUUAUGCAUGAUCCACGUAAACCUCACAUGGAUGCUGUAGAACGGAUUUUGCGAUAUUUAAAAUCUUCUCCAGGCAAAGGUCUAUUAUUCUCCAAACAUGGACACUUAGAUGUUGAAGGGUAUACUGAUGUUGAUUGGGCUGGUUCAGCUGACGACCGGCGUUCUACAUCCGGUUAUUUCACUUAUGUAGGUGGCAAUCUUGUGACUUGGAGAAGUAAAAAACAGUCUGUGGUGUCUAGAUCAAGUGCUGAAGCUGAAUAUCGAGGAAUGGCAAUUGGAGUAUGCGAAUUAUUGUGGUUAAAAAACUUGAUGAAAGAUUUGGGAUUCUCUCAAAGAAUUGCAAUGAAUCUUUGUGAUAAUACAUCAGCUAUAGAGAUUGCCCAUAAUCCUAUUCAACAUGAUAGGACAAAGCGUGUAGAAGUUGAUAGACAUUUCAUCAAAGAGAAGCUUGAAGUCAACAUUAUCCAUUUUCCUUUUGUAAAGUCAGAAUUUCAACUUGCUGAUGUUCUUACAAAAGUAGUAUCCAACAAAGUGUUUACAAGUUGUCUUGACAAGCUGAGCAUGUGUGACAUCCAUGCACCACCUUGAGGAGGGAUGUUAGAAUAUGUGAUUAGGAGUAAUCUUCUCCUAUAAUAAUGGAGUGAUUAUCCCCCCUAAUAUCAGGAUAGAAUCGUGCAAUUAUGAUCAUUCAAAUAUAGCAAUAGAAUAUCUUGUUGUAACAGUAACAUAAGUUUAGCAAUAUAUUCUUGUAUAUAUAUCUGCUACAUUGAUGAAUAACAAUAUCAGAAAAUUCUAUUCUCUUUGUGUUUUAUCAUUUGGUAAUAGAAUUUAUUUUAUUCACAAAUAUGCACCGUUCAAUAUUCUCGGAUAUCAUAUUAUUCAUGUUUCAAAUAAUUUCAUAAUAUCAAUAAUUCUACAUAUCUCAUAUGAUGACAUUUAAUCACAACUCUUUGAUAUAGUUUGAAAAGAUAUUUUCUUAAAUUCUUAUUUUAAUUUUUUGUGAAAUUCGGGUUAUCACACAUUUUUCCAACUAAGCUCAAGUGUUAAACGAAUUUGAUUCUAGUUUAAACGAGUCAAAUUAAACUUAUUCGCAACAUCUAAAUUUGUUUACAACUAUAUCAACUUUUGUUGACCUCUUUAAAUUUUGAAUGCUACUUGAAAAUAUUAUAAAAUUUGAAUGCAAACUUUUUUUUAUCUUACCUAAUAUUUUUUUAAUUUUUUUCACGUAAUUUUCAAUUUUAUUCAAUGUUACGACAAAGAUUUUAAGACAUUUCACAAUCAUAUUUUUUUUUCUAAUUAUUCCGAGAUCCUAUUUCAAGAUCAUAUUCAAAUAUUAUGUAUUUAAAUAUUUCAAAUAUUCAAAUGUAUAUUUAUAAUUAUAUUAAAAAUAUUUUGAAAUUUAAUUUUGAUAAACAUCUUAAUUCUCGUGCCAUAGUUUGAGAAGAUUAAAAGUUCAAUACAAUGUCAGUAACACACGCGCAUCUUAAUAUUAUGAAAUGUCACUAAUGAAGUAUUUAUGGUGGACUAAAUUAUUCUUAUUUUAAUUAUGUGUCAUAAUUUUAACACAAAUUAUGCAUAAAAAGUCAUAUACACAAUAUGGAGAAAAAAGUAAUAUACACUAUGAUCAGAAAGCUUCAUUAAUUGUCCGAUCUGAGAUUUAUAUCCUCAACCGGAUCCUCUCUUACAUUAACCGGGGAAAUCUUUUUACUAUAUCUCCAAUUGCAUAACGACAAAACCAUUCCUGCAAAUACACAGACCAUGCAUGAUAAUCAUUAUGCUAAUAUCCAAUGUUGCUUGAAGCCAUAUUGCUUCUGUUAAUUAGGAUGAGUUUUCGUCAUUUUGUAGGCAAUAUAAAAGAACGUGUGAAUGAAUUUUUAUAAGUAUUUGUAACAUCUUAAUUUCACAUCGAAAUAUAUAGAAAAAAUUUAUCAUUAUAUAAAAAAUUAAGUUACUAAUAAUAGUACAUAUAGUUGGUUUUUGUUUUGAUUUACAAAAAACUAAAACCACAUUAUCUAUUUUUAAUAUGGGUUGUGUGGGUUGGAACCAUAUAUUAUAGACUAAAAAUAAGUCAACCCAUAUUUUAAAUUUCAAACUUACAGUUAUUAUGAUCCAAUUAAAUAAAUUAUUUAUCAUAUUUAAUUAUUUUAUAUUCCUUCACAUUUUAUCUCUAAUGUUUUAUGCAUUCUUUCUCUCUAAAAUUUUUUAUACACUCCAUCUAAAAUUUUUAGAUUUUCUCCCUCAAAAUUUUUAGUAUCUCUAAUGUUCUUUAAACUCUCUCAAAUCUGUAACAUUUUCCUCUCUAAAAUGUGAUUACAUUUUCUCUCUAAAUUUUGAUUAAAUUUUCUCUCUCUAAAAUCUGUCUCUCUCAAAUAGAAAGAAUGAAAACAAGUUUUGAGGCUCAAAAGUCAAAACCAAUAUGCUUAUAAUUCUGCACUAAAUAUGAAAAUUUGAUCAAAUUUUUGCAAGUAAAUUAAGCAUGGCACCUCUUGCUGUGAAGACGAUAUGGGUCAAUAAAAAUAAAAAUUGGUCAAAAUCAGUUAACUGGUUUGGACCUUUUUAUUAUUUGAAAAAUAUAUGUUUAAACUUUAAUCAACUUAAAAUUUAAAGUAGUUAAUCAAUUCAAAUAGUUCUAAUAAAUAUAGGUUGACCUAUCAAUUUAUAAAUCAAAUUAUAAUAUAUAUAUAUAUAUAUAUAUAUAUAUAUAUAUAUAUAUAUUUAAAGAAUUAAGUUAAUAACAAUAAUAAUUUCGGUUAGUAAAAUACGUUCAAUUAGUCAAGUCUAAAUGACCUUGAGUUUGUCGAAGUCUAUUUAGUCGUUAACUUUAAUUUAUAUAGUUGGAGUGCCGGUCGUUGGUAGUAUUUAGUAAAAGUAAACUCUCGGGUCGCUUUAAUUAAAUCGUCCACGAGAUUAUACAAGCCACGCAUAGUUCUUUGUCAAAGUAGUAGUAUGCAGUAAGUCCUUUGGAGGAAGAAAAUCAAAAAAAAAUUUGGGUCGAGACAUAAUACGGAAAGUUUGUGAACAGAAUCAUCCUGCAUAUAUAUAUAUAUAUAUAUAUAUAUAUAUAUAUAUAUAUACUAUCAUUUUCUAAUAAAGAAUUUGGUAAAUACCAUAUAUUAUAUUUAAAAGGCUUGAUUUGGUCAAAGUCAUUGAGCUGAGACUUUUAUUGAAUUUGAUGUGAAACAUUUCAAGGCAAAAAAAAGUUUGCAUUCUUCAUGUAGUAUUUAAAUAUAUAUAUAUAUGGCAAUAAAUUAAAUAUACUCCAUCUGUCUCAGAGAAAAUAUUAUUGAUUAAUUUUGUGUUUGUUUAAUAUCAAAAUCAGUAUUAAGAAACACAUGAUUGAAUAGAUACUUUGUAUUACUUUACAAGAGUUUUAAGAAUUAAUAAAACUACUUAUAUUAGAUCUUCAUUUAUCUAUUGAUAUCCCGAUGAAAAAUUCUGUAAUUAGUUUUUGAGUAAUUUUACAAGUGUUCUUUGAAGUUAAAGAGGAGGAUCUAACUUACUUAUACAUGAUUUUGAUAUCAUCUUAGGUAUAGAUUGGCUGAGCAAGCAUCGAGCCAUUAUUGAUUGUCAGGCGAGGAAGAUUAUUUUUGGAACUUUAGAGGCUCCAUAAUUCGAGUUUCAGUGUUCCAAGUCGAAUGGUGUUGUAAAGUUGAUUAUCAGCUUUGAAGGCGAACAAAAUAAUUGCUCAGGGAUGUGAUUAUUAUUAGGCUUAUUUGAAGGAUACCUUGAGGGAUGAGCCCCAACUUGAAGACAAUCUAGUUGUGCGGGAAUUUUUUGAGGUAUUUUUAAAGAUCUUUUAGGAUUACCACCGUCAAGUGAAGUUGAGUUUACCAUGGAGCUCAUUCUUGGAGCGGAACUUAUCUCUAAGGAACCCUAUAGGAUGGCACCAUUAGAGUUGCAGGAGUUGAAUGAAUAAUUGCAGGUGUUGUUAGAUCGUGGAUUUAUUAGACCGAGCGUAUCGCCAUGGGGAACUUCGGUCUUGUUUGUGAAGAAGAAUGAUGAAUCUAUAAGGUUGUGUAUAGAUUAUAGGGAGCUAAAUUGGAUCACUAUCAGGAACAGAUAUUCAUUGCCACGGAUUGAUGACCUUUUUAAUCAGCUCCAAGGGGCAAAGUUCUUCUCAAAGAUAGAUUUGAGGUUAGGGUACAAUCAGUUGAGGGUGAGGGAUGAAGACAUUCCUAAAACAGUUUUUCAUAUAUACUCGGUAUGAGCACUAUGAGUUUUUGGUGAUGUCAUUUGGGCUGACUAACGCUCCCACGGUGAUUAUGGAUUUGAUGAAUCAGGUUUUUAACGAGUGCUUGGACCAAUUUGUCACUGUCUUCAUUGAUGACAUUUUGGUGUAUUACAAGUUUAAGGAGGAGCAUGAAGAGCAUCUUCAUACUAUUUUGGGGGUUCUGCAGAAGAACAAGUUAUAUGUUAAGUUCUCUAAGUGCUAGUUUUGGCUAGAACAGGAAGCAUUUUUGGGACACGCCGUGUCUACAGAAGGCAUUAAGGUGGGUCUUGCGAAGGUUGAGGUUAUCUUUAAUUGGCCGAGACCCCCACGGUAACCGAAAUUAGGAGUUUCUUGGGCUUGACAGGAAACUACAGGCUAUUUGUGGAAAGUUUCUCUUUGUUAACUUUGUUAUUAACUGAGUUGAUUGAGAAAGGACACAAAGUUUGUGUGGAAUGAGGAGCGUGAAAAUAUUUUUGAGGAACUUAAAAAGAGGCUUGUAUCGGCUCCAGUACUCACACUAACGUAGGGGACAUGACAUAAUUAUAUUAACAAUGAUGCUUCCAAGAAGGGUUUAGGGAGUGUUUUGAUGCAACCUGGUAAGGUAAUUUUGCCUAUACCUCCAAAUAACUUAAACCUUAUGAGGUGAAUUACCCUACCCACGACAUGGAAUUAGCAUCAGUUAUUUUUGCCCUAAAGAUUUGGAGGCACUAUCUAUAUAGGGAGACUUGUGACAUUUUCACCGACCACAAGAGUCUUAAAUAGAUUUGGAGGCACUAUCUACAUAGGGAAUCGAUAAAUUAUCGGACCAGACCGGCUCGUACUGAUUACCGAAAGUAGCCAUGUUUAUGUACCGAUAAUAGUACCGGUUAACAGGUUCGGUACCGAUACGGUACCGGUUUGUACCUAUACCGGUUGUAUGUAAGUAACUAAGAAGCAUCACUGAACUGUUAUCAACUAAGCAAGUAAGUAUCACUGAUUCACAUAUUUCAAUUAACCCAUUCAAUCAUAAAGAUUUCCAAAUCAUACAUUAAAAGCAACAAGCAACAAUACAGGUCAACAAUACAUAUGAUCAAACAUAAAGUUAAGUUAAAUAUCAAUACAGCAAGAUGAAUACAUCAAUACGGUAAGACAUAACAAUUAACAUCAAAACAAAAUAGUACUUCUUCAAAUUAUGAAUACAGUAUCUCAAGGAUCAAUAAACAUCAAUACAUCAAUAUUGUAGUAGUGAUAAAACAGCCAGCAGCAGUGUUAGCAACAAAAUGGCCAUGAGCCACCAUUCAGAUAUCAAGGAAAAAAUGAUCCACCAUUACUGCAAAGCAAAAAUGAGAUUUUAAACCACACCUGUUGUAAGACCCCAACUUAUUAUUAAUGAAAUUGAAUUUCCUCUAUUUAUUAUUUUGAAAUAGUAAGGGUUGAUUUGAUUAAUGUGGUUAGUUAUGGGUAAAAUGCGCAAAUAUUUCAAGUAAGCAAGUGGUUAUAAAAUAUUCAUUGUUGUCGGGGAAUAUUCAUUUGGUCGUGGAAUAUUCGUACGACGGCGCAGCCUUGUGUGGGCCCAUAACGAAAAGCGAUUGGAUGAAGAAAACGACAAGUAUAAGUUGUUUAUAAAUAACGGCGUAGUUGUUACCGUUAAUACUGUUUUAAUACCCGGUGGUUAAAACACAGUAGCACAAGGUAUUGCACCAAUUAUUAAUUCUUACAUAAGAAGGCACUACUCAAUAAUUGUUACAGUAAUUAAUGUUCAAUAUUUUAUUUUAUUGAUUCAAUAAUUGCUACGUUAAUAUGUUAUAUUAUUGUUGUUUCAAUAAUUGUCACUGCACAGUAAUUUUCUUUAUCAAAUCAAUAAUUCAUAUUAUUUGAAUAAUAUUAUUAGAUAACAUUAUUGGCAAUGUCUAGAAAGUUCUAUCUAAGGAGAGGUUUGGUCACCUAAUUGCGCUCCAGUAAGGAGAAAUCCUUAUUGGAAAACCCCUUCUUUCCUGGGAACGGCUUGGUUGUCAGUAUUGCAAUUAUGUAAUAUUAUUUAUGAAUAAUUAAUUAUUGAUUAUUAUGAUAAGGAAAAUAUUCAUUUUAUGUGGAUAUAGAUAGAGAAAAUUUUAAAGUGAAAUUUUUUGAAAAAUUGAUAUUUUAUCUUUUCUGAUAAAAUAAUUCAUUUAAAUAUAUUAUUAUAUUUUAAUAAUAUAAUAAUGGUGAUAUUUUUACAAUGAAUGUGGGAUAUAUGAAUAAAUGAGGAGGAAGAUUAUUUUUGUUACUAAAAAAUAUUUAAAACAUGUUUUUCAUGUUUGUGGACCCCAUUUCUUUACUGAAAUUUGAUUAUAGCCUGUAAAAUCGUCCGUAUGUGGAUUUUGGUCAAUUUCUGUUUGGAAUUUGGAAAAACUUAAACUUACAACGUUGUAGAGAAUUGAAUUUCCUAUGGAAUGGACAUAAGAUUCGAAUUUUUCUGAUAAAGGGCUAUUUAUUAUGAAUUAUUGAAGUUCUGAAGUUCCAGAAUAAUUGAUUUUUAGAAGUUUUAAUUAUUUUUAUUAAGAAAAAAGUUUUUAUUGAUUUUGGUGAGGGGGAACCACUUGUGUGGCAGAUGUUUUGGAUCAAAGGAAGUGUGCGUAGGAAUUUAUAAUAUAUAUAAUAAUAUUUUAUUAAAUUUUCUGCUUUGGUGUUCUAAGCAUUUUCCUAUAAAUAAGAUGCUUAGGUUAGAAUUGAAAAUCACACCAGAAACAAGUUUUCUCUCUCUUUCUCUCUCUAUAUUAUCGAGCGUAUUCUUGUGAGUAUUUUGAUANNNNNNNNNNNNNNNNNNNNNNNNNNNNNNNNNNNNNNNNNNNNNNNNNNNNNNNNNNNNNNNNNNNNNNNNNNNNNNNNNNNNNNNNNNNNNNNNNNNNNNNNNNNNNNNNNNNNNNNNNNNNNNNNNNNNNNNNNNNNNNNNNNNNNNNNNNNNNNNNNNNNNNNNNNNNNNNNNNNNNNNNNNNNNNNNNNNNNNNNNNNNNNNNNNNNNNNNNNNNNNNNNNNNNNNNNNNNNNNNNNNNNNNNNNNNNNNNNNNNNNNNNNNNNNNNNNNNNNNNNNNNNNNNNNNNNNNNNNNNNUAGCGAGUACUAGUCGGGGUAUGGAAUGAUGGUUCUAGAAGUUGUUUUAGUAGUCCUCACUAUUUUGUAAAAUAGUGUAUCAAUAAUUGUAAUGAGGACUUAUUUGAGUGUUGAUAUUGUCUAGAAGACAAUAUUUGUUUUUAAACUCAUAGUUUAUAUGUUGUCGUAUUUUGCACGACAAUUGUAUUAAUAAAGUUGUAAUUGUUUCUGUACCAUGUAUUUGGAGACUCAGAAUGGGUGUUGUAUACCUAUUUUGGGGGCGUCACAGUUGAUAUCAGAGCUUAGGGAUAUGAUCUCUAGCGAAGAUCGGGGAAUAAAACUAAGAGGGGAGAGACGAGUAAAUCCUUCGCUAGUGUGUCCUACCUAAGCUUAUUUGUUGGUUGGUCAGAAAAUAAGGAUAUUAUGUGAUAUGUUAAUUUCUUUAAUUAACCCUUGUUUUAUGGCAGUAUUUGAGAAUGGCAACUGAGAAUGUUAACAGUGGAGUAAAUGAGACCGUGGAGACACCUUUACUCACCAAUGAGGAAAAUGUGCAACAGGCCGGCAAUGUUCCUCCUGUAAACAACACCACUGAUCAGACGAUGAACGAUGGGAUGUUUAGAAGCUUUUUGCAGUUCAUGCAAAAUCAGACGAAGGAGACUCGUGUACAAAAUACAUGUGAAAAUGAUAGCAACGCACGGUUUAUCACAGCCAAGCAGUUCAAAGAGUUGGGACCACCAGAAUUCUGGGGAAAGCUGGAUCCGAUUAAGGCGGAGACAUGGGUCAAACAAAUUACUGAGAUAUUCGAUGUCUUGGGAUGUACGGAGGAAAAGAAGGUUCCAUUUGCCACCUUUAUGUUCCGUAAUGAGGCAGAUUACUGGUGGGAAUCUGUGAAGCGUACCCAUCCAGCCGCACUCAGCAUGUCUUGGAAAACGUUUCAGAAACUGUUCAAUGACAAAUACUUUCCUGAAAGUAUUCGUCAUAUGAAGGAGGUAGAGUUUAUUAGACUUGAGCAGAAUAACAUGACAGUGUCCCAGUACGAGGCGAAGUUUUCGGAGUUAUCCAGGUUUGCACCUCAUUUGGUGGAGAAUGAGGAAUGUAUGACGCGAAGGUUUCUAAGAGGUUUGAAACCCGGCAUACGUCAGUAUCUCAGUUCUCAUAAAUUUUCUCUCUAUUUAGAUGUUGUCAACAUGGCUCAAUUAUUAGAGCGAGAUAACGAGUAUGUUCAACCGAGGGACUACAACCAGGAUCAUACCGGUGACAUCAGUCAUCAGAACAACGAUAACCAGCGGAGAAAGAAAAAUACGGACAAAAACAAUAACCACUCUGGUGGUAAUCAUGGCCAUGAAAAUAGAAGAAGUGAGUCGGGGGGAGAUUUUAAAAAGAGGAGAUUCAACAAUGACAAUGCGAAGACGUCAGCACCAGCAGCAACUGGUUCUAAGGGAGGAGAACUAUGAGACCCCAAAUUUUAUGAAUAAAGAUUUAAAUUUCUCGAAAUAUUUUUUUGAAUAUUAUGGUGUGGAUUUAAUAUAAUGUUAUAGUUGUGGGUAAUAUUUACAAAUUUUGCAAAGUAAGCAAGUGGUUAUAUAAUAUUCGAUUGGUCAGGGAAUAUUCUUUUUGUCGGGGAAUAUCCGUACGAUGGCACAAUCAUUGGUGGACCCUACAACAGAAGUAUUGUCGUUGUUAGAAAAUGACAAAAUUAUCAUUUUAUAAAAAUAACGGCGAAAGUGUUACCGUUAAAACUGUUGAACUACCCGGUAGUAAAAGUACAGUAAUACCGUGGUUGCAUAGUAGCACACAGUAUUGAUUAUUGAUGUUUACGUAAGAAGUCACUCAGUUAUACUCAAUUAUUGCUACAGUAAUUGCUGCAUCAUAUCUCUCAUAUUAUUGAUUCAAUUAUUGUCACAGUAUCAUCUGCAUAAUAUGUUAUAUUAUUAAAUCAAUAAUUGAGACGACAAAGUUAUUCAUAUUAUUAUUUGCAAUAUUGACAAUGUCUAGAAGUUCUGUCAAGGAGAGGUUUGGUCACCUAAUUGCGCGCCAAUAAGGAGAAAUCCUUAUCGGAAAGCCCCCUCUUUCCUGGGAACGACCUGGUUGUUAAAUAUUGUGAGUUAUAAUAUUAAUGAUGAAUAAGUUCGUGUUGAUUAAAGAUGAAAUUGAUAGUUCCAUUGUGUUGGAAUUAUUAGUGUUAGUGGAAAUCGACAUUUAUUUCGAUAAUAAUUGAUGUCUGGAGGUUAUAUUGACCAAUCGGGUAAUUAACCGGAUAAAUGAGCAAUUAAUUGCUAUUAAUUCACAUGAUUAUAACUAUUUGUUCACAUGUGUGUACUAUUGAUUCACAUUCAUUUACUAUUAGGGGAGUUGGUGCAAGAUUGAUAAUACUUGCAUGACUAAGUUAAAAAUGGAGGUAUAGUUGAAGGUACUAUACUGUAAUUAAUUUUUUUCACAUGUCUAGAACUAUUGAUUCACAUGAUUUACUAUUAGGGGAGGUGGUGAAAGUUUGAUAAUACUUGCAGAACUAAAUUAAAAAUAAAGGAAAAGAGGAAGGUAUUAUACUGUAAUAUUCUGAGCCCCAAAACGUGCAAUUAUCAAAACUAUAUUUUUCUAUAAAUAGAAGCUCAUUCUUCCUUCAUUUCUCACCAAUUCACUAAAGCUAUAGAGCAAUUAUUAUAGAGAAAAAUUAUAGAGAGAAAGAAGAAGAGAAGUCUGCUACCUCUCUAUUCCAGUAUCCAGCUUUAUUCUAAGGUAAGGGGUAUUAUUUCUUUCGUAUUCAUGAAGAGAGCUAUUGUUAUUCCAUUCCUUAUUAUUCUGUUGGAACAACCUGUAUAUGCGAAGUACCGCAUACAUGGUGAAAUUCUUCUGUUAUUCCAUUCUUCAUUUUUAUGUUGGAAUAACCUGUUUAUGCGAAGUACUGCAUACAUGGUGAAAUUCUUCUAUUAUUUUGCUCUUUAUUAUUCUGUCGAAAUAUCCUGUCUGUGCGUUUACGCCGGACCUGGUUCCAUCAUUUAUUAUUCUGUCGAAAUAUCCUGUCUGUGCGUUUACGCUGGACCUGGUUCCAUCAUUUAUUAUUCUGUCGGAAUAUCCCGUCGGUGCAUUUACGCAUGAUCUGGUUCCAUUAUUUAUUAUUCUGUUGGGAAUAACCUGUCUGUGCAGUCUAUCGCACGCAUGGUGAAUCCUUCUGUUAUUCCAUUCUUUAUUAUUCUGUUGGAAUAACCUGUCUAUGUGGAUUAUCACAUGCAUGGUGAAUGAUCCUUUGUAUUCAUUCCUUAUUAAAUUGUGGAAAUGAUCUGUCUAAGUGGAUUACCGCAUGACGGACGAAAAUCCAUUUGCAGUUUCAUAUAUUCUCUUAUACUCAGUUGGUUAAAUCUUUGACUUCUAUACUCCAUAAAAUUUGGGAAUAUCCUUGAUAUUUGCGCUUCAUCCAGUAUCUAUUCAUGGAAAUAUUCUUCUAAGCGUUCUUGAAUUUUACUCUACAAAGAAGUAUCCUAGUGACAUUUUGGGACGUUAUUGGUUCCUGGAUAAAUUAAUUCUUGAACUUGUUUUAUUGAAUUAUUAUGUCAUUGUCAUGAUGAGUUAUGUUGGUUAUUAUGUGAAAACAUGAAAGUUUCUUAGAAAUCACAAAGGGUUAAAAAUCAGAUUUUGGUGAAAAUGGAACAUGAAAUUCAAUUGACCAUAUCUCCUAUUAUAUUUUGAAUUUUUAAGUGUGGUCAAGUUCUAGAGUUAUAUCUAUGAGUUUUCUAACUUAUCCAAGUGGAAUCACUUAAAAGGUGUUAUAGAUUUUCGUGUGGACUAAUUUUAGCAAAGGAGUCAAAAGCUGCUUCGCGACUCAAAAUGGGUGUACCAUGUUUUUCGCGACUCAAAAUGGGUGUUGUAUACCUAUUUUGGGGGCGUCACAACUGUGACGCCUCCAAAAUAGGUCCACACAACCUAUUCUGAGUUGCCAAAUACAUCGUACAAAAAUCAAAUACUGUGACACCCCCAAAAUAGGUAUACACAACUCAUUCUGAGUCGCCAAAUACAUGGUACAUAAUUUAAAUACAAACUUAAUUUACACAACACGACAAACGUAAGCUGAGAGUUUUAACACGAAUAUUGUCUCGUAGACAAUAUCCAAACUCAAAUGAAGUCCUCAUUACAAUUAUUAUCACACUAUUUCAUAGAAUAGUGAGGACUACUAUAGCCACCAUCUUGGACCAUCACUCCAUUACCCGACUAGUCCCAACUAUAUUCUCAUUUCUUGAAGAGAACAAUAAAAGAAAAGGGUCAGCUCAACUAGCCCAGUAAAGAAUAUUAUGACUAAGAUAAUGUAGAAUAAAUUAUCCUUAGUCUUCAUUAGUAUAUAAACUAAUAGAAUACAAUAGACAACAAGUUUAACUACAGCGGAACAAGCAACCCAUUAGAAAAGUCAAGUAGAGCAUGAUGUCUACUAUCUUCUAUGAUUUAAAAUUUUAUCAUCAAUAUUUUAUCUCUGUAACACAUCUCAAUAAAUAAUCUACAUCACCGAAUUAUCCAUGCACUGCGGGCCAAGGAUAUUUAUUAGUAUCACAUCCAUGAAUCAUCCAUGCACUACGGGCCAAAGAUAUUCGUUAUUAUCACCAGUGGUCAUGAUCAUGCCAAACAACUGUCCAUCAAUGCACUAUGGGCCAAUGAUGACUUUUAACACAUCAUUUGUAACAUUACAGGCCAUGAUUAUACCGAUACAUAAUUCCUGGUCAUAAUCAUACCAAUCAACAGUCCAUCUAUGCACUACGGGCCAAAAAUAACUUUAUCACAAUAUAAGCAUGAGGAUGAUGACAAUGAUAUAAGAAUUCAAUUAAGUGAGAUCAAGAAUAAAUUUUAAAGAUUUAUAAUUCAAUUUAUCCAGAGUUUAAGAUUUUCCAAAUUGCCAACAUGAUAACUGCUUUGUGGAGUAAAAUUCAAGAAUAAUAUUCAUGUAUCAAAAAUAAUUUGGACAGAAAAGAAAUCAAUUUUUAUCGUGAAUAGUACUUCGUGAAUAGUACCCCGUGGAUAGUACUAUAUGUAUGAAUAGUACCAUAUGAAUAGUGUCAUAUGUAUGAAUAGUACCCAUGUAUAUUACUUCGGCAUGAAAAGCUUAAAAUUUAACAAGAAUGUUCAGAAAAAUAUUUCAGUGCAACGAUACUAGAUGAAACGCAAAUUUCAAGGAUAUUCUAUUAAUUUCAAGGAGUAUAGAAGCAAUACUUUUUAACAUAAGUGUAGAAUUAGGAAUAUGAAACGAAAUAAUAUUACUUACAUACUACACAGUAUGGAAGAAAAUAUUAUUUUUUACGAAUAUUGAACAAAAAUAAUAUCCCUUACCUUAAAAGGAGAGUACUUCUGACUAGUAUAGCGGGGAUAUUCUUGAAGAAAACUUGCACUAUUUGCUACACUCAAAGUUUUCUUAACUCAAAAGAAAUAUGCUCAAUAUUAUAGAAGAAGAAUUCUCUGAUUCUGGUGUGAUUUUCAUUUCUAAACUAAGCAUCCUAUUUCUAGGAGAAUGGCAGGGUACUAUUUAGGAAAAAUCACGGACCCACAAUAAAGGAAAAAUCACGGGUGCAAAAUCGGCUGAAAUUCACGUGAUUUUUACUAUGCAACACUAUGCAAACACUAUGCAGUACUAUGCAAAUACUAUGAAGUACUAUGCAAACACUAUGCAAUAUAAAACAAAAACUGAGAUAACUUUCUACCGAUAAUUUUGAAAAAUGAGUAAGUGGGGGUCCAUGUAAUAAGCCAAAUUUAUAAUAAAUACUUCAUGACAAACCCCUUUUAUUUAUCACAAUUCACUUGAAUAAUCACAUUUUUAAACUUUCAAUAUUUAUUCAUCAUUAAUAUUAUAACUCACAAUAUUAACAACCAGAUCAUUCCCAGGAAAGAGGGGUCUUUUCGAUAAGGACUUCUCCUUAUUGGCGCAUAAUUAGAUGACCUAACCCCUUUCCUUGACAUAACUUUCUAGACAUUGUCAAUAAUGCAAAUAAUAAUAUGAAUAACUUUGUCGUGUCAAUUAUUGAUUUAAUAAUAUAAAAUAUUAUGCAGAUGAUACUGUGUCAAUAAUUGAAUCAAUAAUAUGAGAUACUAUUAAUCAACUACUGUGGCAAUUAUUGAAUAAAACUGAGUGACUUCUCACGUAAGCAUCAAUAAUCAAAGAUACUGUACAAUAUCGUCUGCUACUGUGCAACCACUCAUAUUACUGUACUUUUAUCACCGGGUAUUUCAAUAGUUAACGGUAAAAGCCUUUUCGUUAUUUUAUGAAUAGGUUAUUUCUGUUGCUUUCUAAAUCCGAUAAUAAUUCCAUUGUGGGGUCCACCAAUGAUUGUGCCGUCGUAUGAAUAUUCACCGACCAAACGAAUAUUUUAUGACAACUUGCUUACUUUGAAAAAUUUAUAAAUAUUACCCACAACUAUAACAUUAUAUCUAAUACACACCUUAUUAUUCAAAAAGAUAUUUAGAGAAAAUUUCCAUGGAGCAACACGUAACAAAUUUCCAUUGAGCUUUCCUCUCUUUUCAAAUCUUGUAACUCCUUUCCAUGGAGCAACACGUAACAACACAUGAUCUCUAACAUUGAAUUUCACGUCCCUUCGAUGAAGAUCAACAUAACUCUUUUUUCGAUCUUGUGAGGUUCGUAUACGUUGCCAGAUCAUUUGAAUCUUUUUCGUAAUCAUACAUACCAAUUUUGGUCCCAACAAUGUUGCUUCACCCACCUCAUCCCAGCAUACUGGAGAACGACACUUUCGUCCAUACAACGCCUCAAAUGAAGUCAUGCCUAUACUUGCUUGAUAACUGUUGAUGUAGGAGAAUUCCACUAAUGCAAAGUAUUUGUCCCAACUUCCUUUGAAGUCUAGGACACAGAGUCUUAAUAGAUCUUCAAGAGUUUGAAUAGUAUUCUCCGACUGCCUGUCCGUCUGAGGAUGAUAUGCAGAACUGAAUCGUAAAUUCGUGCCCAUAGUGUGACGCCCCCAAAAUAGGUAUACACAACCCAUUCUGAGUUGCCACAUACACGGUACAAAAUUUAAAUACAAACUUCAUUUAUACAACUGUUGAACUGUCGUGCAAAAUACGACAAUACAUAAGCUGUGAGUUUUAAUACAAAUAUUGUUACGUAUAUAAUAUGACAAUAUUCAUACUCAAAUUAUUACCAUGCCAUAUAAAGUACAACAACAAAUAUAUCAAGUCUCCAAAGGGACAUGAGAAGAUUUAUGUCCUCCUCAUUCUAAUGGAGUACAUUUUUGACGCUUUCAAAGUUGGGUUCUCAUCACCCUAUUGUUGUUCACUAAAAUUAAUUAUUAAGUGACGUAUAAUAUACGACACACCCAUCUUAGGCCCUUAAUACAAUUAUAUAUUGCAUGUCAUGUAGUUUUAUAAUGUAUUGAGAAACUUCCACAGUCUCGGACCAUCACACUAUUCCCCUGCUAUCCUCGUUUGACCUAGCUACACUCUUAAUACCUGUAAGGAAUUGUGAAGUAAAAGGGUGAGCACAAAUAGCCCAGUAAAGAAUAUUAUGACUAAGAUAAUUAAUUUAUCAAUAGCCUUCAUCAGUAAUAAAUCAGAUAUUUAGAACAUAUGGUAGAUAACAAAAGUUUUCAACCAGAGUUGCAGUGGAAUCAAUAAUCCAUUAGAAGAGUCAAGUAGAACAUAAUGUCUACUAUCUUCUCCAAAUUAAAAGUCCAUCGUUAAUAGUUCGUUACUGUAAUAUCCAUCAACAUUUCUUUGUUGUACCGAAGACAAAGAGAACUUUAAUCACCUGUCUUCACCUGAACUACCAAAGAUUAUAGUUAAAUUCACAAUUCAUGUUUAUAAUCAUGUAAAUCAACAGUUUCUCCUUGCCACAAAAGCUUAAUAGAAUGUACACUCAAUAUCCUUAACCCAAAGGCUAAAGACGUUCAAAUGUAAUAACAAUGAUCAUACCAAUUAGUUGUCUAUCUUUGCACUACGAGCCAAAAAUAUUUAACUAUAAAACAAAUGGUCAUGAUCAUACCAAUCAAUUGUCUGUCAGUGCACUACGACCAAAGACAUUCAACUGUAAGACCAAUGGUCAUGAUCCUGCCAAACACAUCAUCGAAUUAUCCAUGCACUACGGGCCAAGGAUAUUCGUUAGUAUCACCAGUGGUCAUAAUCAUGUCAUACACCUGUCCAUCUUUGCACUAUGUUCUAAUGAGGACUUUUACCACAUCAUUUAUAAUAUUACAUGUCAUGAUUAUACCGAAACAUAAUUCCAAGUCAUAAUCAACAGUACAUCUAUGCACUACGGGCCAAAGAUGACUUUCAUUUCAAUAUAAGCAUGAAGAUGCUGACAAUGAUAUAAGUAUCAGUCAAACGAAAUCAAUGAUAAAUAUUAAAGAUUUUUAAUUUAUCCAGAGUUUAAAAAUAUCCAAAUUGUCAACAUGAUAAGUGCUUUGUAGAGUAAAAUUCAAGAAUAAUAUUCAUGUAUCAAAAAUAAUUUGGACAAAAAAAAAAUUAAUUUUUGUCGUGAAUAGUGCCCCGGGUAAAUAGUACCCCGUGAAUUGUACCCCAUGAAUAGUAUUUUAUGAAUAGUGUCGUACGUAUGAAUAGUGAUGUACGUAUGAAUAGUGAUGUAUGUAUGAAUAGUACUCUGGCAUGAAAAGAUUAAAAUUUAACAAGAAUGUUCAGAAAAAUAUUUCAGUGAAACGAUACUAGAUGAAGCGCAAAUUUCAAGGAUAUUUUACUAAUUUUAAGGAGUAUAGAAGCAAUACUUAUCAAAAUGAGUGUAGAAUUAAGAAUAUGAAACGAAAUAAUCACUACUACAAAACAGUAAAUAGACAACGCGAAAAAAACGUUGUGAUUUUAGUCAGAAAAACGUCAGGGUUAAGGGUGUCAUCUAUCUGACACCCUUACAUAACGUUUUUAAAACGUUGUAGUUAAGCACAUUACACAACGUUUUUUAAGAAAAAAAUGUUAUAGAUUUAUUUUUCAUAAAUUAACAGAUGCUUAAAAACGUUGUAGAAUGUAUGAUUCCACAAUGUUUUCUGGAUAAAAAUGUUGUAGUUUAAUAUAUCAGACAACGUUUAGGCAUAUUUACACAACAUUUUUAAAAUGUUGUAGAUUAAAAAAAAAGAAAAAAAAAAGUUGUGUUUCACCUACAUUACCAAUGCACUUGCAAUAUGCUUAUGCCUGAAAGAUUAAAAGAGUUGUAACUUCAAUCAUUUAUCAAAGAUUCCAAAUAAUCCAACCACACAAUUAAUUUAGCAUUUGCAAGGAUACAUAUUUAGCUAAUAUAGUCUAUACUAUUCAGUCAAUUAUUUUGACAUUGAUGCACCAGAAGUAUAACAAUUAUUGCAAAGGUCCCUAGUUUAGACACUGAUGACAUCACCGAGUGCUGAAAGUGAUUUAUUUAUGCUCUGAGUUUCAUUUAGUUGACUACCAGUAGACCCCGACUUCUUCACUCUUUCAGAACCAGCAAGGUCUACAAAACUUAGCUGCACAGUAGACAUAAAAUGGUCAUGUAAAGAUGAAUUAACAAGUGAUUUUUCAUCAAAAAAAAAAACAAGCACAAUAUGUUCUCCGGAUCAAAGCAUUGUAUCUUCUUUCCCAUCUUCAUUCACACUACAUUUGAUAUUCUUUUAUUUAUAAUAGACAUUGCAGCAUUUUUUAAAUUCAUGACAAAGGAUAGGAACAGAAAAUGCAGAUGCAUGCACCUGCACUCAAACAAGAUAACAUAACUUAAUUCACUUUACAUUAAAAUAUACCUUUCCCCUCUUGAUGCUGCUGCAGAAACAAAAAUCGGCUCCACAGGGCUGCAUUUUAAGUCCAAUACACUGCAUCACUAUUUAAUUCCAUAUCUGUUUAAUAUGAAGUUGAACAAGUUAAAAACUAAUCUAUAGUCAGUAGGAUAGUCAAAGUUUGAGGUAACUCCUUAAUCGACUACUGUUAGUAAUUUCAAUUAUUUGAAGUGACAUUCAGAACCGUUUUGAGAAAUAUUUUCUGAUUUUGUAUGUUACACAGUACUGCAUAGGGCAUAUUCAUUAGACUUUUGCAACAGAAGCAGUAGUAGAUCUGCUAAUUCUUUAACCUGCAAGGCCAUAAAAAAUCAAGUUCAGCCUUUAGAAAAUCACAUAAGAAAAGGAGGAAAGUUGCAAGGUGAAAAAGAUAAUAAUGGAGUUCUUUAUACCUGAUUCAAAGUUUGUCGACUUUCCACAAUCGAAAUGCAGCCUCAUAAUCUAUUAUCCCGAUCACAGCAGUUAUGAUGAUAGCUCCCAAGAUGACAUUGGGAGUGUAAUAAAACAGUGGCAUGAGAAACAAUAAAGUUACUAGGACAGCUACAAAUCAAACAACUAAGAAUACUUAAAAGUAUAUAUUUCUUUUCAUACACGUGAUAUGAGUUAGCAUAUCCACAUAACAAGAGGACUACACAUCAGUAUGUAGUAAGCCCUAACCAAGACAACUUCCACUAGCUUACUGCCUCAUAUUGGCUUGCUGCCACAAUAAAAGGUCAGUCAUGCUAAUUUCCAUGAACAACUUCAACCAUAUUAUCCAAAUAUCAUUGCAGAUGGGUGCAUUCACAUGUUCACAUGGCUGCAUAUGAUAACCAAUACCAACAAGGAGAGAAGACAACUUAUCAAAUAAUUAUAGUCUCUAGAAUAAUAAUUUCAGCAUUACUUACUUGUGCAAGAACAGCAGCUGCUAACUGAAGGCUUGGUUCUAAGGUCUCAGGGACGACCUACAUAAAUUUAAACUCAAAUUCAAGAUAUGAAAUAUAGGGAAUGAAGGUUCUAAUUAUGAAAAAGUUUUACAAGCAGAGUAAUGAUUAGAGAAUUUUUAGCCAACCACUGCUUGAGAUCAAAUAGUUGCAAUACAUAAAAAGUUUAGUAUUCCAGGGACUUUUGUUUAUUUUGUUGUGAGGGGAAAAGGGGGUGGGAAGAGGGGUGGGAAUAAGUAAAACAACUUCAAUGAUUUUCAAUUUGACAUCUCCAGAAGCCCUAAGGAUGCACAUUGAUCUUUUUACCUAUAUUUACAUGUACAUCAUCGUCAACCUUCACGUAGAAAUCGGCAUCCCACAAAGCAACAACAGUAGCAAAAAAUGUCUUUGUCUUGGACGACAGUUCAAGGUAUCCCUCAACAUGUUCCUGCUCAGAUUGAAUUCAAAUAACAAGCAGGAUCAGUUAGCAUGUUUUCUCGGAGUAACCCAUGCAAAAGAAGGCAAUAAGAUGCAUGUGUGCAUGGAGGAGUUUAUACAGUAAUGUUUUACAUACAAAGAAACCAUGCAUAGACUAAGUAUUGAAAUACGUACCUGAUAUCAAGUUCGGUAUAUGUGGACAUCAUCAACAUGUGAUAGGAUCAUAUUAUGAGCCGCAAUGAAAGUCUCUCUCUCCGAAUUGCCUAGGCAACAAUUCCCAAACGAAACUAAGCAACGAGAUGAUGGAUAAAUCCCUAACCUAUAUCCAUGAAUUGCUGCAACAUUAGGCUCAUUGAAGGUUAUCUAGUACUUCACUCGGUCCCCAAAGUAAUUGAAACAUACAUUUGCGUAGAAUUUGAAAUCCUCCCUAAGAAAUAUAUAUGAUUCAUGGUGCACUUUAGGGGUAAAUUUUGAACAGUACCAUAUGCACAUAUAUGGAGUAAAACCAUAGUCUUUGAGCUGCCUGAAACCACUUUUGCUGAUUACCUUUUUCAGGCAGUGGUGUUAAUAUAGGCCUUGUAAUCAGUUGAUUACCUUUCAUUUCUUACUCGUAAGAAAAAGAAGGAUCAUUUGCAACAUCAUUUACCUGCCUGAAACCACUUUUGCUAUUUCAGUCCAUCUGUUGCCAAAUAUCUUGUGAGCCUGCAUAACAUUUCUAAGAAUCAGGUCACACUCAACUAACAAUAAAUAAGGUUUAUUUUUCUGGCUAGAAAAUCAUACAAGUGGAAGGUAAAGCAUUAGUAGUUGAAGAAAGAAAGUGUAAUAAUAACAUAGCAUCAUCAUUUUACCUCACAUAAGAGCACGUCUUCCUCAGGUGACCAUCCCCCUUUUUUGACAUCAGAAUUCAAAUAAGUGUACCAUCUGCAAUUGUUUUUUCAUAUCUACAUCAAAUUAAUUGGACUAAACAACACAAAUUAAGGAUAUAUGGGAUGAAUAAAAGAAGAAUAAGACGACAAAUACAAGAAUCAGAACUGUCAAAUUUAAAAAUAAUGGAGUAACCUUCUUUUGCACUGUCUUGUUGUUUUAUCUUUGAAUUUGGAAGUAAUAAUGGCCCAACUGCACUAUAGUUUCAAGCUUUUAAAUCAUUAAUAUUACAAAUGAAAUUCAUAAUAAACAUUUUUAAUCACUUAAUAAUGCUCUAUAAGUGAAAAUAUCAAAAGAACAUUUAUCUUUGCAAUAACGAGUAAAAGAGAGAAAUCAUUAUAAUAAUUAAAAUAUCCCCACAAUAUACACCAACUUCCAGCUCAAAAGCGAUGCAUAAAUAAAUACAAAAACAAGCAACCAGAAUAAUGAAUUAAAUCAACUACUCUGAACCAAUUUAUUCUUCAAGACUAAAAAUAGAAUAAGGAAAAGAUUGCUCCAAUCUAGUGAAGAAAGCAAUUUGUUGAAACCAACCUUCGCUCUGCUGGGGGAAAUAGCCAACUACGUGGUAGCAGCAGCAGCAAAGGAAGUAGUGAUUUCAAAGAAAAUUUAUGAAGAAGUCCAGAAAUUUUCAAAAACCAAGUAUUAGUAUAAUAACAAGGGAGGCUUGAACAAUAUGUCAAGUUGAAUAUAGGAGUAUAUCAUUAGGAUAACCAGUAAAAAGAUUGAAAACACAUAAUUGUGAACAAAAUGCCAUGCCAAGUUUUUAUCUUGCUCCAGGACAUGAACCCUGAAUGUAAAAGACCUAACAAAUUUGCAACUUGAUAGAAUGCAUGCAUAAAACAAGGAGUAUAACAUGGUUUGCCAUCUAUUCAUAAAUAGCUUACCCAGCAAACGAAGUACUAAAAUAACAUCAAAUAACAAAAGAUCCAGUUUAAUAAAAACACAAUUCAAGAUACUGCUUAAAAUAGGUGAAGUUUCGAACCAAAAUUUCCGACACUACAAAGAUAAACCCCAAAUUAUGGGCAGGGAAAAGACCGGCACUAAAACAGAACUUGUUCCAGUCAAUUCCCUGCCAUUCAAUCUCAUUCAUGUCUUAAACAACAGAUGAAACAAAACGAGACACCUAAGCAAAAAAAAAAUCAAUAAUCUAAACAGUAUUUUUGAAGUAGAAAUGAAAUUACUGCGACACACCCAACCACUUGGUAAAGUUUUCAAACUCGGUAUAAUCACUGUCUGAGAUCAUGGUCUUGUACCAACCCUUUCCAGCUGCCCUAAUCUUGGUUUCCUCCUCCUGUAAGAAAAAAUAACAGAGGAAGUCAAUUAACAACUUUGUAAAACCUACCAUAACAAAAAGCCCUUAGAUUGUUAUAGAAACCAAAAACUGGAUUUAGAUUGUUAUGAUGAAUCGAAUCUAAACUCACACGACAAAUGGUGAGAUCUCCAUCAUCGUUGUACUCUUUAGCGCCGCCUCUCUUUCCCUUUCUCUGUCCCUCUUCGUUAUCUUCUCCUUCAGGCUCUUCUUCCUCUGCUUGUCGCGCUGCUUCAGCUUUGGAUUGCAGGUCUGCGAGGUAGGAUUCGACAACUUUCCUGACGAAUUGCUUGCGCUCCGGUGGGGAGAGGUCGAGCCCUAGAUUAACUUCCAGAGAGGGAAAAGGAGGUCGAGCACUAGCUUAAGUUUUUAUUUAAUCGCGUUUUUUUUAGCUCCGUAUUUUUCUUCAUAGACAACAUUUUUUAAAAAAAUGUUAUCUAAUUAAAACCAAAAAAAUGCCCUUUUAAAUAGAUAACGUUUUUACAUAUAUAUCUACAACGUUUUUUUUAAAACGUUGUAAAAAAAAUACCACAACGUUUUUAUAAAAAACGUUGUAGUUUAAGUGUUGUCUAUUUAGUAUUUUGUAGUAGUGAAUAUUACUUACAUACAACAGAGUAUGGAAGAAAAUAUUAUUUCUUACGAAUAUUGAACAAAAAUAAUAUCCCUUACAACUGAUGAACGAAAAUAAUAUUCCUUACAAAUAUUGAACGAAAUUAAAAUUCCUUACGAAUACGAAAAAUAAUAUCGUAAGUGAAUAUGAAAUAAAUAAUACCCCUCACCUUAAAAGGAGAGUACUCUGAUGACUGUUAUAGCGGAGAUAUUCUUAAAGAAAAACUUGCACUAUUUGCUACACUCAAAGUUUCCUUAACUCAAAAGAAAUACGCUCAAUAUUAUAGAAGAAGAAUUCUCUAAUUCUGGUGUGAUUUUCAUUUAUAAACUAAGCAUCCUAUUUAUAAGAGAAUAACAGGAUAAUAUUUAAAAAGAAAAAUCACGGACUGUAUAGUAAUUUUCAAAAGAAAUCACGGGCGAGAAUUCUAAAAAAAUUCGAUUUUUACUAUGCAGCACUAUGUUGCACUAUGCAGUACUAUGCAUAUAAUAAAAUAUAUUAUAUUCUAUUUUAUAUAAAAAACAAAACUUAUAUAUAUAUAUAUAUAAUUGAGAUAACUUUCUAUCGAUAAUUUUAAAAAAUGGGUAAAUGGAGGUCCAUAUAAUUACACCUGGCAAACGGGCGGGCGGGCGCGGGCCGGGCCAAAACGGCCCGGGUUUUGGCGGGCCAUAAAAUUGAAGCCCAAAGCCCGCGGGCUCAUGGGCGGGCCGAGCCGGCCCGCGGGCCGAAGGGUGUUUGAUGCCUAUUUUUUGAUAUUUUUUGGGCCCAAGAGUGAACGGGCCGGGCCGGGACGAAAAGUCUCGGAUUUUUGUGGGCCAAAAAAUACGGCCCAAAGCCCGCUUUUGACGGACGGGCCGGGCCGACCCACGGGCUUUGGGCCCAUUUGCCAGGUCUACAUAUAAUAAGCCAAAUUUACAGUAAAUACUUCAUAAAAACCCCUCUAUUUAUCUUAAUUUAGUUGACUUCACCAAAUACAUUUUUAAUAACAUUUAUUCAUCAUUAAUAGUAUAACUCGAAAUAUUAACAACCAGAUCAUUCCCAGAAAAGAGGGAGCUUUUUGAUAAGGACUUCUCCUUAUUGGCGCGUAAUUAGGUGACCAAACUCCUUUCCUCGACAUAACUUUCUAGAAAUUUUCAAUAAUGCAAAUAAUAUUAUGAAUAACUUUGUCGUCUCAAUUAUUGAUUUAAUAAUAUAAAAUAUUAUGUAGAUGAUACUGUGACAAUAAUUGAAUCAAUGAUAUGAGAUACUAUGCAUCAACUUCUGUUGCAAUAAUUUAAUAAAAUUAAGUGACUUCUCACGUAAGUAUUAAUAAUCAAAGAUACUGUACAAUACCGUGUGCUACUAUGCAACCACGUGUAUUAGUGUAUUUUUAUCACCGGGUAUUUCAACAGUUAGCGGUAAAAUUUUUGCUGUUAUUUUUAUAAAAAUUUAUUUCUGUCACUUUCUAAAUCCGACAGUUAUUCCGUUGUGGGGUCCACCAAUGAUUGUGCUGUCAUACGAAUAUUCUCCGACAAAAAGAAUAUUCCUCGACCAAACAAAUAUUUUAUGAUAACUUGCUUACUUUUGUAAAAUUUUCACAUAUCACCCUUAACUUUAACCUUUUAUCAAUUUAACCAUUUACUAAAUAGAAUAAUAAUUAUAAGAAAAUUAAAUACUUUCAUUUUAUAAAAUUCGGGCUCUUACACAUAGCUUUCUGCAAACUGACCCAAAAUCAUGAAGUGAAUCUUGGGUCUCGAUUAGAAAUUAUGGAUACUGGCAUAGCAUGCAGUCUUACUGUGACACCCCCAAAAUAGGUAUACAUCACCCAUCUUGAGUCGCCAAAUACAUGGUACAAAAUUCAAAUACAACUUAAUUAUACAACAGUCGUGUGAAAUACGACAAAACAUAAUCUAAGAGUUUUAAUAAGAAUAUUGUCAUCUAGACAAUAUUCACACUCAAUGGAGUCCUCAUUACAUUUACUGUCACACUAUUUAACAGAAUAGUGAAGACUACUAAUGCUAUCAUCUGGACCGUCACUCCGUUUCCCAAAUAGUCCCGGCUACGUUCUCAUUUCUUGAAGAGAACAGUGAAAAAAAGGGUGAGCUCAACUAGCCCAGUAAGAAAUAUUAUGACUAAGAUAAUGCAGAAUAAAUUAUCAUUAGUCUUCAACAAUGUUAAACUGAUAAAAUACAAUAGACAUCAAGUUUAACUGCAGCGGAAUAAGCAAUCCAUUAGAAGAGUCAAGUAGAGCAUGAUAUCUACUAUCUUCUAUGAUUUAAAAUGUUUUCAUCAAUUUUUAUCGCUGAGACUCAGCUUAAUAAAUAAACCACAUCAUCGAGUCAUCCCUGCACUACGGGCCAAGGAUAUUCAUUAAAUCAUCAAUGGUCAUGACUAUACCGAAUAAUCCUUGGUCAUAAUCAUACCAAAAACUGUCCAUCAAUGCACUACAGGCUACUGAGGACUUUUACCGCAUCAUUUAUAACAUUACAGAUCAUGAUUAUACUGAAUAAUCCCUGGUCAUAAUCAUACCAAGUUCAUCUAUGUACGUAAGCCAAAGAUGACUUUCAUCACAAUAUAAGCAUGGGGAUGAUGACAAUGACAUAAUAAUUCAAUAAAAACAAGUUCACGAAUAAAUUUUAAAGAUUUAUAAGUUAAUUUAUCUUGAAAUCAAUUACGUCCAAAUUGUCAACAUGAUACUGCUUUGUGGAGUAAAAUUCAAGAAUGCUCAGAAGAAUAUUACCAUGAAAAGAUACCGGAUGAAGCGCAAAUAUCCAGGAUAUUCUACUAAUUUCGUGGAGUAUAGAAGCCAAAACUUUAACCAAAUGAGUAUCAUAGAAUAUAUGAAACUACAAAUGGAUUUUCACCUGCCAUACGGUAAUCCACGUAGACAGAUCAUUUCCACAAUUUAAUAAGGAAUGAAUACUAAGGAUCAUUCAUCAUGCAUGUGAUAAUCCACAUAGACAGGUUAUUCCAACAGAAUAAUAAAGAAUGGAACCAGGUCAUGCGUAAUUCGCACAGACAGGAUAUUCCAACAGAAUAAUAAAGAAUGGAUAACAGAAGAAUUCAACAUGCAUGCGAUAGACCGCACAGACAGGUUAUUCCAACAGAAUAAUAAAUAAUGGAACCAUGUCUAGCGUAAUCUGCACAGACAGGAUAUUCCAACAGAAUAAUAAAGAAUGGAAUAACAAAGAAUUCAUCAUGCAUGCGAUAGACCGUACAGACAGGUUAUUCCAACAGAAUAAUAAAGAAUGGAACCAGGUCUAGCGUAAUCCGCACAGACAGGAUAUUCCAAUAGAAUAAUAAAGAAUGGAAUAACAGAAGAAUUUCACCAUGUAUGCGGUACUUCGCAUAGACAGGUUAUUCCAACAUAAUAAUAAAGAAUGGAAUAACAUAAAAAUUUCACCAUGUAUGUGGUACUUCGCAUAGACAAGUUAUUCCAACAUAAUAAUAAAGAGUGGAAUAAUAGAAGAAUUUCACCAUGUAUGCGGUACUUCGCAUAGACAGGUUAUUCCAACAUAAUAAUAAAGGAUGUAAUAACAGAAGCUCUCUUCAUGAAUACGAAAGAAAUAAUACCCCUUACUAUAAUAACAAUAUCUCUUACCUUAGAAAGAAACUGGAUACUGGAGUAGAGAGGUAGCGGACUUCUUUUCUUCUUUCUCUCUAUAAUUUUUCUCUAUAAUAAUUGCUGUAUAGCUUUAGUGAAUUGGUGAGAAAUAAAGGAAGAAUGAGCUUUUAUUUAUAGGAAAAUAUAGUUUGGAUAAUUGCACAUUUUGGGGCUCGAAAUAUUACAGUACAAUACCUUCAACUUUUCUUUCAUUUUUAAUUUAGUCUUGCAAGUAUUAUCAAACUUGCACCACCUCCCCUAAUAGUAUAUCAUGUGAAUCAAUAGUUAUAAUCAUGUGAAUUAAUAGCAAUUAAUUGCUUAUUUAUCCGGUUAAUUACCCGACUGGUCAAUAUAACUUCCAAACAUCAAUUAAUAUCGAAAUAAAUGUUAAUUUCCACUAACAUUAAUAAUUCCAACACAAUGAAACUAUCAAUUUCAUCUUUAAUCAACACGAACUUAUUCAUCAUUAAUAUUAUAUCUCACAAUAUUUAACAACCCGGUCGUUCCCAGGAAAGAGGAGGCUUUUCGAUAAGGAUUUCUUCUUACUGGCGCGGAAUUAGAUGACCAAACCUCUCCUUGACAAAAUUUCUAGACAUUGUAAAUAUUUCAAUUUAAUAAUAUGAAUAACUUUGUCGUCUCAAUUAUUGAUUUAAUAAUAUAACAUAUUAUGCAGAUGAUACUGUGACAAUAAUCGAAUCAAUAAUAUGAGAGAUAUGAUGUAGCAAUUAUUGUAGCAAUAAUUGAGUACAACUGAAUGACUUCUCACGUAAGCAUCAAUAAUAAAUACCGUGUGCUACUAUACAACCACGCGUAUUACUGUACUUUUACUACCGGGUAGUUCAACAAUUUAAUGGUAAAACUUUAGCCGUUAUUUUUAUAAAAAGAUAAUUCUGUCGUUUUCUAACUACGACAAUACUUCUGUUGUGGGGUCCACCAAUGAUUGUGUCUUCGUACGAAUAUUCCCUUUUAAAAUGAAUAUUCUCUGACCAAUCGAGUAUUAUAUAACCACUUGCUUACUUUGAAAAAUUUGUAAAUAUUACCCACAACUAUAACAUUAUAUCAAAUUCACACCAUAAUAUUCAAAAAUAUAUUUUGAGAAAAUUAUUCUUUAUUCAUAAAAGUUGGGGUCUUACAACCUCCCCUUCUUAUGAAUUUUUGUCCUCGAAAUUAGGGUGCGUACCUGGUAUGUCGAAGAGGUGAGGAUACCUUGAUUUCAUCUCAGAUUCUAACUCCCAGGUCAUUUCCUCCACAUCGUGGUUUCUCCAUAAAACUUUGACUUGAGGUAUAACUUUAGAGCGUAGAAUAUGAUCCUUCUUAUCAAAGAUUUUAACAAAUAACUCUUCAUACGUUAAAUCUUCCUCUAUUUCGUCUGGUUCUAAUUCAAUAAUAUGGUUCGGGUCUUUCACAUAUUUACGAAACAUAGAUAUGUGAAAAAAGUUAUGAACACGAGACAUACUUGGCGGUAAGGCGAGUCUAUAGGACACAGUUCCUACUCGAUCGAGGAUUAAAAAUGGGCCAAUGAAUCGAGGAUUGAGCUUUCCUCUCUUUCCAAAUCUUGUAACUCCUUUCCAUGGAGCAACACGUAACAACACAUGAUCUCCAAUAUUAAAUUCCACGUCUUUUCGAUGAAGAUCAGCAUAACUCUUUUGUCGAUCUUGUGAGAUUUUUAUACGUUGUCAGAUCGUUUGAAUCUUUUCCGUAGUCAUAUGUACCAAAUCUGGUCUCAACAACGUUGCUUCACCCACCUCAUCCCAGCAUACUGGAAAACGACACUUUCUUCCACACAACGCCUCAAAUGUAGCCAUGCCAAUACUUGCUUGAUAACUAUUGUUGUAGGAAAACUCCACCAAUGGUAAGAACUUGUCCCAACUUCCCUUGAAGUCAAGGACACAGAGUCUUAAUAAAUCUUCAAGAGUUUGAAUAGUCCUUUCCGACUGCCCAUCCGUUUGAGGAUGAUAUGCUGAACUAAAUCAUAAAUUCGUGCCCAUAGGUUUUUGCAAACUAACCCAAAAUCUUGAAGUGAAUCUUGGGUCUCGAUCAGAAAAUAUGGAUACUGGCAUACCAUGCAAUCUUACGAUCUCAUUUAUAUACAUACUAGCAAGACAUUCAAGUGUAAAAGUUUCUCAUAUCGGUAAGAAAUGAGUAGACUUGGUCAAUCUAUCAACAAUGACCCAAAUCGCAUCUAUGCUUUCAGAAACCUUGGGAAUACCAGUAACGAAAUCCAUGGUAAUGUGCUCCCACUUCCAUUCUGGAAUUUCAAGUGGUUGAAAUGGACCUUUUGGUAAUUGAUGCUCCGCCUUGACUCGUUGACAAGUUAGACACCUUGAGAUAAACCCCGUUAUCUCUCUCUUCAUAUUGCUCCACCAAAAUAUAUGUUGAAGAUCACGAUACAUUUUAAUACUCCCAGGAUGGAUUGCAAACGGUGUGUUGUGCGCCUCCAUCAUGAUUUUAUACUUCAAGUCAGAAUCGUUAGGAACACAAAGUUUGGAGUUGACUCGAAGUAUUCCUUCUUCAUCGAUUCUUGCUUUCGGAAUAGCACCUUCUUGCACUUUCUUCUUCAUACGCAUCAGCUCCAAGUUUGUAGUUUGAGCAGCUUUAACUUUAUAGAUUAAAGUCGGUUCCACUCGUAUAUUCGCCAUCAUCACAUGGGUCCCUGGAGUCUUUAACUCUAUUUCCAUCCUUUCCAAGUUAUACAAAAUGGGUCUUUGCGUUGACAAUCUUGCACUCAUACCCGCAUACGAUCUUCUACUCAAUGUGUCAGCUACUACGUUCGUUUUUCCAUGAUGGUAUUGGAUGGUAUGAUCAUAAUCUUUCAAUAAAUUAAGCCAUUGUCAUUGCCGCAUGUUGAGUUCCUUUUGAGUGAAGAAAUAUUUGAGGCUUUUAUGAUCCAUAUAGAUCUCUACCUUCUCUCCAUACAGGUAAUGCCUCCAAAUCUUAAGCGCAAAAAAUGACUGCUACCAACUCUAGAUCAUGAGUAGGAUAAUUCCUCUCAUAUUCUUUGAGUUGUCGUGAGGCAUAGGCUAUGACUUUCCCAUGUUGCAUGAGAACACAUCCUAACCCUUUGCCUGAAGCAUCACUGUAGAUGACAAAUCCCUCCGAGCCAGAUGGUAUUGUCAGAACAGCUGCUGAAAUGAGUCUCCUCUUGAGUUCUUGAAAAAUCUUUUCACAUUCCUCACUCCAAUCGAAUUUUGUAUCUUUUUGAGUCAGCUGAGUUAAUGGAGUAGUGAUUUGAGAAAACCCUUCUAUGAAUCUCCGAUAAUCACCAGCUAAGCCGAGAAAGCUACGUUCUUCGGUCACUGACUUAGGUUGUUCCCAGCUUUGAAUUGCUUCAAUCUUUGUCGGGUCAACAGAUAUUCCAUGAUUUGAUAUCCCGUGCCCAAGGAAUGCAACUUCCUCAAGCCAGAACUUGCAUUUCUUCAACUUGGCAUAAAGCUUAUUUUCACGAAGCUUUUGGAGUAUCAGCCUCAAGUGUUGCUCAUGGUCUUUGCGGGUUUUGGAGUAUAUGAGGAUGUCAUCAAUAAAGACGACCACAAAGUGAUCCAAAUAUUCCUUGAAUACUCGGUUCAUCAUAUCCAUGAAGGCAGCAGGAGCAUUAGUCAAUCCAAAGGACAUGACUAGGAAUUCAUAAUGCCCGUACCGAGUUCUGAAAGCCGUCUUUGGAAUGUCAUCGGUUCUAAUCUUCAAUUGGUGAUAUCCGGAACGAAGAUCAAUCUUUGAAAAGAAUUUGGCUCCUUGCAACUGGUCAAACAGGUCAUCAAUACGUGGCAAUGGGUACCUAUUUUUGAUGGUGACAUGAUUCAACUCCCGAUAAUCAAUACAAAGUCGCAUACUCCCAUCUUUCUUCUUCACGAAUAGAACAGGAGCACCCCAAGGAGAAGUACUAGGACGAAUAAAGCCAAUGUCUAACAAUUCCUGCAGUUGGGUCUUUAACUCCUGAAGUUCAAUAGGAGCCAUUCGAUAUGGGGCUUUGGAAAUGGGUUUUGUACCGGGUUCAAGGUCGAUACAAAAUUCAAUUUCACGCUCUGGGGGUAGGCCAGGAAGUUCUUCAGGGAAUACGUCAGGAAAUUUAUUAACAAUAGAAAUAUCAUUCAAAUCUGACGUAUUUUUAUUUAAAUCCGUGACAUGGGCUAAGAAAGCUUGACAUCCGUUUUUCAAUAAACGAAUAGCUUUAUGACUUGAUAUGACAGUGAUUGAUUUUAGUGGUUUGGUUGCUUGAAUUCGCAUAAUAGGUUGGUUAGGAAUAUGAAAGCUAACAACCUUACGAAAAUAAUCGAUUUUAGCAUGAUGAGUAGUUAACCAAUCAAUCCCUAAAAUCACAUCAAAUGCAAGUAUUUUCAAAGAAAUAAGAUCGACAGGUAACGUGCGGUUACCGAUUUGAAUCAAACAAGACUUAUAAACCGUGGAUGUAAUGAAGGUUUCUCCCAACGGAGUUUCAACAGAUAAGUCAAAGUCUAAUUUCUCCGGAGUCAAAUUUAAACGUUGAGCGCAAGUAGGAGAAAUAAAGGAAUGGGUAGAACCGGUAUCAAAUAAAGUAUAAACUUCGCUAGAGUUUAUGAUUAGCUUACCCGUGAUCACCUCGUUCGGAUUCCUCGCUUUUUGGGAGGUUACGACAAACGCUCUCCCUUGAACUACCGGUUUUGUCUUGUCUGGGACACCCUUUGAUGCCUCCAUCCCAGCUGGACUUGACUUUGGUGCACGACAAAAUCGGGUUAGGUGACCUUCUUUUCCACAAUUAUAACACGCUUUGAACUGCAUCGUGCAGUUUGGACUUAUGUGUCCUUCCCCUCCACAUUUGUAACAUACGACCGGUGGUCGUUCUCCUUCCUUAACAACAGGUGUUGGUGCUGACGUCUUUCCAUCCUUGUUGAAUCUCCUCUUCUUGAAAUAUCCACUCUUAUUAUCAUGGCCAUGAUUACCACCGAAGUGAUUAUCAUUUCUGGCAUGUUGAUUCCCUCCACGUUUGUUGUCACCGCUUCAAUGAUUGCUACCACUGGUAUUAUCGACUUGUCGGUUGCUCUCUCUUGGUUGGGUUGACUCAUUAUCGAGCUCCAAUAACUAGGCCAUUUUCACAACAUCUGAAUACAAACACAGUUUGUGAGAAAUUAGGUAUUGACGUAUCUCGGGUUUCAAACCUCUUAGAAACAUCCACGUCAUUCUCUCCUUAUUAUCAACCAAGUGGGACGUAAACCGAGACAACUCGGCAAACUUAGCUUCGUACUGCGCCACGGUCAUAUUGUUUUGCUCAAGCUUAAUGAACUCUAACACCUUCAUGUGACGAAUACUUUUAGGAAAGUACUUGUCAUUGAACAGCUCUUGGAACUUCUCCCAAGACAUUUUGAGUGCGGCAGUUUGAGUACGCUUUACAGAUUCCCACCAAUAAUCUACCUCUGCUCGCAACAUGAAGGUGGCAAAGGGAACCUUUUGCUCCUCGGAGCAUCCCAAGACAUCAAAUAUCUUGUUGAUCUGCUUUAUCCACGUCUCCGCCUUAAGUGGUUUUGGCUCUCCAAAAAACUCUGGUGGUCCCAGCUCCUUGAACUGCUUAGCGGUGACCGUCCGAGGGUUGUCAGUGUUUCCACCUGCAUUUUGGACAGGAGCCGCUUUCGCCUGAUGUUGCAUGAAUUGCAUAAAGCCUCUGAACAUCCCAUCGUUCACCAUUUCAUCGGUGUUAUUGUUUACAUGAGGAUUAUUGUCUUCCUGUUGCACAUUAUCCUGGGCAUUAAUCUGUGGUGACUCAACGGUCUCAUGUGCUUCAUUGUUUAUCUCAACAUUUUCGGAUGCCAUUUUCAAAUACUGCCACAAAACAAGGGUUAAUUAACAUAUCACAUAUUAUCCCUAUACUCUGACCGACCAAUUAAAUACCAAAUAAACUUAGGUAGGUCAUACUAGCGAAGGAAUUCCCCGUCUCUCCCCUCCUAGUUCUUGUCUCACAUCUCAGCCAGGGAUCAUAUCCCUAAGCUUUGAUACCAACUGUGACGCCCCCAAAAUAGGUAUACAUCACCCAUCUUGAGUCGCCAAAUACAUGGUACAAAAUUCAAAUACAACUUAAUUAUACAACAGUCGUGUAAAAUACGACAAAACAUAAUCUAAGAGUUUUAAUAAGAAUAUUGUCAUCUAGACAAUAUCCACACUCAAUGGAGUCCUCAUUACAUUUAUUGUCACACUAUUUAACAGAAUAGUGAGGACUACUAAUGCUAUCAUCUGGACCGUCACUCCGUUCCCCGACUAGUCCCGGCUACGUUCUCAUUUCCUGAAGAGAACAGUGAAAGAAAGGGUGAGCUCAACUAGCCCAGUAAGAAAUAUUAUGACUAAGAUAAUGCAGAAUAAAUUAUCAUUAGUCUUCAACAAUGUUAAACUGAUAAAAUACAAUAGACAUCAAGUUUAACUGCAGCGGAAUAAGCAAUCCAUUAGAAGAGUCAAGUAGAGCAUGAUAUCUACUAUCUUCUAUGAUUUAAAAUGUUUUCAUCAAUUUUUAUCGCUGAGACUCAGCUUAAUAAAUAAACCACAUCAUCGAGUCAUCCCUGCACUACGGGCCAAGGAUAUUCAUUAAAUCAUCAAUGGUCAUGACUAUACCGAAUAAUCCCUGGUCAUAAUCAUACCAAAAACUGUCCAUCAAUGCACUACAGGCUACUGAGGACUUUUACCACAUCAUUUAUAACAUUACAGGUCAUGAUUAUACCGAAUAAUCCCUGGUCAUAAUCAUACCAAGUCCAUCUAUGCACGUAAGCCAAAGAUGACUUUCAUCACAAUAUAAGCAUGAGGAUGAUGACAAUGACAUAAUAAUUCAAUAAAACAAGUUCAAGAAUAAAUUUUAAGAAUUUAUAAGUUAAUUUAUCUUGAAAUUAAUUACGUCCAAAUUGUCAACAUGAUACUGCUUUGUGGAGUAAAAUUCAAGAAUGCUCAGAAGAAUAUUACCAUGAAAAGAUACCGGAUGAAGCGCAAAUAUCCAGGAUAUUCUACUAAUUUCGUGGAGUAUAGAAGCCAAAACUUUAACCAAAUGAGUAUCAUAGAAUAUAUGAAACUACAAAUGGAUUUUCACCUGCCAUACGGUAAUCCACGUAAACAGAUCAUUUCCAUAAUUUAAUAAGGAAUGAAUACGAAGGAUAAUUCACCAUGCAUGUGAUAAUCCACAUAGACAGGUUAUUCCAACAGAAUAAUAAAGAAUGGAACCAGGUCAUGCGCAAUCCGCACAGACAGGAUAUUCCAACAGAAUAAUAAAGAAUGUAAUAACAGAAGAAUUCACCAUGAAUGCGAUAGACCGCACAGACAGGUUAUUCCAAUAGAAUAAUAAAGAAUGGAACCAGGUCUAGCAUAAUCCACACAGACAGGAUAUUCCAACAUAAUAAUAAAGAAUGGAAUAACAAAGAAUUCACCAUGCAUGCGAUAGACCGCAUAGACAGGUUAUUCUAAUAGAAUAAUAAAGAAUGGAACCAGGUCUAGCGUAAUCCGCANNNNNNNNNNNNNNNNNNNNNNNNNNNNNNNNNNNNNNNNNNNNNNNNNNNNNNNNNNNNNNNNNNNNNNNNNNNNNNNNNNNNNNNNNNNNNNNNNNNNGAAGAAUUUCACCAUGUAUGCGGUACUUCGCAUAGACAGGUUAUUCCAACAUAAUAAUAAAGAAUGGAAUAACAGAAGAAUUUUACCAUGUAUGCGGUACUUCGCAUAGAUAGGUUAUUCCAACAUAAUAAUAAAGAAUGGAAUAACAUAAGAAUUUCACCAUGUAUGCGAUACUUCGCAUAGACAGGUUAUUCCAACAUAAUAAUAAAGAAUGGAAUAACAGAAGCUCUCUUCAUGAAUACGAUAGAAAUAAUACCCCUUACUAUAAUAACAAUAUCCCUUACCUUAGAAAGAAACUGGAUACUGGAGUAGAGAGGUAGCAUGUGAGACCCCAAAUUUUAUGAAUAAAGAUUUAAAUUUCUCGAAUUUUUUUUUAAUAUUAUGGUGUGGAUUUGAUAUAAUGUUAUAGUUGUGGGUAAUAUUUAUAAAUUUUGCAAAGUAUGUAAGUUGUUAUAAAAUAUUCGUUGUGUCGGGGAAUAUUCUUUUUGUCGGGGAAUAUCCGUACGACGGCACAAUCAUUGGUGGACCCCACAACGGAAGUAUUAUCGUAUUUAGAAAACGACAGAAUUAUCAUUUUAUAAAAAUAACGGCGGAAGUGUUCUUGUUAAAACUGUUGAACUACCCGGUAGUAAAAGUACAGUAAUACGUGUGGUUGCAUAGUAGCACGCGGUAUUAAUUAUUGAUGCUUAAGUAAGAAGUCACUCAGGUAUACUCAAUUAAUUGCUACAAUAAUUGUUGCAUCAUAUCUCUCAUAUUAUUGAUUCAAUUAUUUUCACAAUAUCAUCUGCAUAAUAUGAUAUAUUAUUAAAUCAAUAAUUGAGACGGCAAAGUUAUUCAUAUUAUUAUUUGCAAUAUUGACAAUGUCUAGAAGUUCUGUCAAAGAGAUGUUUGGUCACUUAAUUGCGCGCCAAUAAGGAGAAAUCCUUAUCGGAAAGCCCCCUCUUUCCUGAAAACGACCUGGUUGUUAAAUAUUGUGAGUUAUAAUAUUAAUGAUGAAUAAGUUCGUGUUGAUUAAAGAUAAAAUUGAUAAGUUCCAUUAUGUUGGAAUUAUUAGUGUUAGUGGAAAUUGACAUUUAUUUCGAUAUUAAUUGAUGUCUGGAAGUUAUACUGAACAAUCGGGUAAUUAAUAGGAUAAAUGAGAAAUUAAUUGUUAUUGAUUCACAUGAUUAUAACUAUUUGUUCACAUGUGUGUACUAUUGAUUCACAUUCUUGUACUAUUAGGGGAGUUGGUGCAAGAUUGAUAAUACUUGCAUGACUAAGUUAAAAAUGGAGGUAUAGAUGAAGGUACUGUACUGUAAUUCGUAUUUUCACAUGAUUAUAACUAUUGAUUCACAUGAUUGAACUAUUGAUUCACAUUAUUUACUAUUAGGGGAGGUGGUGCAAGUUUGAUAAUACUUGCAGGACUAAAUUAAAAAUGAAAGAAAAGUUGGAGGUAUACUGUAAUUUUUUCGAGCCCCAAAACGUGCAAUUAUCGAAAUUGUAUUUUCCUAUAAAUAGAAGCUCAUUCUUCCUUCAUUUCUCACCAAUUCACUAAAGCUAUAGAGCAAUUAUUAUAGAGAGAAAUUAUAGAGAAAAAGAAGAAGAGAAGUUUAUUACCUCACUAUUCCAGUAUCCAGUCUUCUUUUGAGGUAAGUGGUAUUAUUUCUUUCGUAUUCAUGAAGAGAGCUAUUUUUAUUCCAUUCCUUAUUAUUCUGGUUGAAUAACCUGUAUACGCAGACUACCGUAUAAUGGUGAAAUUCUUCUGUUAUUCCAUUAUUUAUCAUUCUGUUAGAAUAUCCUAUCUGUGCAUAUUACGCAUGACCUGGUUCCAUUCUUUAUUAUUCUGUUGGAAUAUCCUGUCUGUGCAAAUUACGCAUGACCUAGUUCUAUUCUUUAUUAUUCUGUUGGAAUAACCUGUCUGUGCGGUCUAUCGCAUGCCUGUUGAAUUCUUCUGUUAUUCCAUUCUUUAUUAUUCUGUUGGAAUAACCUGUCUACGUGGACUACCGUAUGCAUGGUGAAUUCUUCUGUUAUUCCAUUCUUUAUUAUUCUGUUGGAAUAACCUGUCUGUGUGGAUUACCGCUUGCAUGGUGAAUGAUCCUUUGUACAAAAGGGGUUUUUACCAGGGGCAGUUUCAUAAUUUUUCUGACUCUCAAAAAUUCUGGAAAAAAUUGAAAUGAUAAUUUGAUGAGUUUUCUAGAAUGUGUCCAAAAAUGGCAAUUUUUGGAUGUAUAGAUUAAGAGUUAUGGAUUUUAUGGGAAAAACUAUUUUAAAAGUAAACCCUUAUAAGUCUUUGUGGUUAACUCUAAAAUUGGUGAAAUUUUUAUUGGGAGUACAUGUAUAUAACAGGAGUAUACCCUGUAAAUUUCGGAAUUUUUGGACAAAAGUAUAAUUUCUUUCUGAUAAAUGUCUAAAUAUUCAGCAGUUUUGACCAUAUGAAAAAUAACAAAUGAAUUUUAAAAAUUCCGAAAAAAAUAUAUGUUCAAUAUGGGACUAUAUUCUGUUAAAUUCCAGAAAAGAAUUAUUUUUGGGACUGAUUUGGUAUUUUUCAUGAAAAUGAACUAGUUAUGAGUAAAUGAAUUAAAUAUGUUAUGUGAAGUAACAAAAUUGGAAAAUAGGAUUUUAUAGAUUGGGAAUCCUAUAUAGGGUAUAUACAGAUUUUUGAUGAGGGAUUUGACCAUUGGUGAUGAAAUCUUAUGAGUAUGGCAUUUUUGAAUAAUUAAAUGCAUUAUUUGGUAAAAUGUAAACAAUUGAAAUAAAUUGUUUAUAAGUUUAAGAAGUGAUUAAAAUAUUGUUAUAAUAUUAAUAAUAUUAUAUUAUGAGUUUAUUAAGCGAUUGCUAAUAUUUGGAUAAAUUUAAAGUCUUUAAUAUUUAUCCUUAUUUUCGUUUGAUUAAUGCUUAUAUCAUUAUCAUCAUUCUCAUGCUUGUGAUGUGUUGAAAGUCAUGACCUGUAAUGUUAUAAAUGAUGUGGUAAAAGUCUCAGUGGCCUGUAGUAGAUUGAUGGACAAUUUUUGGUAUAAUUAUGACCAGGGAUUAUUCGGUAUAGUCAUAACCAUUGAUGAUUUAAUGAAUAUCCUUGGCCCGUAGUGCAGGGAUGAUUCGAUGAUGUGGUUUAUUUAUUAAGCUUAGUCUCAGCGAUAAAAAUUUAUAAAAAUAUUUUAAAACAUAGAAGAUAGUAGAUAUCAUGCUCUACUUGACUCUUCUAACGGAUUGCUUAUUCCGCUGCAGUUGUUGAUCUAAAACUUGUUGUCUAUUUUAUUCUAUUAGUUGUUAUACUGUUGAAGGCUAAGGAUAAUUUAUUCUGCAUUAUCUUAGUCAUAAUAUUUCUUACUGGGCUAGUUGAGCUCACCCUUUCUUUCAUUGGUCUCUUCAGGAAAUGAGAAUAUAGCUGGGACUAGUCGGGGAACGGAGUGACGGUCCAGAUGAUUACAUUAGUAGUCCUCAAUAUUCUGUUAAAUAGUGUGAUAAUAAAUAUAAUGAGGACUCCAUUGAAUGUGGAUAUUGUCUAGAUGACAAUAUUUGUAUUAAAACUCACAGCAUAUGUUUUGUCGUAUUUUACACGACAGUUGUAUAAUUAAGUUUUUAUUUGUAUUUUAUACCAAAAAUCUGACGACUCAGAAUGGGUGAUGUAUACCUAUUUUGGGGGCGUCACAGUUGGUAUCAAAGCAUAGGGAUAUGAUCCCGGUUGAGAUGUGAGACAAGAACUAGGAAGGGAGAGACGGGGAAUUCCUUCGCUAGUAUGACCUACCUAAGUUUAUUUGGUAUUUAAUUGGUCGGUCAGAGUAUAGGGAUAAUAUGUGAUAUAUUAAUUAACCCUUGUUUUGUGACAGUGUUUGAAAAUGGCAUCUAAAAAUGUUGAGAUCAGUAAUGAAGCACAUAAGACCGUUGAGUCACCAACAAUCAAUACCCAGGAUAAUGUGCAACAGAAAGACAAUAAUCCUCAGGUAAAUAACAACACCGAUCAGAUGAUGAACGAUGGGAUGUUCAGAGACUUUAUGCAAUUCAUGCAACAUCGGGUAAGAGAGACUCCUGUUCAAAAUAUAGGUGGAAAUAAUGGCAACCCACGGUCAGUCACCGCUAAGCAGUUCAAGGAGCUGGGACCACCAGAGUUUUUGGGAAAGCCAGAACCACUUAAGGCGGAGACAUGGUUAAAGCAAAUCACCAAGAUAUUGAUGUCUUGGGAUGCUUAAAGGAGCAAAAGGUUCCCUUCGCCACCUUUAUGUUGCAUGAAGAGGCAGAUUACUGGUGGGAAUCUAUAAAACGUACCCAGCCUGACGCACUCAAGAUGUCUUGGGAGAAGUUCCAAGAGAUGCUCAACGACAAGUACUUUUCCGAAAGUAUUCGUCACAUGAAGUAGGUGGAGUUUAUCAAGUUGGAGAAAAAUAAUAUGACCGUGUUGCAAUACGAGGCUAAAUUUACGAAGUUAUCCCAGUUUGCAUCCCAUUUGGUGGAUAAUGAGGAGCGAAUGACACGAAUGUUUCUAAGAGGUUUGAAACCCGAUAUACAUCAAUACCUUAUUUCUCACAAAUUAUAUUUUGUAUUCAGAUGUAGUGAAUAGGGCUCAGUUAUUGGAGCGCGAUAAUGAACCAGCCCAACCAAAAGGCAACCAUAAUAAUCGUACCGGUGGCAACGACCAUCGGAACAAUUAUAACCAUCGUGGGGGAAAUUAUCAUGCCAAGAAUGGUAACCACUUCGGUGGUAAUCAUGGCCGAGAUAAUAGGAGUGGAAAUUUCAAGAAGGGGAGAUUCAACAAUGAUGGAAAGAUGUCAGCACCAGCACCUGUUGUUAAUUAAGGAAGGAGAACGACCGCCGGUCGUAUGUUACAAAUGUGGAGGGGAGGGACAUAUCAGUCCAAACUGCGUGAUGCAGUCCAAAGUAUGUUACAAUUGUGGAAAAGAAGGUCACCUAGCCCGAUUUUGUCAUGCACCAAAGUCAAGUUCAGUGGGGACGAUGGCACCAAAGGCGGAUACGGACAAAACAAAGUCGGUGGUUUCAGGAAGAGCGUUUUUCGUAAAUUCUCAAAAAGCGAGUAACCCGAACGAAGUUAGCACAGGUUAGUUAAUUAUAAAUUCUUGCGAAGUCUAUACCUUAUUAGAUAUCGGGUCUACCCAUUAUUUUAUCUCUUUUGCUUGCGUUCAACAUUUGAAUUUGACCCCAGAGAAUUUAGACUUUGACUUAUUGGUUGAAAUUUUGUUAGUAGAAACCUUCACUUCAUGUGUUAUCCAAGUCUUGGAUGAGAGUCACAGUUUUUAAAUGAUAUUUCUAUCGUUAAUAAAUUUCCUGACGUAUUCUCAAAGAACUUCUUAGCUUACCCCUAGAACAUGAAAUUGAAUUUUGUAUUGACCCCAGUACAAAACCCAUUUCUAAAACCCUCAAAUAUUUCUUUACCUAAAACGAUCGUAUAAUGUGCCAAAGACGUUGGCUCGAGCUGUUGAAGAUUACGAUCAUACCAUUCAAUAUCAUCGUGGAAGAGCGAACGUGGUAGCUGACGCGUUGAGUAGAAAAUCGUAUGCGUUUACGAGUGCGAUUUUGUUAACACAAAAACCCAUUUCGUAUAACUUACAAAUGAUGAAGAUAGAGUUAAAGAAUCUAGGGACCCACGUGAAGAUAACGAAUAUACGAUUAGAAUCGACUUUAAUGGAUAAAGUUAAAGCCGCUCAAGCUUCACACCCGAAUCUGAUGAAUGUGAAGAAUAAGGUUCAAGAAGGCGUUAUCUCAACCCUCGAUUUAAUUGACCCAUUUGAAAUCCUCGAUUGAGUAGGAACUGUGGCCUAUAGACUCGUUUUACAGCAAAGUAUGUCGCGUGUUCAUAACGUUUUUCACGUAUCGAUGUUACGUAAAUAUGUGGAUGACCCAAACCACGUUAUUAAAUUAGAACUAGACGAGAUAGCAGAAGAUUUAACGUACGAGGAGAUACGUGUUAAAAUCUUGGAUAAGAAGGAUCGUAUUCAACACUCAAAGGUUAUACCUCAAGAGUUAGAAUCUGAAAUAAAGUCAAGGUAUCCUCAUCUCUUCGGCAUACCAGGUACGUACGUAAAUUUCGAUGGCAAAAUUUCAUAAGGAGGGGAGAUUGUGAGACCUAAAAUUUUAUGAAUAAAGAAUUAAAUUUCUUGAAUUUUUUUUUAAUAUUAUGGUGUGGAUUUGAUAUAAUGUUAUAGUUGUGGGUAAUAUUUAUAAAUUUUGCAAAGUAUGAAAGUUGUUAUAAAAUAUUCGUUGUGUCGGGGAAUAUUCUUUUUGUCGAAGAAUAUCCGUACGAUGGCACAAUCAUUGGUGGACCCCACAACGGAAUUAUUGUCGUAGUUAAAAAAUGACAGAAUUAUCAUUUUAUAAAAAUAACGGCGGAAGUGUUACAGUUAAAACUGUUGAACUACUCGGUAGUAAAAGUAUAGUAAUACGCGUGGUUACAUAGUAGGACACGGUAUUGAUUAUUGAUGCUUAGGUAAGAAGUCACUCAGUUAUACUCAAUUAAUUGUUACAGUAAUUGUUGUAUCAUAUCUCUUAUAUUAUUGAUUCAAUUAUUGUCAGAGUAUCCUCUACAUAAUAUGAUAUAUUAUUAAAUCAAUAAUUGAGACGGCAAAGUUAUUCAUAUUAUUAUUUGCAAUAUUGACAAUAUCUAGAAGUUCUGUCAAAGAGAGGUUUGGUCACCUAAUUGUGCGCCAAUAAAGAGAAAUCUUUAUCGGAAAGCCCCCUCUUUCCUGAGAACGACCUGGUUGUUAAAUAUUGUGAGUUAUAAUAUUAAUGAUGAAUAAGUUCGUGUUGAUUAAAGAUGAAAUUGAUAAGUUCCAUUGUGUUGGAAUUAUUAGUGUUAGUGGAAAUCGACAUUUAUUUUGAUAUUAAUUGAUGUCUGGAAGUUAUACUGACCAUUCGGAUAAUUAAUAGGAUAAAUGAGCAAUUAAUUGCUAUUUAUUCACAUGAUUAUAACUAUUUAUUCACAUAUAUGUACUAUUGAUUCACAUUCUUGUACUGUUAGGGGAGUUGGUGCAAGAUUGAUAAUACUUGCAUGACUAAGUUAAAAAUUGAGGUAUAGAUGAAGGUACUAUACUGUAAUUCGUAUUUUCACAUAAUUAUAACUAUUGAUUCAUAUGAUUGAACUAUUGAUUCACAUUAUUUACUAUUAGGGGUGGUGGUGCAAGUUUGAUAAUACUUGUAGGACUAAAUUAAAAAUAAAAGAAAAGUUGGAGGAAUUGUACUGUAAUUUUUUGAGCCCCAAAACGUGCAAUUAUCGAAACUAUAUUUUUCUAUAAAUAGAAGCUCAUUCUUCCUUCAUUUCUCACCAAUUCACUAAAGCUAUAGAGCAAUUACUAAUAAUACCUCGUGUUAUCAUAAGACAGGGUUGUGCACAUCCACUUGCUGAGUAUAUCUACGAGCACUACCUAUAUAAUCUUGGAGUUUGUUUGAAAUAUGAUUCUCAAUUAGAGACAAUGGAGAUAAUUAUAAGUCAAAAGAAGACUCACCAUUGGAAAAAAGAUGAUAGCAAUCUUCUUGUUUUUCUUUGGGGACUAUUGGGUCAACCAAGGAUAAUUCUGUGGAUAUAUGAUAUCUAUCAUAACCUAGACGCAUGGCCUCCCAUGUACGAAGGUUUCCUUGAGUAUUUUCCAAAGAUUUUAAUUUCUAAAAAAUUUAUUGACUGUACUUUUAUGUAAAGUACCAUUGUAAGGUUGUGGUCGAGGCACCAUGAGAGUUACAUACAUUUGUAUUAAAACUCACAGUUUAACUGUGUUCGUAUUCUGCACGACAGUUCAACAGUUGUAUAAAUGAAGUUUGUAAAUAAUUUUUAUAGUGUGAUAUCUGGCGACUCAGAAUGGGUCAUGUGGACCUAUUUUGGGGGCAUCACAAAUGGUAUCAGAGUUUAGGGAUAUGGUCGUUGGCGGAGAUAUGAGUCUAGAACUAGGAGGGGAGAGACGAGUAAUAUACUUCGCUAGUGUGUGACUUACCUAAGCUGAAAUUGUUUACUUGAUAAGUUGACAAAUUGUGAUAUGUCAAUUAACCUUUGUUUUGAAGAUAUACUCUAGAAUGAUAUCUGAAAUACAGGAGAUGAGCAAUAGAAAAAUCAUGAUACAGAGGAAAUAACCGGGAAGGUACAAUCCGAAAUGAAAGCAAGGUAUUCUCAUCUCUUCGAACUACCAGGUAUAUAAAUUUCGAGGGCGAAAUUUCAUAAGGAGGGGAGAUUGUGAGACCCUGAAUUUUAUGAAAUGAAAGUAUUCAAUUUUUUUUAUAAUUAUUCUAUUUAGUAAAUGGUUAAAUUGAUAAAAGGUUAAAGUUAAGGGUGAUAUGUGAAAAUUUUUCAAAGUAAGAAAGUUUUCAUAAAAUAAUCGGUGAUAAAAGUACAGUAAUACGCGUGGUUGCAUAGUAGCACACGGUAUUGAUUAUUGAUGCUUACGUGAAGAGUCACUCAAUUAUACUCAAUUAUUACUACAGUAAUUGCUCCAUCAUAUCUCUCAUAUUAUUGAUUCAAUUAUUGUCACAGUAUCAUCUACAUAAUAUGUUAUAUUAUUAAAUCAAUAAUUGAGACGACAAAGUUAUUCAUAUUAUUAUUUGCAAUAUUGACAAUGUCUAGAAGUUCUGUCAAGGAGAGGUUUGGUCACCUAAUUGCGCGCCAAUAAGGAGAAAUCCUUAUCGAAAAGCCCCCUCUUUCCUGGAAACGAACUGGUUGUUAAAUAUUGUGAGUUAUAAUAUUAAUGAUGAAUAAGUUCCUGUUAAUUAAAGAUGAAAUUGAUAGUUUCAUUGUGUUAGAAUUAUUAGUGUUAGUGAAACUCGACAUUUAUUUCGAUAAUAAUUGAUAUAUGGAGGUUAUAUUGACCAAUCGGGUAAUUAACCGGAUAAAUGAGCAAUUAAUUGCAAUUGAUUCAUAUGAUUAUAACUAUUUGUUUACAUGUGUGUACUAUUGAUUCACAUUCAUUUACUAUUAGGGGAGUUGGUGCAAGAUUGAUAAUACUUGCAUGAGUAAGUUAAAAAUGGAGGUAUAGAUGGAGGUACUAUACUGUAAUUCGUAUUUUCACAUGUCUAGAACUAUUAAUUCACAUGAUUUACUAUUAGGGGAGGUGGUGCAAGUUUGAUAAUACUUGCAGAACUAAAUUAAAAAUAAAAGAAAAGAGGAAGGUAUUAUUCUGUAAUAUUUCGAGCCCCAAAAACGUGCAAUUAUUGAAACUAUAUUUUCCUAUAAAUAGAAGCUCAUUCUUCCUUCAUUUCUCACCAAUUCACUAAAGCUAUAGAGCAAUUAUUAUAGAGAGAAAUUAUAGAUAGAAAGAAGAAAAGAAGUCUACUACCUCACUAUUCCAGUAUCCAGUCUUCUUCUGAGGUAAUGGAUAUUGUUAUUAUUGUAAGGAGUAUUAUUCUUUCGUAUUCAUGAAGAGAGUUAUUUUCUUUCAAUAAUCAUAAGAGUUGUUAUUCCAUUCUUUAUUAUUAUAUUGGAAUAACCUGUCUAUGCGAAGUACUGCAUACAUGGUGAAAUUCUUCUAUUAUUCAAUUCUUUAUUAUUCUGUGGGAAUAACCUGUCUGUGCGGUCUAUCACGCAUGCCUGGGGAUUUCUGUUGUUAUUUUAUUCUUUAUUAUUCUGUUGGAAUAUCCUGUCUGUACGGAUUACGCAUGACCUGGUUUCAUUCUUUAUUAUUCUGUUGGAAUAUCCUGUCUGUGCGGAUUACGCAUGACCUGGUUCCAUUCUUUAUUAUUCUAUUGGGAAUAACCUGUCUAUGCGGUCUAUCGCAUGCAUGGUGAAUUCUUCUGUUAUUCCAUUCUUUAUUAUUCUGUUGGAAUAACAUGUCUAUGUGGAUUACCACAUGCAUGGUGAAUGAUCCUUUGUAUUCAUUCCUUAUUAAAUUGUGGAAAUGAUCUGUUUACGUGGAUUACCGCAUGGCGGGUGAAAAUCCAUUUGCAGUUUCGUAAUUUUUCUAACCCUCAAAAAUUCUGGAAAAAUUUAAAAUGAUAAUUUGAUGAGUUUUCUAUAUUGUGUCCAAAGAUGGCGAUUUUUUGAUGUAUAGAUUAAGAGUUAUGAAUUUUAUGGGAAAAGAUUAUUUUAAAAGUAAACCAUUAUAACUUCUUGUGGUUAACUCCAAAAGUGGUGAUAUUUUUAUUGAAAAUACAUGUAUAUAACAGGAGUAUACCCUGUAAAUUUCGGAAUUUUUGGACAAAAGUAUAAUUUCUUUCUGAUAAAUGUCUAAAUAUUCGAUAGUUUUGGUCAUAUGAAAAAUAGUAAAUGAAUUUUAAAAAUUUUGAGAAAAAUAUAUGUUCAAUAUGGGACUAUAUUCUGCUAAAUCCCAGAAAAGAAAUAUUUUUGGGACUGAUUUGAUAUUUUUUAUAAAAAUGAACUAGUUAUGAGUAAAUGAAUUAAAUAUGUUAUGUGAAGUAACAAAAUUNNNNNNNNNNNNNNNNNNNNNNNNNNNNNNNNNNNNNNNNNNNNNNNNNNNNNNNNNNNNNNNNNNNNNNNNNNNNNNNNNNNNNNNNNNNNNNNNNNNNNNNNNNNNNNNNNNNNNNNNNNNNNNNNNNNNNNNNNNNNNNNNNNNNNNNNNNNNNNNNNNNNNNNNNNNNNNNNNNNNNNNNNNNNNNNNNNNNNNNNNNNNNNNNNNNNNNNNNNNNNNNNNNNNNNNNNNNNNNNNNNNNNNNNNNNNNNNNNNNNNNNNNNNNNNNNNNNNNNNNNNNNNNNNNNNNNNNNNNNNNNNNNNNNNNNNNNNNNNNNNNNNNNNNNNNNNNNNNNNNNNNNNNNNNNNNNNNNNNNNNNNNNNNNNNNNNNNNNNNNNNNNNNNNNNNNNNNNNNNNNNNNNNNNNNNNNNNNNNNNNNNNNNNNNNNNNNNNNNNNNNNNNNNNNNNNNNNNNNNNNNNNNNNNNNNNNNNNNNNNNNNNNNNNNNNNNNNNNNNNNNNNNNNNNNNNNNNNNNNNNNNNNNNNNNNNNNNNNNNNNNNNNNNNNNNNNNNNNNNNNNNNNNNNNNNNNNNNNNNNNNNNNNNNNNNNNNNNNNNNNNNNNNNNNNNNNNNNNNNNNNNNNNNNNNNNNNNNNNNNNNNNNNNNNNNNNNNNNNNNNNNNNNNNNNNNNNNNNNNNNNNNNNNNNNNNNNNNNNNNNNNNNNNNNNNNNNNNNNNNNNNNNNNNNNNNNNNNNNNNNNNNNNNNNNNNNNNNNNNNNNNNNNNNNNNNNNNNNNNNNNNNNNNNNNNNNNNNNNNNNNNNNNNNNNNNNNNNNNNNNNNNNNNNNNNNNNNNNNNNNNNNNNNNNNNNNNNNNNNNNNNNNNNNNNNNNNNNNNNNNNNNNNNNNNNNNNNNNNNNNNNNNNNNNNNNNNNNNNNNNNNNNNNNNNNNNNNNNNNNNNNNNNNNNNNNNNNNNNNNNNNNNNNNNNNNNNNNNNNNNNNNNNNNNNNNNNNNNNNNNNNNNNNNNNNNNNNNNNNNNNNNNNNNNNNNNNNNNNNNNNNNNNNNNNNNNNNNNNNNNNNNNNNNNNNNNNNNNNNNNNNNNNNNNNNNNNNNNNNNNNNNNNNNNNNNNNNNNNNNNNNNNNNNNNNNNNNNNNNNNNNNNNNNNNNNNNNNNNNNNNNNNNNNNNNNNNNNNNNNNNNNNNNNNNNNNNNNNNNNNNNNNNNNNNNNNNNNNNNNNNNNNNNNNNNNNNNNNNNNNNNNNNNNNNNNNNNNNNNNNNNNNNNNNNNNNNNNNNNNNNNNNNNNNNNNNNNNNNNNNNNNNNNNNNNNNNNNNNNNNNNNNNNNNNNNNNNNNNNNNNNNNNNNNNNNNNNNNNNNNNNNNNNNNNNNNNNNNNNNNNNNNNNNNNNNNNNNNNNNNNNNNNNNNNNNNNNNNNNNNNNNNNNNNNNNNNNNNNNNNNNNNNNNNNNNNNNNNNNNNNNNNNNNNNNNNNNNNNNNNNNNNNNNNNNNNNNNNNNNNNNNNNNNNNNNNNNNNNNNNNNNNNNNNNNNNNNNNNNNNNNNNNNNNNNNNNNNNNNNNNNNNNNNNNNNNNNNNNNNNNNNNNNNNNNNNNNNNNNNNNNNNNNNNNNNNNNNNNNNNNNNNNNNNNNNNNNNNNNNNNNNNNNNNNNNNNNNNNNNNNNNNNNNNNNNNNNNNNNNNNNNNNNNNNNNNNNNNNNNNNNNNNNNNNNNNNNNNNNNNNNNNNNNNNNNNNNNNNNNNNNNNNNNNNNNNNNNNNNNNNNNNNNNNNNNNNNNNNNNNNNNNNNNNNNNNNNNNNNNNNNNNNNNNNNNNNNNNNNNNNNNNNNNNNNNNNNNNNNNNNNNNNNNNNNNNNNNNNNNNNNNNNNNNNNNNNNNNNNNNNNNNNNNNNNNNNNNNNNNNNNNNNNNNNNNNNNNNNNNNNNNNNNNNNNNNNNNNNNNNNNNNNNNNNNNNNNNNNNNNNNNNNNNNNNNNNNNNNNNNNNNNNNNNNNNNNNNNNNNNNNNNNNNNNNNNNNNNNNNNNNNNNNNNNNNNNNNNNNNNNNNNNNNNNNNNNNNNNNNNNNNNNNNNNNNNNNNNNNNNNNNNNNNNNNNNNNNNNNNNNNNNNNNNNNNNNNNNNNNNNNNNNNNNNNNNNNNNNNNNNNNNNNNNNNNNNNNNNNNNNNNNNNNNNNNNNNNNNNNNNNNNNNNNNNNNNNNNNNNNNNNNNNNNNNNNNNNNNNNNNNNNNNNNNNNNNNNNNNNNNNNNNNNNNNNNNNNNNNNNNNNNNNNNNNNNNNNNNNNNNNNNNNNNNNNNNNNNNNNNNNNNNNNNNNNNNNNNNNNNNNNNNNNNNNNNNNNNNNNNNNNNNNNNNNNNNNNNNNNNNNNNNNNNNNNNNNNNNNNNNNNNNNNNNNNNNNNNNNNNNNNNNNNNNNNNNNNNNNNNNNNNNNNNNNNNNNNNNNNNNNNNNNNNNNNNNNNNNNNNNNNNNNNNNNNNNNNNNNNNNNNNNNNNNNNNNNNNNNNNNUUUUAAAUCAUAGAAGAUAGUAGAUAUCAUUCUCUACUUGACUCUUCUAAUGGAUUGCUUAUUCUGCUGCAGUUAAACUUGAUGUCUAUUGUAUUUUAUCAGUUUAACAUUGUUGAAGAUUAAUGAUAAUUUAUUUUGCAUUAUCUUAGUCAUAAUAUUUCUUACUGGGCUAGUUGAGUUCGCCCUUUCUUUCACCGUUCUCUUCAGGAAAUGAGAAAAUAGCUGGGACGAGUCAGGAAACGGAGUGACGGUCCAGAUGAUAGUAUUAGUAGUCUUCACUAUUCUGUUAAAUAGUGUGACAAUAAAUGUAAUGAGGACUCCAUUGAGAGUGGAUAUUGUCUAGAAGGCAAUAUUCUUGUUUAAACUCUCAGCUUAUUUUUUGUCGUAUGUUACACGACAGUUGUGUUAUUAAGUUUUUAUUUGUAUUUUGUACCAUGUAUUUGGCGACUCAAGAUGGGUGAUGUAUACCUGUUUUGGGGGCGUCACAGUUGGUAUCAAAGCUUAGGGAUAUGAUCCCUGGCUGAGAUGUGAGACAAGAACUAGGAGGGGAGAGACGGGAAAUUCCUUCGCUAGUAUGACCUACCUAAGUUUAUUUGGUAUUUAAUUGGUCGGUCAGAGUAUAGAGAUAAUAUGUGAUAUGUUAAUUAACUCUUGUUUUGUGGCAGUGUUCGAAAAUGGCAGCUGAAAAUGUUAGUAAUGGAGUGAAUGAGACCAUUGAGACACCUUUAAUCACUAACCAGGUUAAUAUGAUGUUAGACGAAGAAGAAAUUAGAGAUAUCUAUGUGGUAAAUGAAGAACUAAUAGUUGCACCCGAGCUAGUUGCAGAGGUAGCAGCUGAGAGUGAGGAAGAAGAGAAAACUGAAGAAAAUUUAUUAGAAGAAUUUUAUGAUCAAAAUUUAGAAUUACAAAAUCGUAUUCAUGAGUUAGAAGAGCAGGCUGAAGAACGGCAGGCGGUCGUGGAGCAAAGAGAUGCAACAAUUCAAAAUUGUGUUACCCGAUGUGCGAUGCUUGAACAGAAGCACUCUUUAGAAGAGUAUAGAUAUUAGAGCUGGAAUCUGAGAACACUAUGAUCAAAGUUCUGAUGAAAGCAGAAACAGCUGAACGAAGAAGAAUAGAUGAUGCGUGGGUAACAGCCGCACGACGCGUUGAUAGUGUAGAAAAAGACUUCCGAUCCAAUAAAGUCAAAAUAGAUGAAAUGGAUUUCGCUUUUUGGACAACAAUUGGGAGAAUCCAACAUCGAAUUCAGAAUUACCCUGUACAGAGCAGUCAACACCAAUUCGAUAUGGAUCGGAGAGUAAUGAUUCAAAUCAUGGAUCAGGAAUGUGACGAAGCAAUUAAGGGUGGAAUGUACUCUAUAGCAAAGUCAAAUCCGGUAGUUUAAGUGAGAGUGUUUGUCGAUAAACCUGAACGAAGUUAUUACGGGUAAGUUAAUUACAAACUCUUGUGAAGUCUAUGUCUUAUUAGAUACCAGUUCUACCCAUUAUUUUAUCUCUCUUGCUUGCGUUCAAUGUUUAAAUUUGACUCCAAAAAAAUUAGACUUUGAUUUAUCUGUUAAAACUCCGUUGGGAGAAACCUUCGUUACCUCGACUGUUUAUAAAUCUUGUUGCUUCAAAUCAACACUUUCACGUUACCUGUCAAUCUUAUCUCUUUAAAAAUACUUGCCUUUGAUGUGAUUUUAGGAAUCGAUUGAUUAACUACUUAUCAUGCUUUUCGUAAGGUUGUUAACUUUCAUAUUCCUAAUCAACCUGUUUUGCGAAUUCAAGCAACCAAACCACUAAAGUUAAUCACUGUCAUAUCAAGCCAUAAAGCUAUUCGUUUAUUGAAAAAUGGAUGUCAAGUUUUCUUAGCCCAUGUCAUGGAUUUAAAUAAAAAUACGUCAGAUUUGAAUGAUAUUUCUAUUGUUAAUAAAUUUUUUGACGUAUUCUCGAAGACUUCUUAGCCUACUUAGAGCGUGAAAUCGAAUUUUGUAUUGACCCCAGUACAAAACCCAUUUCGUAUAACUUACAAAUGAUGAAGAUAGAGUUAAAGUCUCUAGGGACCCACGUGGUGAUAUCAAAUAUACGAGUAGAAUCGACUUUAAUCGAUAAAGUUAAAGCCGUGCAAGCUACAUACUCAGAGCUGAUGAAUGUGAAGAAGAAGGUUCAAGAGGGCGUUAUUCUAGAAGCAAGAAUCGAUGAAGAGAGAAAAUCUCAACCCUCGAUUUUAUUGGCCCAUUUGAAAUCCUUGAUCGAGUAGGAACUGUGGCCUAUAGACUCGUUUUACCGCCAAAUAUGUUGCGUGUUCAUAACGCUUUUCACGUAUCGAUGUUACGAUGACCCGAACCACGUUAUUGAUUUAGAACCAAAUGAGAUAGCGAAAGAUUUAACGUAUGAGGAAAUACGUGUUAAAAUCUUGAAUAAGAAGGAUCGUAUUCAAUACUCAAAGGUUAUACCUCAAGAGUUAGAAUCUGAAAUGAAGUCAAGAGUUACUAUUCAUGAGUUACUAUUCACGAGUUACUAUUCAUGGGAUACUAUUCACCCGAAUAAAAUAUAUUUCUUUUCGGUCCAAAUCAUUUUUGGGUACAAUAUUAUUCCAUGAGGAGAUGUGCUAAUUUUUUAGACCGUUGGUUGAAAUUAUAUUAGUAAAUCAAUAUGGAUCGUUGGUUUAAAGUUUAAUAGUGAAUCAGUAUGGACCGUUGGUUUAAAGUUUUAAUAGUAAAUCAAUAUGGACCGUCCGUUUAAAAGUAAAUCAAUCUGGACCGUUCAUGAAUUAGUUACUAUUCAGUCCAUUCUCCUAUAAAUAGAAGCUCAUUCCUUCAUUAUUUCUUACGAAUUCACUGAAACUCUAGACAGAGAAAUUAUAGAGAGAAAAUCUAUAGAGAGAAAGAAGAAGAGAAGUCUGUUACCUCACUAAUCCAGUAUCCAAUUUUAUUCUAAGGUAAGGGAUAUUAUUUGUUGUACUCGUAAGGGGUAUUAAUUUUUCCAUAUUCAUGAAGAGAACUUCUGUUAUUCCAUUCUUUAUUAUUCUGUUGGAAUAACCUGUAUACGUGGACUACCCUAUACUUGGUGAAAUUCUUCUGUUAUUCCAUUCAUUAUUAUUAUGUUGGAAUAACCUGUCUAUGCGAAGUACUGCAUACAUGGUGAAAUUCUUCUAUUAUUCCAUUCCUUAAUAUUAUGUUGGAAUAACCUAUCUAUGCGAAGUACUGCAUACAUGGUAAAAAAUUUCUAUUAUUCCAUUCCUUAUUAUUAUGUUGGAAUAACCUGUUUAUGCGAAGUACCGCAUACAUGGUGAAAUUCUACUAUUAUUUUAUUCUUUAUUAUUCUGUUGGAAUAUCCUGUCGGUGCGAAUUUCGCCUGACCUGGUACCGUUAUUUAUUAUUCUGUUGGAAUAUCCUAUCUGUGUGUUUACGUCGGACCUGGUUCCAUUAUUUAUUAUUCUGUAUUUAUUAUUCUGUCGGAAUAUCCUGUUUGUACGUUUACGCCGGACCUGGUUCCAUUAUUUAUUAUUCCGUUGGGAAUAACCUGUCUGUGCGGACUCUAUCGCAUUCAUGGUGAAUCCUUCUGUUAUUCCAUUCUUUAUUAUUCUUUUUGGAAUAACUUGUCUAUGUGGAUUACCACAUGCAUGGUGAAUGAUCCUUUGUAUUCAUUCCUUAUUAAAUUGUGGAAAUGAUCUGUAUACGUGGAUUACCGCAUGGCGGGUGAAAAUUCAUUUGCAGUUUCAUAUAUUUGUUAUUAUACUCAGUUGAUUAAAGCUUUAACUUCUAUACUCCAUGAAAUUAGUAGAAUAUCCUUGAUAUUUGCGCUUCAUCCAGUAUCUUUUCAUGGAAAUAUUCUUCUGAGCAUUCUUGAAUUUUACUCUACAAAGAAGUAUCAUGUUGACAAUUUGGANNNNNNNNNNNNNNNNNNNNNNNNNNNNNNNNNNNNNNNNNNNNNNNNNNNNNNNNNNNNNNNNNNNNNNNNNNNNNNNNNNNNNNNNNNNNNNNNNNNNNNNNNNNNNNNNNNNNNNNNNNNNNNNNNNNNNNNNNNNNNNNNNNNNNNNNNNNNNNNNNNNNNNNNNNNNNNNNNNNNNNNNNNNNNNNNNNNNNNNNNNNNNNNNNNNNNNNNNNNNNNNNNNNNNNNNNNNNNNNNNNNNNNNNNNNNNNNNNNNNNNNNNNNNNNNNNNNNNNNNNNNNNNNNNNNNNNNNNNNNNNNNNNNNNNNNNNNNNNNNNNNNNNNNNNNNNNNNNNNNNNNNNNNNNNNNNNNNNNNNNNNNNNNNNNNNNNNNNNNNNNNNNNNNNNNNNNNNNNNNNNNNNNNNNNNNNNNNNNNNNNNNNNNNNNNNNNNNNNNNNNNNNNNNNNNNNNNNNNNNNNNNNNNNNNNNNNNNNNNNNNNNNNNNNNNNNNNNNNNNNNNNNNNNNNNNNNNNNNNNNNNNNNNNNNNNNNNNNNNNNNNNNNNNNNNNNNNNNNNNNNNNNNNNNNNNNNNNNNNNNNNNNNNNNNNNNNNNNNNNNNNNNNNNNNNNNNNNNNNNNNNNNNNNNNNNNNNNNNNNNNNNNNNNNNNNNNNNNNNNNNNNNNNNNNNNNNNNNNNNNNNNNNNNNNNNNNNNNNNNNNNNNNNNNNNNNNNNNNNNNNNNNNNNNNNNNNNNNNNNNNNNNNNNNNNNNNNNNNNNNNNNNNNNNNNNNNNNNNNNNNNNNNNNNNNNNNNNNNNNNNNNNNNNNNNNNNNNNNNNNNNNNNNNNNNNNNNNNNNNNNNNNNNNNNNNNNNNNNNNNNNNNNNNNNNNNNNNNNNNNNNNNNNNNNNNNNNNNNNNNNNNNNNNNNNNNNNNNNNNNNNNNNNNNNNNNNNNNNNNNNNNNNNNNNNNNNNNNNNNNNNNNNNNNNNNNNNNNNNNNNNNNNNNNNNNNNNNNNNNNNNNNNNNNNNNNNNNNNNNNNNNNNNNNNNNNNNNNNNNNNNNNNNNNNNNNNNNNNNNNNNNNNNNNNNNNNNNNNNNNNNNNNNNNNNNNNNNNNNNNNNNNNNNNNNNNNNNNNNNNNNNNNNNNNNNNNNNNNNNNNNNNNNNNNNNNNNNNNNNNNNNNNNNNNNNNNNNNNNNNNNNNNNNNNNNNNNNNNNNNNNNNNNNNNNNNNNNNNNNNNNNNNNNNNNNNNNNNNNNNNNNNNNNNNNNNNNNNNNNNNNNNNNNNNNNNNNNNNNNNNNNNNNNNNNNNUGUUGAAGACUAAUGAUAAUUUAUUCUGCAUUAUCUUAGUCAUAAUAUUUCUUACUGGGCUAGUUGAGCUCACCCUUUCUUUCACUGUUCUCUUCAGGAAAUGAGAAUAUAGCUGGGACGAGUCGGGGAACGGAGUGACGGUCCAGAUGAUAGUAUUAGUAGUCCUCACUAUUCUGUUAAAUAGUGUGACAAUAAAUGUAAUGAGGACUCCAUUGAGAGUGGAUAUUGUCUAGAAGACAAUAUUCUUGUUUAAACUCUCAGCUUAUGUUUUGUCGUAUGUUACACGACAGUUGUGUUAUUAAGUUUUUAUUUGUAUUUUGUACCAUGUAUUUGGCGACUCAAGAUGGGUGAUGUAUACCUGUUUUGGGGCGUCACAAUCAUCGUUGCCGCAUGUUUAGUUCCAUUUUGGUGAAGAAAUAUUUGAGACUUUUAUGAUUGGUAUAGAUCUCCACUUUCUCCCCAUACAGGUAAUGUCUCCAGAUCUUUAGCACAAAAACGACUGUUGCCAACUCUAGAUCAUGAGUAGGAUAAUUCUUCUCAUAUUCUUUGAGUUGUCGUGAGGCAUAGGCUAUGACUUUCCCAUGUUUCAUGAGAACACAUCCUAACCCUUUGCUUGAAGCAUCACUGUAGAUGACAAAUCCCUCCAAACCUGAUUGUGUUGUCAGAACAGGUGCUGAAAUGAGUCUCCUCUUGAGUUUUUGGAAACUCUUCUCACAUUUCUCGCUCCAACCGAAUUUUGUAUCUUUUUGAGUCAGCUGAGUUAACGUAGUGGCGAUUCGAGAAAAUCCUUUCAUGAAUCUCCGAUAAUAACCAGCUAAGCCCAGAAAGCUACGUACUUCGGUUAUUAACUUAGGUUGCUCCCAACUUUGUAUUGCUUCAAUAUUUGCCGGGUCAACUGAUAUUCGAUGAUUUGAUAUCACGUGCUCAAGUAAUGUUACUUCCUUAAGCCAGAACUUGCAUUUCUUCAACUUAGCAUAUAGCUUAUUUUCAAAAAUCUUUUGGAGUAUCAGUCCCAAGUGUUGCUCAUGAUCUUCACGGCUUUUGGAGCAUAUGAGGAUAUCAUCCAUAAAGAUAACCACAAAAUUAUUCAAAUAUUCUUUGAAUACUCGGUUCAUUAUAUCCAUGAAGGCAGCAGGAGCAUUAGUCAAUCCAAAAGACAUGACUAGGAAUUCGUAAUGCCCGUACCGAGUUCUGAAAGCAGUCUUUGGAAUGUCAUCAGUUUUAAUCUUUAACUGAUGAUAUCCGGAACGAAGAUCGAUUUUUGAAAAGAAUUUAGCACCUUGUAACUGGUCAAAUAGGUCAUCAAUGCGAGGCAACAAGUAACUAUUUUUUAUGGUGACAUGAUUCAACUCCCGAUAAUCAAUGCAAAGUAGCAUACUCUCAUAUUUCUUCUUUACGAAUAAAACAGGAGCACCCCAAGGAGAUGUACUAGGACGAAUGAAACUGAUGUCUAACAAUUCCUGCAAUUGAGUUUUUAACACCAGAAGUUCAAUAGGAGUCAUUCGAUAUGGGGUUUUGGAAAUGGGUUUUGUACCGAAUUCAAGGUUAAUACAAAAUUCGAUUUCACGCUCUGGGGGUAGGCCAAAAAGUUCUUCGGGGAAUACGUCAGGAAAUUUAUUAACAAUAAAAAUAUCAUUCAAAUCUAAUGUAUUUUUGUUUAAAUUCGUGACAUGAGCUAAAAAAGCUUGACAUUCAUUUUUUAAUAAACGAAUGGCUUUAUGGCUUGAUAUGACAGUGACUGACUUUAGUGGUUUAGUUGUUUAAAUUUACAUAAUAGAUUGGUUAGAAAUAUGAAAGCUAACAACCUUACAAAAAUAAUCAAUUUUAGCGUGAUGAGUAGUUAACCAAUCAAUCCCUAAAAUCACAUCAAAUGCAAGUAUUUUCAAAGAGAGUAGAUCAACAGGUAAUGUGAGGGUGCUGACAUGAAUCAAACAAGAUUUAUAAGCAGUGUAUGUAAUGAAGGUUUUUCCUAACGGAGUUUCAACAGAUAAGUCAGAGUCUAAUUUCUCUGGAGUCAAAUUUAAACGUUGAGCGCAAGUAGGUGAAAUAAAAGAAUGGGUAGAACCGGUAUCAAAUAAGGUAUAGACUUCGCAAGAGUUUAUGAUUAGCUUACCCGUGAUACCUUCGUUCGGGUUCCUCGCUUUUUGGGAGGUCACGACAAAUGCUCUCCCUUGAACUACCAGCUUUGAAUUGUCUAGGACGACCUUUGGUGUCACCAUCCCAGCUGAACUUGACUUUACUACAUGACAAAAUCGAGCUAGGUGACCUUCUCUUCCGUAAUUAAAACACGCUUUGGGUUGCUGCGUACAGUUUGGACUAAUGUGUCCCUCCCCUCCGCAUCUGUAGCAUACGACCGGUGGUCGUUCUCCUUCCUUAAAAACGGGUGUUGGUGCUGCUGUGUUUCCAUCAUUAUUGAACCUUCUCUUUUUGAAAUUUUCACUUGACUCGUUCCUUGGGCUUGUGCUACUGUGCAAUACCGUGCGCUACUGUGUAACCACGCGUAUUACUGUACUUUUAUCAUCCUGUAUUUCAACAAUUAACGGUAAAAGUUUUACCGUUAUUUUUUAUAAAAAGGUUAUUUCUGUCGCUUUCUAUAUCCGACAGUUAUUCGAUUGUGGGGUCCACCAAUGAUUGUACCUUCGUACAAAUAUUCCUCGACAAAAAGAAUAUUCCUUGACCAAACGAAUAUUUUAUGACAACUUGCUUACUUUGUAAAAUUUACACAUAUCACUCAUAAUUAUACCAUUAUAUCAAAUCAACACUUUAUUAUUCAAAAUAAUAUUUAAAAAAAAUUAAAUUUUUAUUCAUAAAAAGUUGGGCUCUUAGAACAACUUCAAAUUUAAUUUUUUCAAACUUUAGUUAAAAAGUCCUACACUUUCUAUGUCAAUGGCUUCCACUGAUCAUUUCCCAUCAAAAUAACUGGUCAUUUCUAAUCCAAACAACUGUCAUAAUAUGUAAAGUAUGCAUCAUUGGCAGUUGGAAAUUCAAGAAUAUGCAAAAUUAUAACUCUAAUAUGUCAACAGAUACAAUAACCAAUGGUUUUAAAUACUGCAACAAACAAAAUUAUAAUCAACCUUUUAGAUAGUAGUGAUUAUGUCAAAUAUAAAUUAACAUGACAUCAGAGAGAUUCCCAGUGACAAAUCAUCAUACUCCUAAGGAGUUUCUGAUGUCCCUGUCUGUUUAUCAUCACUUGUACAAAAUUAUUUUUCAGAAAGAAAAAAAAUAAAAUCAUGAACACUUGCAGAUUAAAUAACUCAAUCAAACAUGGAAAACAAUUUCAAUCCCAUUACAUACUUAAUGUUUUAAACUGAAAACAACAUAAGUGCAUCAGAUUUAAUUGCUUUCAUAGCGGAAAAACUCAAAGUAUAUUUAGAACCAUCAUCGACACUAAUUAUAGUUUAAAAAAAACAUAUAACAUAACUAGAAAGGAAAUUGGAAGCUAAUUGACACAAACAUAUUUCAAAAAUAAUUUGUUCAACAUAAUAGAAUGUUACAACUGUGAUAGCAAUGCAUCAGGGAGAUUCCCAUCGAAAUCUUUUCUCCAGAUGGAUUUCUAAUGUCCCUAUCUUUUUGUCAUCACUUGCAACCUAUUAAACCCCCAAUUUCACAUUACCAAAGAUAUAAUUUUAGCUCUAUUCUACAAAUACUUUACUUUAGCUCUGUCAAUCAAAAAUUUUAGCUAGUCUACAAAUACUUUAUUAGAUUCCUUCUCAAGUACAAAAUAGACCCAAGUAUUGCAAACAAUUAAUUAUAGAACUCUGUUGUCCAAUAAUUACUCUACCUUAUUAGAAAAACAAAGCAAGCCCGCCACCAAGGGACCAAUUAAAAAAAUUAUCAAAAUAAAAACAAACCAACCAUAAAAAAGCCCUAAACAUCUAUAUAUCGUAUAUAGACAAAUCGACAUAAGUAGAGAGAAAUUCAUUGGCUAAAUCUCAAAAUAAACUUAAAAUUACCUAAGAAAAAUUUGGAGUCUGGAGUUGGAGGCAGACAUCAGCGGUGCGGCAAGUCGACGACUGACGAGUGAAGAUUGAAGACUGAAAAGUGAAAUAGAAACGAGUCGGAGGUUGGCUGAUGGGAGAGGAUAGAUCAGAGAAUUCGAGAUGGAGACAAAGGUUCAAGAUGGAGACAAAGGUUUGAGGAUAUGGUUUGAGGAUAUAAUCUAUUUGGGAAUAAACUCAAUAAAGUGAAGGCUGGAGCUAUGAAAGAUUGAAAGUGAAAAUUAUUAAAUAAACAGGUACAAUCGGAUCGGUUCGGUAUAUACCGAACAAGCCAAACCCCUAACCAUACCCGAUUCUGAAAGGCCGGUAUAUACCGGUUCUGCUUACCGGUCCUGAACCAAUUACAAUCUGUCCCAAACCUGCCGGUUCAAACUGGUUCGAUUUCCCUAAAAACUGAAUAUACCAAAUUUUUUGCCCACCCCUAGGAUUUAUUAUCAUCCUGGUAAGGCUAAUGUGGUUGCAGAUGCUCUUAGCAAAAAAAAGUUCAAGGAGUCUAAUUGCCUUGGUUACACAACCUCAACUCAUCUCGGAUAUGGAGCAUUUGGGUUUAGAGUUAUAUGUUAGAGGUUCUGAUGGGUUGGUAGCAGGUAUGAGGGUGGAAUUUUCUCUUAUUUUGUGGGCUAAAGAAAACUAAAAGGAGGAUAGUGAGUUGUGGGAUGUAACGCAGAAUAUGGAUGAGGGUACGCAACCCGAUUUUUGCAUUGAUGAACAAGGUGUGAUAUGGUUUGGUAAACGGUCAUGUUUUUCGGAAGAUCCAAUUAUUUGUGAGGCAGUAUUGAUCGAAGCUCAUAGUUCAUCAUUCUCUAUUCAUCCGAGGUCUACAAAGAUGUAUAAGGAUUGAAGGAGAAUUUCUUGUGGAACAGAAUGAAAAGGGAUGUAGCUGAAUUUGUAAGUAAAUGUCUUACUUGUCAACAAGUGAAAAUAGAGCAUCAGUGGCCUGGUAGUUUGUUGCAAUAGUUAGAUAUUCCAGUGUGGAAGUGGGAUGACAUUUCGAUGAAUUUUAUAACUGGUUUACCGAGGGCUCUCAAGAAGAAUGAUAUAUGUUAUUUGGGUACUGGUAGUGGAUCGUUUGACCAAAUUAACUCACUUCCUGGAUAUCCGUGAGGAUUUUUCGGUAAAUAAGUUAGCAGAUAUUUUUCAACAUGAGAUUUUUUAGCUUCACGAAACUCUCGUUUCAAUUGUUUCGAAUCGGGAUCCGCUGUUUACUUCUUGGUAUUGGAUUUCAAUGAGCUUGGGGAACGCUACUCAAUUAUAGUACAACUUUUCAUCCACAAACGGAUGGACAAUCGGAGAGAACUAUUCAGAGAUCAGAAGAUAUGUUGCAAUCUUGUGCUUUAGAAUGGACAGGAAAUUAGGAUGAUUAUUUGAGUUUGGUGGAGUUCGCAUAUAAUAAUAGAUGGCAAGCUAGUAUUGGUAUGGCUCCUUUUGAAGCAUUGUAUGGAAAGAAGUGUCGAGCUCCGACUUAUGGGUAUGAUGUUGGAGAAAGGGUAAUAGAAUGACCCGAUUUGAUAAGGAUUACUUCGGGGAAGGUAGCGGUGGCUAAAGAAAAAUUGAAAGAAUCUCGGUCGCGACAAAAGAGUUAUGUUGAUAUUCAUAGAAGGGCUCUUGAAUUCACACCUGGUGAACACGUGUUUUUGAAAGUCUCUCCAUGGAAAGGUGUUCGAAGGUUUGGUUUGAAAGGAAAGCUUAGUUCGUGUUUUAUAAUUUUCCCUUUUGAAGUUCUAGAGAGGAUUGGAGAGGUGGCAUAUCGGGUGGUUUUGUCUCCACAGUUAUCUCAUGUGCAUAAUGUCAUUCAUGUUUCGAUGUUAAAGAAAUAUAAUUAUCAUCCACUUUAUGUUGUGCAAUACCCGUUACAUAAUAUUCGAGAAGAUCUUAAUUACUUAUGAGGAAGAAGUUGAGACAAUUUUAGAUCAUCGAAAAUGGGUUAUGAGAAGGAAGACAAUUCCAUUUGUUAAAUUCUUGUAAAAAAAUCAUCGAGAGCGCGAAGCUACUUGGGAGGCGGAGGAGACUAUUCGACAGGAGUAUCAUCGCCUCUUUGAUGUCAGGUAAAUCUUUGUUACUCUUUUGAUUCUGGGGACAAAAUCCUUUGUAAGGGGGAGGUGAUGUAAUAUCUGAAAAAAAAAAAAAAUAAUAAUAAUAAUAAUAAUAAUAAUAAUAAAAAUUAAUUGGGUCAAACUAAGUUAUAAGUAUUUAAGUUUUGGAUUGUUAAACUAUUUGAGCCCAAUUUAUAGUAUUUGGUUUAAAAACCAAAUUGAAAUAGAAUAACAUUAAUAUAUUAGGUCAAAACCCUUCCUAAUACAUGCAUGUAGUGACAUUAAUCGACUAAACAAAAGAAGAAGAGGGUUUUUGACGUAGCGAGAAACGAAUAGGAGAUGGAAGAAAGGUUGUGGGAUAAAAAUAAAAAUUUGGGAAGAAGAUUGUAAAACUAUAUUCAACAUAAUCGUAUCUCUAAAAGGUAAUUAUUGGAUUUAUUUUUGAAAUAUAAAAUAAGGGCAAUAUGGCCAUACAAAGUUGUGUAUAUUUUAUUUGUGCACGGUCUGUCAAAAUUACGUCGUUGGCAGAUUUGUUUUUUAAAAAAAAUAGUUUCUCUCCUCCCAAAUCAGAAAUGAAAAAUAAAUCUGUCAAAACGAUGUAGUUUUGACAAACUGUGCACAGAUAAAAUAUACAUAAUUAUGUAUAGUCAUUAUUUCCAUAAAAUAAUUAAUUUCAUUAAUAUGAUUACAAUCUAUUUUAAAAAAUUUCAUUACAUCGUUUGCUUAAUCUGAUGUGUUGCUAUAAUCUUGAUACGUAACUGAAAAUUUAAGUUUGAUUGGUUGUCUUCCUUUGGCUUGUGAAGGAGUACCACCACUAUCAAUAUUGUCGACAUUCAUUAUAUUGCUUCAUUCCAAACUUUAACUCUGAAUAAAACUCCCACGUAUUCAUACCUACAUAGACUAAGAAAAGAAUGAAUUGAUUUACUAUUUAAUUUUUUUUUUCUGCUGAAGAAAUCCCAUUCUAAUCUUCAAGAUUAAAUAAAUGAUGUGUCGUCAGGAGCAUUACUCGACCAUUUGAAGAAUCAAUUCUAACUAGUUAUGAAGAAUCAUCCUGCAUAUAUAUACAUAUACAUAUUUACAUAUAUAAAUAUAUGUACUAUCAUUUUCUAAUAAAGAAUUUGGUAAAUACCAUAUAUUAUAUCUAUAAAGGCUUGAUUUGGUCAGAGUCAUUAAGCUGAGACUUUUAUUGUAUUUGAUGGGAAACAUUUCAAGGCAAGAAAACUUUGCAUUCUUUAUGUAGUAUUUAAAUAUAUAUGGCAAUAAAUUAAAUAUACUCCAUCUGCCUCACAUAAAAUAUUAUUGAUUAAUUUUGUGUUUAUGUGUACUGUUAAUAUCAAAAUCAGUAUUAAGAAACACCAGAUUGAAUAGUGACUGUAUUAAUGUACAGGAGUUUUAAGAAUCAAUAAAAUUAUAUUUAUAUUAUUAUAGCAUUAAUUAUACUCCCUCCGUCUCAGAAUAAAAGUUUUGGUAGAUUUUUCACGCAUAUUAAGAAGAUGAAUGAAGUGACAAAAUUACCCAUAAUAAUAUGUCAUUAAUUAUUUUCAAUGUAGAUGAGAGAGUGACUUUCUAGCUACUAUUCAAUUCAAAAUAUUCUUUCUCCAUACUUAUUAAAUAUGGAGAGAGAAUUAGAAUAAGAAAAGUAUGAGAUAUUUAAUGCUACGGGCAUAAUAAGAAAAAAUAUGUAAAAAUUUGGUUAUUAAAGAAAAGUGGACAUUUAACAUGGGACUACUCAAAAUAGUAAUAAGGACUUUUAUCAUGGGACGGAGGGAGUACUAAAUUAAAAUGAUGUUUUUGCAUUACAGAAUGUACAAAAUGUAUUCUUAACUUUAGAGGGUUAUGAAAUAAUAUUAAGGUUGUUAAUUUUAUAAAAAUAAAAUACAUAAAUUUUAUAAUUUGGCAAUUUAAUUAAUGGUCUGGUAUUGAUUUGAUAAUUAUAUAGAUCGGAUUGAGCAGAUCUAGCGGUGUGAUAUUUAGUUCGGUGAAUUAUUUUGGUAUUAUAUUUAGGUACGGAUUCCGUAAUUCGUUUCUUGAUUGUGCUUCUAUUCCCUAUAUCUGUUAUAUAAUGUUUCGUCAUUUGGGAAACUGUGUUUUUGAGACUUCAUUCGUUUGAAUCAUUCUUCGUAUAUUUUCGUUCACAUUCGGGAGUUGUUUUGAUCAUUGAUGUCUUGUGAUAAUUAAGUAUGUUCGUAUUUGAUAAUUCGAUGUUAAUCUUGUCAUUUGGAGAUGGUCAUGUAAGCCUUAUGAUUUGAACACCUUUUAGCUUACAUUUUAUAGUUUGAUCCUUAAGGUAUACUUGAGCUACCCACCUGUGGGGGUACCACAUGCAUGUCUUCUUAACACAAGGGCAUGACACAUUUUGUCGCGGUGUGAUUAGUCCACGUCGUAUCCUUUUGUAUGCUCUGGGUGUGAGAUUUGGUAUUUGAUAUAUUUGUUCAAGAUACGUAUGGGUCGACCCAAUAUUUGAUUUAAUUUGAUUAAUUUGGCGGAUUAGUGACGCAUGUGUCGUGCGUACUAUUCUGUUUGAUUUGCAUACAUCACGAUACCAAUGUAUUUUGUUAGCAUUUUGAUAUUUAUACUUGAGUUCAAUAUGAAAUUUUUACCUUAUAAACAUUUGAUUCAACCUUAUUUCGUUUGGAAUCCUUUUGACUAUAGUUGUCGGUUCAACGGUGUUUUGUACCUUAUCUCAUUAAUUUUGAUAUAUUCAUAAUUUUUUCGUAGUUUGUAUUUGUUCGUUCAUUUAGUUCUUUUGGGUACAUUAUAUAUAUAUAUAUAUGUGUGUGUGUGUGUGUGUGUGUGUGUGUGUGUGUGUACAUCUUUAUAGCCGUAUUGGACAAUUGAUUCACGAUGUGUUGUUUCUCCGGUAGGUAAUCAGAGGUGAUCAGGAUUUGUGAAAUGAGAGUUAUCUUUGAUCCAAAUAAAUAGAUUGGUUUGAGACUAUUAUUUUAUUUGGAUUUUUUUAAUAUUUUGUAUAUGGAUGUUUGUGCCAUUUUGACUUUUAUGCUUAAAAGUAAAGACUAUAUUCAUGUGGAGUUCUUCCUAUUUAAAUUAUUAUAUGUGACGGUUAGUGUUCAAUCUAAUUAGAAAUAUUUUGAGAUUUAUUAGAGGAUUGUAUUUAUUAUGUUUGUGUGUAACAUCCUUUUUCUUUUGAGAAAGAAUGUUACAUGAACAAUUUAGAAGACUUAAAGAGUAUCAUACUUUUUAGUUGAAAUAAUAUUUCUUUAUAAAUAAUACAUACAGUGUAGUAAAAAAAUUAUCAAUUUUUUUUGAAAUAUAUCGGUAUAAUGAGAUCUAAAGAAGUCCAUAUUUCAAAUUGAGUUAAAGAAAAAUUUAAAACAACUCUUAUGUUUGGAACAAAGAAAAUAUUUUCAUAUAUUUCUUCAAAAUGGUAAACUUUUCUUUAAAAAGAUUGCUGGUCGACUAUUCACAAAAGAUAUUAAAAAGUAUUGGCUCAUUAGUUAGGAGAAAUAAUGAACUAAGCUCAAUGGAUUAUGGAUGUUUGGUGAAGUUAUACUUUUUGAGUAAGUGGUGGAUUCUUUUCGGGUAGAUUCUUGGUGAAUCUUUAGGAAACCAUUUCUAAAAAUUUAAUAAUUUUUAUUUUUAAAAAUAUUUUCUCAAAAAAAAAUUCUCUUAAUUUUGUAUAUAUAAUCAAAAAUAAUAUUACAUACUUGGUGCUUGAUUGUAGCACAAUUGAGAAUUAUGGUUGAUUCUAAUAAAGUUUUCUCCUCCUUAUCUUCCUUUCUGUAUGAUUCUUAUUUUGGUAUAAAGUAUUUUUUUCUGAGUGCGGAUUCAAAAUACUGCAUGAGGAUAAAUAUAUAGAGUUCUCAACUCCCGAUUUAUCAGGAUAAAAAACUAACAAAUAUAUUUUAUCAUGUAGUUUUGUUAUAUCUUAAUAAAAAAGAGUGAGGAUCAAGUAGGAUUCCAUAAUUUUAGCUCCAAUAUAAAUAUAAUUUUUGAUUAACUCUUUAAUCAAUUAAAAUUAUAACUAAUUUUACUAAAUAGUUAUAAUUGCUCUCUAGAAAUAGUAGAAUUAAAAUUAAUUAAUUUAAUCCUUCCACUAUUAAUAUCUUGCAAAUAUAUCUCUUUCAAUUAAUAUCCAUAAACGUGUGUAGUAAAUAAAAAUUGUUAAUCCACUAUGUUUACGGCUUAUAUCCUUGAGUACAAAAUUUAUAAACUUUUGAUCAAUAAUUAAUUGGGCAUAUGUGAAAAUAAAUUUAUGUGUAAAUUUAUAUGCUUAUAAUAAAUUUAUAAACUUUUUAUACCCUUUCUUUUGGUCAACUAGAUCCUUUUGACCUGCUGACAUGUCACAUGUGAUACAACUUACGUGAAUGCUUUCUAAUUAAUAUCCAAGAAACAUAAUUUUCCUAAGAUUCGAACCCAAAAUUUCAAUUUUAAAAUAUUGAUCAUAAGACCACCCGAACACCACAACAUAGCUAUAAAAUUAUUCCGGAAUAGAUUUUGUACUAAAUCAAUAUAUCCCCCCAACAGAAUUACAUUAACUUUUGCCAUCUCUUCAUCCUUAUCCUCAUCCACAUCCUCAUCCUCUGCCAGCAAAAUUACAACUUUUGUUAUCUCCUCCUCAUCCGUCGUAACCCAUCAUCACCACCGCAAACUUGUACCGGUCCCCGUCGUAUCUCCAGACAAUUCCUGGUGCUACCCCGCCUCCAAACCCCUUCCCCCACCGUCUUUCUCCCGUCAAAACAUCUAGCUGGAAUCUACUUUCCUUGUUGAUUUUACCAUCUUCACCAUCAAUCUCUUUUAUCUGUUCCAUCUCGUUCACCUCUCAAAUCCAACAUUAAAAACCCUAACUCAAACAUAGAUUUAUUCAACUCCAACUAAAUUAGUUAAAUCUCUCAACACAAAACACACAAAAUUAGUCUAACUGUAAUAUAAGAAAUCCAACAAAUGAAAGAAAAAAAAAAGGAAAAUUAUUAUUGUUCACCAUCGCUUUUUUAACACUAAAACCCUAUCUUUUCGCCAGAAAAUAUUAUGGUUUACAGAAAGUGGGUCAUGGCGAAGCAAGUUAAAUUUUGAAUCUUGUCGUGUGGGAUGCUCUUCUCGCCGAACUCUCUAACUAUCGAUCUGGGUUACGUCCUAGCCGCUAUAGUUAAUCUUCUUCUCUAUUUUCAGCUUUAUUUUGAGAGAAUUCAUGCCCAAAUUAGGUGAGAGUUCUUGUUAAUUGGAAAUUUAGGGAAGAAUGAAUAAAUUGAUUUUUAUUUUAUGAGUUUGAUUUGGGCUAACAUAGCUUAAAUCUGGCUACAGACGAUUAUGGGGGAAAAGAAAAGAAAAUUUGAAAAAAGAAAAGGAAAGGAACAGGAGAAUCUGGCUAUGAAUGAUUGGAUGAGAGAGUGAAAAUUAAUUUUUUUUGUUUAUUACGAGUUUAAAUAAUCUUAUUAGUUUUUUAAAGUAAUUUUUAAUUUUUUAAAUAAUCUUAUUACUUUUUUAAGUGUAAUUAUUUAAUUUGUAAUAAUAUUUAUAUUUUUUUUUAAGUAUAAUUUUUUAAUUUGUGUAAAUAAUUUUUAUUAGUUGCCAUUUGUUUAAAUGUCAUUAUUUUCUUACAUAUUUUUAGCAUAUUUUUUUACAAAAUAUUUUAUUUUAUUUUCUAAUUUUAUAAAAUUAAUUGAUCGUAAGAUUAAAAUUUUAUCACUUAUUUUUAUUGGAGGAAUCGAUUGAUUAAGUAUAUAAGUUAUUUGUUGAGAGAAUUAAAGAAGUAUGUGUCGCCCCAAAAUUGGUUCACACAAUCUAUUCUAAGUCGCCAGAUACUCGGUACAAAAUUCAAACAAAAACUUCAUUUAUACAACUGUUGAACUGUCGUGCAAAAUACGACAACACAUAAGUUGUGAGUUUCAAUACAAAUAUUGUUGCGUAUAUAAUACAACAAUAUUCAUACUCAAAUUAUUACAAUGUCAUAUAAAGUACAGCAGCAAAUAUUUCAAGUCUCCAAAGGGACACGAGAAGAUUUAUGUCCUCCUCAUUUUAAUUGAGUGCAUUUUUGACGCUUUCAAAGUUGGUUUCUCAUCACCCUAUUAUUGUUCAUCCACUACAAAAAAUUGGGUCAUAGGCGACGGGAGUAAUGGCGACGGGAGAAUUGUCGUCGGUAAUGACCUCAAUAGCGACGGCCACGCCGUCGUUAAUGUAUGCCGUCGGCAAUGACUUAUUUUCACUCAUAUGGCGCCAUCUUUUUUACUACCCGCGCGCGGGAAGGGUGUAGGGCGACGGGCUUUACCAUUGGCGACGGGAUUUACCGUCGGUAUUAAGUCAUUGGCGACGGGAGUAAUCUCGACGACUAUGCCGUCGAGAAUGAGUCCUGUAUAACAGAUAAGUUUUAAUUUUUUGCUUAUCCUUUUUCUUCUCCCCCCGCGCGAAUCUUCUUUCCCUCUUCCUCCUGUCGUCGCCCUGAGUAGCUCGUCGUCGUCCAUCUUCCGGUUAUGCCAUCGCCCAGCUUCCGAUUACCACAUACCACCUCGCCGUCGAGUCCCCGUCGCCGCCUCACCUCUGUCCUCAACAGUCCUCGCCUCGAGCUCAGUAAGUUUUUUCAAUUCAACUUUUUCCCCUAAUUAACUUAUGGAACCAUUAUAAUAGCUUUGUUAUCAUCUCAAUGUAUAAUAAGAUUUGAUUUAAGGUCUAUAUUAUUUGAUUUAUACUGGUAUUGACAAUGCUUGUGUUAAGCUAGUUUGGUAAAUUUCCCAAUUUUUUUUGCCAAAAUCCAAAGUACAGUGCUUGUGUUUAGCUUCUUUAAAUCAAAGUAUGAAAACUUUUGGGCAUUGUGUUAUUCUUCAAAUUAAAAACUUGAGAUUGUCAAGUGGCUUUUGGAGCCUGAAUCCCAGGUUGGUCUUGCAUUCUGUUUUCAGUUUUAUAGGAUUUGUAAAAAAAAAACCUUGCCUUUUCAUUUUGCUUAUUGUUUUAUAUUUUGUACAUAUCUGUAUUAUUGUUAUGUACAUAGAGAUAAAUUUACAUACCAUUCUGUAGUGUAUUGUUAUGUACAUAGUAUAUAUAUUUCUAUAUGUGUGUGAUGGUUAAUUUAUGUGUGCUACCAUCUUAUGUUGAGAAUAUUUAUGUCCCAGGUCAAUUCCAUAUGCCAUUACUAUUUUAGUUUCUAAAAUGUGAAUAAAUGCACUAAUCUCUCGUUACGUUGUAAGCUAUUCGCACCUUUUGUUGUUGUAUAUUCAGUGUCGUACUGUGCGUGCUCGAUGUCUUGUUUAAACGAAUCUUUCGUUUAUUUCUAUUUUUUAUUCUUUUGGGGUUAAGUUUUUUGUUAUCACUAGUAGCUUUCAAGCCUUGGGUUAAGCUUGAGUUCAUAAAGAAUAAGGUUGAGAUGAAAUUGGUUUGAGCUUAGACCGUGCCUUGUACAUUCUAAACCCAUUUUAAUUUUUAUACAAAAUUUUAAAACUAUAUGAGACAUUAUGUGUACUUAGCUAUUAAAAUAUGAGUUUUUUAAAUAAUAAAGAAGCUUAACAUUCAAUCUAAUCAUAUGAAGUCCAAUCUCAACAUGUUGUUAGACUAAUUAGGUAUGAAUGAUAUUAAUAUCUAAUCAUAGUAAUCAAGAGCAAAUCAAUAGAUGCUAUGAAAAAUAUAUCUAAAUAACAAGUACGCGGAGCAACAUCAAUCAAAAGAUAAUGGAUCAACCAAAUAGAAAUGGUAAGUAAUGUUUGUCUUGGCUCUUAAAGGAGGUUUGGAACCUAAGUUGCCUUAAUUUAUAAAAAUUUACACUAAAAUCAUAUAAAGAAGCUAAGGAUCCUCCUGCUUCUUCUGUGAGUUAGAUCCAACUAUAUAUAUAUUUGUCUCUGUUCAUGAAGAAUGAAAGCUAGCAAAUAAGUAAACCUACUGGAGUUGAUAUAUAUAGAAAGAAUUGAGGUACAAAUAAAUAAAAUUUGCCCACUAUAUCGCUUAAACCAUUACUGUCGCACUUAAUGUAUAAUUCUAUAACAUCUAUCAUUUUUACAAACAAAAGUAAUCGUAUAAUUUUUUGUGACUGCUUGAAAGUUUUGGUUUAUUAUGUCACAAUAUUUUGACAAUUUUGACAUGGGUACUCCUCAAUUUUAUCAAUUAUUUGUACUAAAAUGAAGUGUCUAGUACCCUAGUACCUAUACCCUUUUGUGUGUCGAGUGUCGGAAACUAGUAUUUUAAGGCAAAUUAUGAAGAGUCCGUGUAAAACAAUAUUAGCUUUUCUAUGUAGCAAGUUCCCAUGUAAAGCCAAGACUCAUGGAAACAUGUACUCUUUGUGUAAUAAUAUUAGGAGUAUGUACUCUUUGUGUCCUUUUAGUUGUAUUCAAAUGUAAUAGUUUGUAGUAGUACAAUCAUUAUCUUCAACUUAUAUUAAUCUACUAAAUAAGGUGUUAGUUGUUUUAGGUUACUAUUUAUGCUGUAUCCUUUUAGGUUACUAUUUAUGUUGCAUUCUUUUAAUUGUAUCUGUAUGUUAUCCUCUUUGUUACUGUUCACAAAUAUAGUAUUUACGUAUGUAUACAUACAUAUGAUUUGACAGUAUAUGUUAUCUUCUUUUUUCUGUAUCUGUAUGUUAUCCUCUAUGUUAUCCCUCUUUUACUGUAUGUUGCAUUCUUUUAGUUGUAUCAAUAUAGUAUUUUUUUUAGUUUUGGUGGUAUACAUACAUAUGGCGCGCACACCACACGGCGAUCGUGGUGGGCGUGCAGGUCGUGGGGACCGUGGCGAUUCUACGCGUGAUGAUCAGGCCGGAUCGUCAGGUAUAAUUACAUAUUUUAUUGGGAUACAUCUUAUUAUUUUUUAUUUUUUAUUAUAUUGACAUUAUAUUCAUUUAUAUAAAUAUUGAUGUAUUUCACUACAUAGGUGAUCGACGUAGGCCUCCGCGGGGACUAGCACGUGGCUUGCUAGGGAAUCCCCCCCAGGCGCCGCUUAUAUGUCGUGUUGGGACUCAUAGGUAAUUUCAUAAUCCUAUAUAGUAUUACUAUAAUAUAAGUAUUUAGUUCUUAAUUAUAUAUUUUUUGUAAUUUGCAAUGUAUUAAUUUCAAUUGUAGUAUCCUUGACGCUACGCCAAGGAACACGUUGCUUGGGAUCGUCCGCAACUGAUUCUCAAGCCCGUGGAUGAGGUGGGCGGAUGUGGAUGACCGCACACGUCAGUUGAUUAUUGCUGAGUUUAGGGUAGGAUGUCAAUCAUUCAUACGCUAGUUUUAUAUUCCAUUUGAAUAUACUGUUACCUCUUUGAUUUAUGUUGUUUACUAAGCUUCUUAAUGUGUAAUGUGCAGAGAUAUUAUCGUUUUGAGGAAAGGAAGGAAGCCCAUGGCAUGACUGUUCUACACAGAUACCUAGAGAUGAAUUGACACAAGUGGGUCUACGACUGGAAGAAGAAGGCCCAGACGAAGAUGGCUGAUGGACAGACACUUAAGGAUGUCCGGCCAAAUUUCACAUCUGCUGCGGUGUGGGACCAGAUGUGCAAUAUUUGGGACUGUGAGGCCUUCAAGAAGAUGUCGGCACAGCAUUCAGCUGCCCGACAGCAGAGUCGUCUCCCACACUGCACUGGGUCUCAGUCGUACGACCUGUACCAGGAGAGACUUGAGGUGAGUUUAAAGCAUGCACCCUCCCGCUUGGAGUUUUGGUGGCACGCCCACCAAAAGAAAGGUGAUGGUGGUUAUAUCUCACCUGAGGCAGAACGCAUUGCUGUAAGUUAUUUAAUUCUCUUAUUUAGUAUGUAUUUAAAAUUCGGAUAUUCUUUUGUAUUCUUUCAUUUUAUACUUUGCGUAUCAUCUACUAAUGUGUUUUUUUUCAGUGAUGGUUCGAGGAUCUUGUAGUGGCCCGGUGCAGCCAGAGAGGUGACACUCCAGUAGACGAGUCGACGCGUGCGGACGAGGAGAUAGAGGACUGGCUGCAGGCUACAGGGGGACCGAAGAAGGGUAGAGUUGUGGGCAUUCCCCAUGUCCCAGCUUACACCCUAGUCCCUGCUGCAAGAUCUCGGCGACGCCCACCCACUAGAGGUAGUGGUGCUAGUGGAUCGGGCGCCAACCCUUCAUUAUCCGAUGACUUCUUUCGGCGGAUCAUAGAGGGGUGCAUGGCGAGCGGUGUUGUGCAGUCAGACGCACCAUCACGCGAGCGGAUCUAUCAGCUGGCUAAGGAGGUUGUCCACGGCUCUAUCAAUCCUACAGCUGCCGUUGACGACCUCAUAGAUGUAGUGUGGGAGGAGGCCAUCCGCGUGUGUGCAGUUAUCUUGGCCAACAUCUUCCUACCAUAUAUUCGAUAGGUAAAAACAAUUAAAUUUUGUAUUUCCUUAUUUAAUUUAUGUAAUUUAUAAUUGUAUUGCUUAGAUAAACUUAAGAUAAAACCAAAACUUCCAUUAAACUUACUAAACUUUUGGGACUCGAUUCUGACAUACAGACUCCCUCUAAAAUACCAUUAAACUUACUAAACACACACGUAGAACCACGUAGGUAUUAGACAUGCGUUACAACUUACGGGACUCGAUUCCGACAUACGGAGAUCGAGUUAUCUCCCAAAUUGCAAAACUCGCCAACAGUUAGGCAAAAAGCUGAAAAAGAGACCAAAAUCCGCCUCGAUCAUCGGAAUGACACGGAAACACACACGUAGCACCGUAUAGGUAUUAGGCACGUAUUGCAACUUACAGGACUCGAUUCUGAUAUACGGAUGCCGAGUUAUCAGCCCGUUUUCCUGAUGAACCAACAGUUAGGUAAAAAGCCAAAAAAGAGACCAAAACCCUCCUCGAUCGUCCGAACGACACGUAAACACACACGUAGUACCACAUAGACAUUAGGCACGUGUUGCAACUUACGGGACUCGAUUCUGAUAUACGGAGAUCGAGUUAUCGCCUAAAUUGCAAAACUCGCCAACAGUUAGACAAAAAGCCGAAAAAGAGACCAAAUCCCGCCUCGGUCAUCCAAAUGACACGCAAACACACACGUAGCACCGCAUAGGCAUUAGGCACGUGUUGCAACUUACGGGACUCGAUUCCGACAUACGGAGAUUAAGUUAUUGCCCAAAUUACAAAACUCGCCAACAGUUAGGCAAAAACCCAAAAAAGAGACCAAAACACGCCUCGGUGGUCUGAACGGUACGUAAACACACACGUAACACCGCAUAGGCAUUAAACACUUGUUGCAUCUUACGGGACUCGAUUCCGACAUACGGAUAUGUCAAUUAACCCUUGUUUUGUGACAGUGUUAAAUUUGCGGAGUUAUCCCGGUUUGCAUCCCAUGACGUGAAUGUUUCUAAGAGGUUUGAAACCCGAUAUACGUCAAUACCUCAUUUCUCAUAAACUUUUUUUAUAUUCAGAUGUUGUGAAUAAGGCUCAGUUAUUGGAGCGCAAUAAUGAGUCAGCGCAACCAAAAGGCAACAACCAACAAAACGAUAAUAAUCGUACCGGUGGCAACGACCAUCGGAACAAUGAUGACCAUCAUGGGGGAAAUUAUCAUGCCAGGAAUGGUAACCACUUCGGUGGUAAUCAUGGCUAAGAUAAUAGAAGUGGAAAUUUCAAGAAGAGAAGGUCAUUUAGCUCAAUUUUGUUGUAUAGUGAAGUCAAGUCCAGCUGGGACGAUGACACCAAAGGCGGAUACAGACAAAACAAAGUCGGUGGUUUUAGGAAGAGCGUUUUUUGUUACUUCUCAAAAAGCGAGUAACCCGAACGAAGUUAGCAUGGGUUAGUUAAUUAUAAAUUUUUGCGAAGUCUAUACCUUAUUAGAUACCGGUUCUACCAAUUCUUUUAUCUCUCUUGCUUGCGUUCAACAUUUAAAUUUGACUCUGGAGAAGUUAGACUUUGACUUAUCGAUUGAAGCUUCGUUAGGAGAAACCUUCAUUUCAUGUGUUAUCCAAGUCUUGGAUGAGAGUCACAGUUUUUAAAUGAUAUUUCUAUCGUUAAUAAAUUUCCUGACGUAUUCUUGAAGACUUCUUAGCCUACCCUAGAGCGUGAAAUCAAAUUUUGUAUUGACCCUAGUACAAAACCCAUUUCUAAAACCCUCAAGUAUUUCUUCACCCAAAACGAACGUAUAAUGCGCCAAAGACAAUGGCUCGAGCUGUUGAAGGUUACAACUAUUCAAUACCAUCGUGGAAAAGCGAACGUGGUAGCUGACGUGUUGAGUAGAAGAUCGUAUGCGUUUAUGAGUGCGAAUAUACGAACCUACGUGAAGAUAACGAAUAUAUGAUUAGAACCGACUUUAGUCAAUAAUGUUAAAGUUGCUAAAGCUACAGACCCGGAGCUGAUGAAUACGAAGAAGAAGGUUUAAGAGGGCGUUAUUUUAAAAGCAAGAGUUGCUGAAGAGAGGAAAUCUCAACCCUCGAUUUAAUUGGCCCAUUUGAAAUCCUCGAUCGAGUAGGAACUGUGGCCUAUAGACUCGUUUUGCCGCCAAGUAUGUCGCGUGUUCAUAAUGUUUUUAACGUAUCGAUGUUACGUAAAUAUGUGGAUGACCCGAACCACAUUAUUAAAUUAGAACUAGACGAUAUAGCAGAAGAUUUAACGUAUAAGGAGAUACGUGUUAAAAUCUUGGAUAAGAAGGAUCGUAUUCAACACUCAAAGGUUAUACCUCAAGAGUUAGAAUUUGAAAUGAAGUCAAGGUAUCCUCACCUCUUCGGCAUAUCAGGUACGUACGUAAAUUUCGAGGGCGGAAUUUCAUAAGGAAGGGAGAUUGUAAAACCCCAAAUUUUAUGAAUAAAGAUUUAAUUUUCUCGAAAUAUUUUUUAUUAUGGUGUGGAUUUGAGAUAAUGUUAUAGUUGUGGGUAGUAUUUAUAAAUUUUGCAAAGUAUGCAAGUUGUUAUAUAAUAUUCUUUUUGUCGGGGAAUAUCCGUACGAUGGUACAAUCAUUGGUGGACCCCACAACGGAAUUAUUAUCGGAUUGAGAAAAUGACAAAAAUAUUUUUAUGAAAAUAACGGCGGAAGUUUUACCGUUAAAAUUGUUGAACUACUCGGUAGUAAAAGUACAGUAAUACGCGUGGUUGCAUAGUAGCACACGGUAUUGAUUAUUGAUGCUUACGUGAAGUCACUCAGUUUUGUUCAAUUAUUACUACAGUAAUUGCUGCAUAGUAUCUCACGUUAUUUGAUUCAAUUAUUAUCGAUAUUUUAUAUAUUAUUAAAUCAAUAAUUGAGACAACGAAGUUAUUAAUAUUAUUAUUUUUAAUAUUAACGAUGUCUAGAAGUUCUGCCAUGGAGAGGUUUGGUCACCUAAUUGCGCGUCAAUAUGGAGAAAUCCUUAUUGGAAAGCCCCCUCUUUCCUGGGAACGACCUGGUCGAUUAAUAGUAUGAAUUAUAAUAAUGAUGAUGAAGUUUAUUUUAUUAUUAUUAUAAAUAUAAUAAAACAUAAAAAUUUUUAUAUAAAAUAGAAUACUUUUAUAAAGUUAUUUAUUUUAUUAGACUAUAAAUAGAAUAUAUUAUAUUCUAUUAUGCAUAGUGUUUGCAUAGUGUCUGCAUAGUGUUUGCAUAGUAAAAUCUUUUUAUAUAAAACAGAAUACUUUUAUAAAGUUAUUUGUUUUAUUAGAUUUUAAAUAAUAUAUAUAUAUAUAUAUAUAUAUAUAUAUUAUAAAUAAAAUAUAUUAUAUUUUAUUGCAUAGUAUCCUUUCUAUUUUCCUAUAAAUAGGAUGCUUAGUUAGAAUUGAAAACACACCAGAAGUUUAGAGAAUUCUUCUUCUAUAAUCUUGAGCGUAUUUCUUUAAAGGUUAAGAAAGCUUUGAGCGUAGUGCAAGUUUUCUUCAAGUAUAUCCUCGCCCUACCCGUCGGAGUACUCUUCUUUAUAAGGUAAGGAAUAUUAUUUGUUGUACUCGUAAGGGGUAUUAUUUCUUUCGUCUUCAUGAAGAUAACUUUUGUUAUUCCAUUCUUUAUUAUUAUGUUGGAAUAACCUGUCUAUGCGAAGUACCCCAUACAUUGUGAAAUUCUUCUGUUAUUCCAUUCCUUAUUAUUCUGUUGGAAUAACCUGUAUAUGUAAAGUACCGCAUACAUGGUGAAAUUCUUCUGUUAUUCCAUUAUUUAUUAUUCUACUGGAAUAUCCUGUCUGUGCAUAUUACGCAUGACCUGGUUCCAUUAUUUAUUAUUUUGUUGGAAUAACCUGUCUGUGCGGUCUACCGCAUGCAUGGUGAAUUCUAUUGUUAUUCCAUUAUUUAUUAUUCUGUCGAAAUAUCAUUUCUGUGUGUUUACACAUGACCUGGUUCCAUUAUUUAUUAUUCUGCCGAAAUAUCUUGUCUGUGCGUUUACGCAUGACCUGGUUCCAUUAUUUAUUAUUCUGUUGGGAAUAACCUGUCUGUGCGAUCUAUCGCAUGCAUGGUGAAUUCUUCAGUUAUUCCAUCCUUUAUUAUUCUGUUGGAAUAACCUGUAUAUGUGAAUUACCACAUGCAUGGUUAAUGAUCAUUUGUAUUCAUUCCUUAUUAAAUUGUGGAAAUGAUCUGUUUACGUGGAUUAUGAUGAAAGUCAUAAUAUAAGCAUUGGACUGUUGAUUAUGAUGAAAGUCAUAAUAAAAAUAUUGGACUGAUGAAAAUCAUGGGUAUAUGUUGUAAUAGUAAGUGUUAUGAUGAGUUAUGUUGGUUAUUAUAUGAAAACAUGAAAGUUUCUUAGAAAUCACAAAGGGUUGAAAAUCAUAUUUUGUGAAAAUGGAAUAUGAAAUUCAAUUGACCAUAUCUCCUAUAAUAUUUCAAAUUUUUGAGUGUGGUCAAGUUGUAGAGUUAGAUCUAUGAGUUUUCUAACUUAUCCAAGUGGAAUCACUAGAAAAGGUGUUGUAAAUUUUUGUGUUAACUGAUUUUAGCAAAGGAGUCAAAAACUGCAAAGUACUAAAAAGCUACUGCCCAUAAAUUUAAAAGGGCAUUUUCGGCCACUUAAUUUGUGAGAAAAAUUAUGGUCUUUUGGGACAUGGAAAUAUAUGGUAUAAAGUACCUCCUGUCAAAAAAUGAGCUCAUUCCUACUUAAAAUGAGUAAGUUAUGACUGUUUCAAUAUUUAGGUUUUUUUGACGAAAAACGCUAUAACCGGAGUUCUAUAACUCCGAUGACCAUGAAAUUUAAACCGGAAGCUCACGUUAACAUGUGUAAGAUCCUGCCAAGAUUUGGGAAUUUCUAGAGUUAAACUUGAGGUAGCUAAUUUCUUAAGGAAUUAAUUAGAAAUUAAUUUUUGAAAAAUACUUAAGGGAGUUGAAAAAUUAUAAAAAAAUACUUUUUGUGUAUGAAAUAUAUGUAUAUAUGUUUGGACAAAGGAUAGAAAAAUAAUAAGUUAAUUUGGUAAUUUUUCAUGAAAAUGGUUUAGUUACAAACAUAUGAGUUAAAUAUGUUAUGUGAAGUUGAAGAAUUGGUAAAUAGGAUUUUAGGGCUUGAAAAUCCUAUAUAAGGUAUAUACAGAUUUUUGAUGAGUGAUUUGAUCAUUGAUGAUGAAAUCUUAUGAGUAUGACAUUUUUGAAUGAUUAAAUGCAUUAUUUGNNNNNNNNNNNNNNNNNNNNNNNNNNNNNNNNNNNNNNNNNNNNNNNNNNNNNNNNNNNNNNNNNNNNNNNNNNNNNNNNNNNNNNNNNNNNNNNNNNNNNNNNNNNNNNNNNNNNNNNNNNNNNNNNNNNNNNNNNNNNNNNNNNNNNNNNNNNNNNNNNNNNNNNNNNNNNNNNNNNNNNNNNNNNNNNNNNNNNNNNNNNNNNNNNNNNNNNNNNNNNNUUGAAGACUAAUGAUAAUUUAUUCUGCAUUAUCUUAGUCAUAAUAUUUCUUACUGGGCUAGUUGAGCUCACCCCUUUCUUUCACUGUUCUCUUCAGGAAAUGAGAACGUAGCUGGGACUAGUCGGGGAACGGAGUGACGGUCCAGAUAAUAGUAUUAGUAGUCCUCACUAUUCUGUUAAAUAGUGUGACAAUAAAUAUAUUGAGGACUCCUUUGAGUGUGGAUAUUGUUUAGAUGACAAUAUUCUUAUUAAAACUCUCAGUUUAUGUUUUGUCGUAUUUUACACGACUGUUAUAUAAUUAGUUUGUAUUUGUAUUCAGUACCUUGUAUCUGGCGACCUAAGAUGAGUGAUGUAUACCUAUUUUGGAGGCGUCACAAUUUAUAACAAACCAUUAAUUAUGGAUGAAUUUCCUAUAUAUAUAUAUAUAUAUAUAUAUAUAUAUAUAUAUAUAUAUAUAACAAAUACUUGCUAUAAUAUUAUUCGGAUAAAUACAUAUUUGACCGUUUAUAAGAAAAAUGUGUGGUUCAGGUUCAAAAAAUUAAAUGUCAUCUGCUACACACUAAUAGUAUAAAUGAAUUAAAAAAAAUAAAUUUGGAAUACCCAAUCUCUUGUGGGCGGUCAGAAAUUUAUUUAAUCGAAUAAUAUCAUAACACAUAUUCAUUAUGUUUUAAAAUUAAAGAUAUAAUUAUGAUUUUUGAAGUCAAAGGAUAACAUAUUAAAUUUUAAAAUUUUGUAUGACUCAUAAAAAUUUAGAAUGAAAUAAAUUUUGUGAUUAAUAAUUUUUGUUAUAUAUUAUUUAAUUAUAAUAAUUAUAUCAACUAAAAUUAAAUAAAUUUAUAUUAAUUUGAAGUUUAAUAUAUUAUCAGUUGAUCAAAAAUUAAAUUGAAUCUUUAAUUUUAAAAACAAAAAGAGUAUUUUAUUAUGAUGAUGUGUGUCCUCGUCAAACACUACUAUACAAUAAAAGUAAAAGGUCAAAAAGUUAAUUCUCAUUUUAGGACAGGAGUAUUAAGAAAAUCUCUAUCAACUUAAUUUUCAGAAAUAUUGGAGUUUUUUUGUGCAAUAAAUCUGAAAGUAAGGGACUGUGAGUGUAAUUAAAAAAUUCCUGCAAAAUAAGGAGAGAAUAGAAGGGGGAUGAUGGGGCUUUGUUGUACAAGGAAAAGCAUGAACGCACGUUAUUCCCACCUAAAUCACUUGGCAUUUUCCUCCCCCUCAAAACUAUUCUUUGUGUGAUCGGUGUCUGCGUGUGUCAACGUUAUAGAUAAUGUUAUUAUUAUUGUCGCCUAAUUUUGGAGCUUUUCCAAUUCAAACAUUAUCACUCUGUCCCUCCCCUUUCGUCAAGAUUGCUCUCGACUCUCUCUCUCUCUCACUCCGUAUAUAUAUACAUAUAUAUAUAUGAUUAAUUCAUGUUGAUUAUUAUUAGUAGCGGACGACGAAUUAUGUCUACUAUUAUUAGUAGCGGACAACAACAGAUAUAAUGGGUGUCGUCCGCUACUAAUAAUAGCGGACGUGGUUGAAAAAAAUAAUAUUAUUGUCCGCUACUAUUAGUAGCGGACAUAAUAGUAGCAAACAUAACAUGUCGUCUUCUAUUAAUACUAUCGUCGUCCAUUGCUAAUAGUAUCAGACAUGAAUUUUUCAGUUAUAAUUUCGGUUGUUGAUUUCUAUAUUGAAGGAUAGAAAUAUAGAAAUUACAUUUAUAAAUUUAAAAUGGAGGGGCUAUAUUUAGAAGCCUUGACGUUAGUUUAGGUUGGCAAUAAAGUGGAUUCGACUUGGUACCUUUUCCCCCU
Molecule: long non-coding RNA, 92244 nt
Filed under: Panax ginseng (ginseng)
Lineage: Eukaryota; Viridiplantae; Streptophyta; Magnoliopsida; Apiales; Araliaceae
Description: long non-coding RNA (PGIN_LNC003817)
Source: RNAcentral